RNAcentral lists this long non-coding RNA (115710 nucleotides) under Lynx pardinus (Iberian lynx). The record is from RNAcentral. Lineage: Eukaryota; Metazoa; Chordata; Mammalia; Carnivora; Felidae.
GUGACCAUGAGGGGCUGGCUGGGACCCUGCUCACUCCAGAGUCUGCAGACGGGAUCUUGGGAGAACUGGCCAAAGUCCAUGAAAGGCUGGAAUUCUCGCCGCGGCCAGCUGUCUCACAUCUUCGUGUAGUGCCUGGUCUACGCCAGAGAGAAAACGGUAAGCGCUUAUCUUUGUCCCUUCUGUUCCAAAUUCAGACUAGCAGGGGGGAAACGGUUGUAGAAACUAGAUGGUUGAAUUGUGACUCUUGUGGAUUUGAUUUUGGGCAGCCAUUUGUUGACCCUUUCCCUCCAGGGACUCCCCCACACUCUUGCUGUCCUGGUCCUCCUGUGUGUCUCAUCUCUCGCCCUGAAAGCUUGGCGUGGCUUUUCACCACGGGGCGUGCAGGUUAUACACUUGUGUGUGUAGGGCUCAGUUGUCAGGCUGGGGUCCCCAGGAGCGUGGCUGGACACAACUGUGAGUUGCACCCCAUUUGUGGCUAAUCCCACCCCUCCCCCAAACUGGUGCCACCUGUCAGCCGUGUUGUCAGAGUCUCUUCUUGGCUGUUUCUGGCUCUGGAUGGUGGGAGGAUUCCUCUGCACCCUCGUUGGGAAGCUGGUUGUAUCCGUGUCUGAGCCGUAAAAGGCUCAUUGGUUUUAAGUCAUAAAAGGCUUAUUAUCAGUUUGGAAUCACUUGAAACAGGUGCAGCUUUGGUUUAAAAAAAAAAAAAAAGUCGGGGUGGGGGCAGUUCAUGACUGUCAGGGGUAUUUGUUGUCUGUCCUGUCUGAAACCUGGUAAGAUAUUUUAAAGGAGGUCUUUAAAAAAAAAUACAUGGUCAGAAGUUGCCCUCCUUGGAAGCUGAUUUUUUUUUUUUUUUUUAUUUCAGUCGGCCCUUCUCUCUGAUCCUGCUCCUCCCGUGGGAGCUUCUAACCCUUCUCCAGCUCCUGCCCACUGUGUGUCACCAGCUCCCUCUAUGUCCCUUUGUGUCGGCGCGGUUUUGCCGAGGAUAAUUUGGAAUGUCGUUGGCUUCUUUAGGACACUUAGAAUGGCAAACUGCUCCUCUGAGACAUCUGUCUGCCUGUGGCUUCUCCUCCUCUGUCUUCCUCUUGCUCCCUUGAUCCUCCAUUCAGUCCCCUGGGUCCCUCAACAGGUAACCACCCCCCCCAGCCCCUAUCUCAUCUGUCCUUCUGUCCAUGCUGCCAGACCUCUUUCCACUCCAGCUCCACAGACACUUGAACUUCAGACUUCCUAGCAUUAUCAGGCUGAGAAGAAAAAAGGCCAAUUGGAAACUGAUUUAAUAUUUUAUCUGCUCAGAUGCGCAGUGGAGACUGCACUAAAUGUCUCUUCAGUCACUUGUGUAAAAUGUAGCUUACAACCCUCAUAAGAUUACGAGUCAGGGCAAAUGAAACUCCUCUAAGCCUUCUCCAAAAAUAUUAGUCAAAGCAUUAGCCCUCAUCGUGAGGAGGUAACCCCCAAUUUACCCUCUUUGUCACAAACGCAAUUCAGAUAAAAAUAUAAAGUGGAUAAAAACCAGUGAGUUUGUUUUAUUAUGUUUUAUGGACACAUCGCUAAAAUUUUAUUUUUUUAAAUUUUGGAGAGAGAGUGUAUGUGAGCAGGGGAGAGGGGCAGAGGGAGAGAGAGAGAGAAUCUUUUUUUUUAAUUAAAAAAAUUUUUUUUUAAAUUUAUUUUUGAGACAGAGAGAGACAGAGCAUGAGCAGGGGAGGGGCAGAGAGAGAGCGAGACACAGAAUCAGAAGCAGGCUCCAGGCUCCGAGCUGUCAGCACAGAGCCCGACGCAGGGCUCAAACUCAUGAACGGUGACAUCAUGACCUGAGCUGAAGUCGGAUGUUCAACCGACUGAGCCACCCAGGCGCCCCGGGAGAGAGAGAGAAUCUUAAGCAGGCCCCAGGCUGAGCCGAUGCAGGGCUCUAUCCCAUGACCCUGGGAUCAUGACCUGAGCCGAAAUCAGGAGUCAGAUGCUUACCUGACUGAGCCACCCAGGUACCCCACCGCUAAAAUUCUAGAGUGGAAGCUGUGAAAUCUUUGUGUUUGUAUGCAUCUGUAGGUUAUGUGUAUGUGAUAUUUUUCUAUCUCGGGAAAGUAUUACCAGGUUCAUUUAUACAAUCCCUUAAAGGAGGUCUUUUCAAGUUGGCUUGGAGAUAAAUGAGCACUUACAUAAAUUCAAGUAUUGCUACAACUCUGCUACAACUCUAAGGAAUAUAGAAACUGACCCAAGCCUUUUAUUUUAAAGUUCACAUGAUUCUGGGUUAACCUCUGGUAAAUAAAGCUAGCUUUAAGAUUGUUAAUAAAAUCAAAACAGAUAAAUUUUUAAGGUUGUCAGCCUUAAAUAUAAUGCAGCCAUACAGUUUUUUCCUACCUGGGUUUACUGGUCACAUGAGCUUAUGUUAUCUCUAGUAAAUGCAUAAGGUUAUGGAAAUGUAAAUCCAACCUAAGAGCAAAAGGUACAAUCAAAAUAAAUUGAUAUAUGUCAAGGACAACAGUAAAAUAAAAAAAAAAAAAAAGAAAGAAAGAAAGAAAGACGGGAGACAUCAAGUAUUUUUCAUGCCUGCCUGAUUUGUCCACAAGAAAAAUCAUUUAAAAUGAUGGAUAGUUUUCUUUAAUAUCUCACAAAAUUUUCAUGAUUAAUUCAGGCAUACUUGUUAAGAACAAGUGAAUUAAUGUAAGAGAGGUAAAAGUUUAUGAGCUUUUUAAAAACAAUCUUGUUGUAUAAUAUGUGUACUUUAAAAAAAUUUUUUUUAAUGUUUAUUUUUGAGAGAGAGAGAGGCAGAGCACAAGUGGGGAAGGGGCAGAGAGAGAGGAAGACACAGAAUCGAAAGUAGGCUCCAGGCUCUGAGCUGUCAGCACAGAGCCCGACGUGGGGCUUGAACUCAGGAGCUGGGAGAUCAUGACCUGAGCUGAAGUCGGAUGCUUAACCGACUGAACCACCCAGGCUCCCCUGUCCACUUAAAAAGAGUUUCCAAAAAUUUUUUGAUAACUUGAAACAUUAAAGCUAUCCUAAGUUAAAUGAUGGAUAUUCACUGAAUAUCUACACCAUUUCCAUAUAAGAUAAAGCACUGGAAUACUAACUGCAGAACAUAAAUUUAUGUACGUUUUGCUUCUUAAAUUUUAUAGAGAGACAAGAGAUAUUUAUGUGCAUCUAUUUAGCAAACAUGUCCUUUGUCACAUCCAAAAGUUGUACUUAGAAGAAGCAUAUGCCUCUAGAAACUGAAGUAAUGAAUUCAUAGAUUCGCUAGUUUACUACAGGAUGUUAGCAUGUGGCAGACAGCUCAUAAUUGCCUGCUUCCUAGUUUUCACUGAAAAUUAGGGUUACUGAGGGUUAAACAUUCUUAUAGAUUGUGUAAAUGAAACUACUAGAAAUAAUAAAGGCAAAGAAGAAAAGUAUGCAAACUAUGCAAGGAAAAUGUGUUUAUGAUAAGAAAAAGUAUAUAAGGUGUAAAGGAUAUAUUUUUGUUAGGAGAGAAAGUAAUUUGUCCUAAUAUAGGAUAUGGCUGGCUGUUCUAGAAUAGAAAAAUGAAAAGAGUAGGUGGAUGAAAAAUGAAAACUAGGUAGAUACAUUUUUUAAAAGUUUGUAGAAGGGUUGAGGAAAAGGGAUUUUAUUGUGUUGUCAAGCUGCCAAGAUUGAAUAGCUUUAUUUGUAAAGUAAAAGAUGAACCUUAAUAUCAGAAGUAUACUGAUGUAAAACUAGAAUGAUGAAUUUUCUUGGCUUAUUGGUGUGCUUUCAUUAAGAAAUUGUAAAAAGAUUUUUUAAGUAAUUUUCCUGGGGAACCAAAAUUUUAUUAUCAGAAUGAUUUCCUGGGCUUCAUGUUGUGCGUAUCAGGUCUUUGGUUACUUAAGAAAACCAAAUCUUCUCAAUAUUAAAACAGCUAAGGGUUUUUUCACAACUAUGUUACCUUCUGUAUCUGCCUUUAGGAACUUUUUGUCAUUUUGGUUAAAUAGAUAAUUAAGUAUUAGAAUGAUCUAUGGUGCUAUUUGAUCAAGCAUUCAAAUCUGUUGACGGUUUUGACCAGUUUUCCAAAAUCCAAUUCUAAAUAAAGUCUUGGUGACUUAAACUGACUUGAGCUUUUAAAGAAAGUCCCUGGAAAAUCUCAAAGGAUUUGUUUCUCACUUUGUAAAAGAGAGAGAUGUUAAACUAAUUGGGCUUAUUUGGUGUAUUAAACUGUGUUGCAAGUAUUGUCAAAUCAAGUGACGAUAAGCUUUCUUUAGGUUAUAAUGUAUGGAUAUGUGCUAUUAAUAUAAAUAUAAAUAUUUCCGAAUUGUAUGAAGUUCAUGGAAAUUCAUCAGCACUUUUGAUGUUUAUGAGGUGUUCAGCAUCAGGUUAUCAGUCAUACUUCUGGUUAUUAUGUCACUGAAGUACCGUGCCUUGUCAGUUACGUCAGAGUGACCUCAUCAGACCUUUAACCAGGGCCAUUUUACGGUCUUGUGUCGUGUACGGACUGGUGGUGGUGGUGGUGGUGGUGGUGUUUAACUCCUGAUCCUUGUCUGAAAGUGUUUACAGUCAGCUACAGGCCACAGUGCCCAGUGAUGCCCUCCCAUGAAUGACUUUGAGACCAUGCCAGUGGUCUGAGUAAUUUUCCAAACUGAUGAAGUUUGCGGGUUCCUAAAACUGCUGAUCAAAGAUCAGCCAGAAAAAGAAUUAAUUACAUGAGACUGAACUGCUGAGGAGAGUUAUAAUUUUUUUGACAACUUGUUGUUUGAAACAUUGCUCAUUCUUUAAUGUUUGGUUUUUCUCUUAAACUGUCUGUUACUUACAGCAGUUUGGUAAAGUAUAGUGUUGUGAACGGAGAUGAAACAAUGACUUUUUCUCCCUCCCUGGUCCUUCCAGAACCCCGAGACUCUUACUGCCUUUUUAUUUUCAUGGCAAUAUCGUUAUUUCCAUAGGUCCUACAAGAAUCUCUUUUCCUUGUAAUAGGAUGUCAUUGAAAGCUUUGGUUAUAUUACCGAUGUUGACUCGACUGUCAUAUUUGGGAAUGAUGUAUACAAUUAGAUGUGACCAGACGGUUUCAAGGAACUAAGAUGGUCUUUAUAGAGUGGUGGUAAUGAAACUCUCUUGGGGGAAAAACUGGCCUGGUAUCUGGCUUACAGGUUUCCCAGCCUUGUAAGUGGGUAAGGAAUGUCGCUUGCUGGGAGGCCCAGGAACCUUAAAAUAUUUUGGGACCCUUAGGAAGAGAGGAAUUCAGCCAAAUCUAUAGGUGCUGAAGGCAAAAUAUAGUGGCAGUUUCCUGGCUUGGCUUCCCAGCCAUGAGAAACUUUGGAAGCUGAGAGUCCUUAAAAAUUGCAGCAAAGCAUGGGGCACCUGCGUGGCUCAGUCAGUUAAGCGUCCGACUUCGGCUCAGGUCAUGAUCUCGUGGUCCGUGAGUUCGAACCCCACGUCGGGCUCUGUGCUAACCACUCAGGUCCUGGAGCCUGUUUCAGAUUCUCUGUCUCCCUCUGUCUCUGACCCUCCCCCGUUCAUGCUCUGUCUCUGUCUCAAAAAUAAAUAAAUGUUAAAAAAAAAAAUUAAAAAAAAAAUUGCAGCAAAGCAAACUUAAAAAUUUCAGUCACUUUGGCCACAGAACACAAAUGUUGUAGCUGCACUUGUGUAAAUAAUCAGGCCACUUAUUGAGGCUAGGCUUAUUUUGCAAACAAAUACUUUCUUAUCUUUGAUAGAAAUGGGAGUGACUAAAGAGAGAAAAAUAGUAUUUCAGGAGCUAACUGUAGUCGAUUGAGUUGAAGGUUUUCAUUAGGAAAUUGUAAACUUUCUUAAAGUAUCUGUCUAUAGAGUGGGCUGGAUCGUGAGUUCUUCCGGUUUUCUCAGUACCUGGCUGUAAGACUCCAAAUUAACAUUUCUAAUUUUUUCCCUACCCUUUCGCUUUCCCUUUGGGACCAUUCAGAACUAAAACUGUCCUUUUCUUGAACCGUGCAAGCUGAGGCUAGCUGACCUGAUGUGACCCAGCAGGUCACGUGUGAGCUCCCUUCCUGCCUGUAGCUGUGUGGGCCACUCGGGAAGUUCAUGGGGUCACCCGAUGGCCUCACACAGACGUUCGAACUGCAAAGCCGGAGAAUCUGUUGCAAUGUCGCCCCUGUCCUCACUCCACCGUCUGAAAGAUGCUUUGAGCCGAGCAGGUAGAAUCUUACCUGACUGCCUUCUGGACUCAGAAACUGAGUUUAUAGUUUGUUCUAACCAUCUUUGUUUUCCUCCUGCUUCUAGGGAAACGUCCCUUCUUAAAGGCCUGAUUGUUCACACCAUACAGAGACCUAAUGGGGGGGGGGGUGCCUACUCACACCUGCACUACCACCUCCUGAAACGAGACGCUGUUCACUGGGUCACUAGGUUAGAGGACAGUCCACCAGCUCGGUGUGUGGAGCGUGAAACCUGCUGGGAAAGUUUCACACGGGAGAAUGACAGGGUUCAGGACGUGCUACCCCAGAAUAUGGCCCUUUGGCACGUUGAAUUUUAUAAACGGAAGGAAUUCGAGAAAUGGCACGUGCAGGGAGGACUGUUUGACCUUCCCUGAAGUGGGUCUAGACCCUCAAAUGGGAGGUGCCCUCCCUGUGCCGGAGGAAAGGAGUACCCUUGUCUCCAAAGAGGAGGGACACCGAGAAGACUGUUUCCCCACUUACCCCUCUCAGCUCACAUUCCUUUUUGUCCUAUUGCAUUUUUUUUCAUUUUCUCUUUACUUUUGAUCAAACCUAGUAUAAGAAUUUAGUAUAACUAUUUCUUUGGUCUUCAUUUCCUUAUGAAGCUUCCUGUAUCACGUAAAGUUUGUAUGAAGUAAAUUUGUAUGCUUUCUUUCGUGAAUUUGUCUUUUCUUAUAGAGACCCGUGUGAGAACUUAGAAAGGUAGAAGGGAAAUGGAUUUUCUCCCCUAUAAGAACCACCAGAUGACUUCCAAAAAAACUUUUGAAUACUCCCCUUUCUGGAGGCUUUUUUUUUUUUUUUAAUUUUUUUAAAUGUUUUAUUUACUCUUUUUUUUUUUUUUUUCAACGUUUAUUUAUUUUUUUUUUGGGACAGAGAGAGACAGAGCAUGGACGGGGGAGGGGCAGAGAGAGAGGGAGACACAGAAUCGGAAACAGGCUCCAGGCUCCGAGCCAUCAGCCCAGAGCCUGACGCGGGGCUUGAACUCACGGACCGCGAGAUCGUGACCUGGCUGAAGUCGGACGCUUAACCGACUGCGCCACCCAGGCNNNNNNNNNNNNNNNNNNNNNNNNNNNNNNNNNNNNNNNNNNNNNNNNNNNNNNNNNNNNNNNNNNNNNNNNNNNNNNNNNNNNNNNNNNNNNNNNNNNNNNNNNNNNNNNNNNNNNNNNNNNNNNNNNNNNNNNNNNNNNNNNNNNNNNNNNNNNNNNNNNNNNNNNNNNNNNNNNNNNNNNNNNNNNNNNNNNNNNNNNNNNNNNNNNNNNNNNNNNNNNNNNNNNNNNNNNNNNNNNNNNNNNNNNNNNNNNNNNNNNNNNNNNNNNNNNNNNNNNNNNNNNNNNNNNNNNNNNNNNNNNNNNNNNNNNNNNNNNNNNNNNNNNNNNNNNNNNNNNNNNNNNNNNNNNNNNNNNNNNNNNNNNNNNNNNNNNNNNCCCCCCCCCCCCGCCCUUUUUUAAUUUAUUUAUUGUUUAUUUUACAUCCAAGUUAGUUAGCAUAUGGUGCAACAAUGAUUUCAGGAGUCGAUUCCUUAGUGCCCCUUACCCAUUUAGCCCAUCCCCCCCCACAACCCCUCCAGCAACCCUCAGUUUGUUCUCCAUAUUUAUGAGCCUCUUCUGUUUUGUCCCCCUCCCUGUUUUUAUAUUAUUUUUGUUUCCCUUCCCUUAUGUUCACCUGUUUUGUCUCUUAAAGUCCUCAUGUGAGUGAAGUCAUAUUAUUUUUGUCUUUCUCUGACUAAUUUCACUUAGCAUAAUACCCUCCAGUUCCAUCCACGUAGUUGCAAAUGGCAAGAUUUCAUUCUUUUUGACUGCCGAGUAAUACUCCAUUUGUAUAUAUGUACCACAUUGUCUUUAUCCAUUCAUCUGUUGAUGGACAUUUGGGCUCUUUCCAUACUUUGGCUGUUGUUGAUAGUGCUGCUAUAAACAUUGGGGUGCAUGUGUCCCUCUAUCCCUUGGAUAAAUACCUAGUAGUGCAGUUGCUGGGUCAUAGGGUAGUUCUAUUUUUAAUUUUUUGUGGAACCUCCGUACUGUUUUCCAGAGUGGCUACCCCAGUUUGCAUUCUGUCUGGAGGCUCACUUUGACUAUACUUUUGAGGAAGAAAGAAAAGUCUGAAAACAGAUUUCUUUUUAACAUUUAUUUAUUUUGAAGGGAAGAGGGGCAGAGAGAGAGAGAGAGGAGAGAGAGGGAAACCUAAGCAGGCCCCACACUGUCAGCGUGGAGCCCGACACGGGGCUCAAUCCCAUGAAAUCAUGAGAUCAUGAGCUGAGCUGAAACCAAGAAUCGUAUGUUGAACUGAGUGAGCCACCCAGGCGACCCCAAAAGGAUGAACAUUAAGUAAGUCCUUCUGGACUGUCUACCUUUUUGUUGAGGGACAUUUCACGGACUCUGGUCCUGGGUUAACAGUAUUGAAUAGUGGGGUGUCCCCCCCCCCCACUAGGUUGUAGGACCAUUUUUCUACAUUUGCAAACUGUGAGCGGGGCCCGGGGGGAGGGGGAGGAUUGGCCCGAGGAGGGGUUGGAGGACGGGCUCAGGCUGGGGCCUUGCUGGGCCUUGUUCUGGAGAGCUGACGCCCCUUUCGCUGCCCCCUGCUUUCCUCGGGCGGACACGGCUCUGCCACGACCCACACUACGGUACGAAGCAUGGAGUUCACUUCACGUGCCCCAGGUGGGCUCUGAAUCCACCUGCCGGCAUCCAGGUUCGUGUUUCCUCCGCGACCGUGGGUGCGGUGGAAGUGGAGCCGGACGACGUGGGCCUGACUCUUGGCCUGUCCUCUGAUUUGUGGCCCUCUGAGCGAGUAGUUCUCAGUCUUCCUCAAUCUUAGUGAAGAAAUAGUUCUCAGUCUUAGUGAAGGGAUUCCUCCUGCCGGUGGCUGUCGCAGCGAGGCCUGAAGGCGAGGCCGAGGGAGCCACAGAGCUGUGCGUGGCCGGCGCGAGGCUCGGAGGUGGGCGGUGUGCCGCGGUGCCCUUAACGCCGGUCCUGAGCGGGACCUCUUGUCACACGCGCUUAUCUCCUUUUGUUCGUUUCGGAGUUUAAGAACUUUUAAUCAUUUUCUUGCUGUUCAACCCUUGUCCUCGGAAGUUGGGGUAUUUCUUCUCCAUCUGAGAAAAGACUGUGAACAAAGCAUGGCACCCUACCCUGUAGCGGGAUGGAUAGGCUCACUCUCGGGGGCUCAUCGCUGCAGGAAGAGGCCGGAGGCUCGCUCUGGGCUCUCUGAGUUCUCUAUCUGCCUCCAAUGAAAAGGAAUGAGGUAAUAGAUGGGAAUCUGGAGGACGCAGAUGCGGAAACGAGGGAUGUGGGGGUAGCAGUUGGGCAAACAGGAAUGCAGACUUGGCGGUUGAAUGGCGAAUUCAGAAAAGGAGUUUGGUCUGGGUCCGAGGAAAGAUAACGUAGACGUGAUGGGGUGCGUGGGCCUCUCCGUUGAGACGUCUUAUCAGAGCCAGGUAGCGUACCCCUAACGUGUCCUGCAGGCCGCCUGCUUUCCAGAUGCUACGCUGUUUGUGUCGCGUACGUAAGUCCACAUUCAUAUACGCAGAGAUGGUAGUUAGGACUUUAUGGUUGAAGAUGAUGCCCAUAUCCUUCUCUUUAAUAAGCAAAAUAUAUCCUUCAGUUCAUUUUUCUGAAAGUAUUUGACUCUUCUGUAAUCAUAAUCUUUAAUUACAUAUUACAUAUUACAUAUUAUAAUCUUCUGUAAUUACAUAAUCUUUAUGUAAUCUUUGGUAAGAUUACAUAAGAGUUACUGAUACUGGGCAAGUUACUCAAUUCCCCCCCCCCCCUUUUUUUUAAGUUUAUUUAUUUUGGGAGAGAGAGCAUAAGCAGGGGAGGGACAGGAAGAGGGAGAGAGAGAAUCCCAAGCAGGCUCUGUGCUGUCAACGCAAAGCGUGAUGCAGGGGCUCGAACUCAUAAACUGUGAGCUCAUGACCCAAGCUGAAAUCAAGAGUCAGACGCUCCCUGACUGAGCCACCCAGGUGCCCCCGAGUUACUCAACUUCUGGUGAAUGUUCACUGUUUUUUUAUCAGCGGCAAAAAUAAAAUGUUGCGGGGUUGUUGAGAUGAAAAAUCAUGUUAAAAGUACUGGGUACUGGGGCGCCUGGGUGGCUCAGUCGGUUGAGCGUCCGACAUCAGCUCAGGUUAUGAUCUCAUCGUCCAUGGGUUUGAGCCCCGCGUCGAGCUCUGUGCUGACAGCUCGGAGGCUGCUUCCCUGUCUCUGUCUCUCUCUCUGUCUCUCUCUCUCUCUCUCUGCCUCUCUCUCUCUCUCUCUCUCUCUUCCCCUCCUCCACUCAUGCUCUGUCUCUCUCUGUCUCUCAAAAAUUAAUAAACAUUAAAAAAAAUUAAAAAAAGUGCUGGGUACAGUGGCAGCAUUAACAGGAACCAGUUAAUGGUGGUUAAUUUUUAUCUAGGUUAAUUUUAUCUAAUUAAUUUUUAUCUAGGUAAAAGUGUUCAUGUGUAACUAUUUGUGUGUCAUUGAGAAUAAGUUCCUUUGGUGUGAGCAUUCCACAUUCCCAUCUUGUGGGUUUCAGUGUUUGCUUUUAGGCUGAAUAUCUGUUAUGCUCUUUCACAGAUAGAUUUCUGAGAGUGCAGACACUGCAUUCUGCUGGGUUGUACACCCGUUGUCAGAACCAGCUUCACUGAACAAAAGGUGAUUUCAGAUUUUGAAAGGGUCACUUAUUCUUUAAUUUUACUUGGGUUAUAUUUGGAUCCUUGACCAAGGUAAUGAAUAAUCUUCUCAAACCAAGUUGGAGUCAUCAGGACCAUGAGAUACACCGGUCGUGAUGUCUUCUCUCUGUACCAGAGUCGUCGUCUCCUCCCUCCACCAUUGGUAAUACAACUGAAGUGAGCUUUCCAGCUCUGAUCACCACUACUGCGCUCUAUGAAAUGGACGGUGGGAAUAAGUUGUUGCCUUGCAAACAUUUAAAAACUUGUUCUGUACUUCAAAAAUCUGUUUCAUUUUCAGUAAAUGUACUGAAGUGGUAAUGUCUGAGCAGACUUUCAGAUCCACUUGGGACCAGAACUUUGUUCUCAUGUGGAGGGAAAAAUUUCUUAAACCAUUUAACACAUGGGAAUGACUAAUUACAAGACAAAGCUUGCCUUCCCUGGAAGAUGGAACAGCAUAGUGGAAAGAGCCCAGGAUGGAAACCAGUGUACGACCUCUACUUGCCCUUGUUUUCACUAACUGGCUGGAGGACCUUAAAAGCAACACUUUUGAUUUCUGAGUUUUUGUUAUUAUUAGUGUAAAAUGAGGGAUUUGGAAUUAAAUACUGAGAGCGCCUUCCAUACCUAGAUAGAUGUGGAUAGAUGUUUAUUACAGGGAUUGGCUCACGCGGUUAUACAGGUUGAGAAGUCCCACAAGCUGCCGUCUGUAAACCGUAACCAGGGCCGUUGAUAGUGUCCUCAAGUCUAGGUCUGAAGGCCUGGGGAUCAGGGAGGAUGUUGAUGGUUAAGUCCUCAUAGGAGUCCAGAGGCCUGGGGACCGGGAGCGCCAGCGUCUGAAGGCAGGCAGAUGGAUGACCUAGAUCAAACACAGGGUGAAUUCACCCUUCCUCUGCCUUUCUGUUCUGUUCAGCCUCUCAAAGGAUUGGAUAAUGCCCACCCACAUUGGCAAAAAGAAAACAGAAAAGACCACAGUCUUGUUUUACUCAGUUCACCAAUUCAAAUGCUCUUCCAGAAAUGCCGUCACUGACAUGCCCAGAAAUAAGGUUUUACCAGCUGUCUGGACAUCUCUUAGUCCCCUGAACCUGACACAUAAAAUUAGCCAUCACAAGUCCACCCCUUGUCAACUUGGCACUUGUACACAUCUCCUCAGAGAUAUUUGGUGUUGCUGUGUUUGUGCGUAUUAAUACAUGUGAGCAAAGAAUUUCGCUUCAUAUGGACAUUUGCUUAAUGUAUGUAUGUAGACAUGUAAACACAAUUAUAACAAGAUCAGGAAAUACUCAUGACCAUUGCAGACUUAUUUCUGUACUUGGUCACGUGGCUGAUAUUUAUACCCUUCUUCUCUUGCCCGUUCUGUGUACCCUUCAGCAAGUGCCUCAGCUCGUUGUGGUUCUUUACCUAAUGGAGUGGCCCAAACCUUCAUUCCUGAAGGAUCUGGAGUGUUAGUAGUGCCACCUGGAUUGCAUUGUAGUUUUCCAUUGAUCUUAAUUACGGCACUAGGGAUAGCCUAGGGGAUGUCCUGUAUGCCAGACGUGCUUUUACCUCCAUUGUGGGUAGUAGUCCCUUUUCUCCUAGAGAGUGUGGAUCAGUCACCCCAGCCAACACCACAGCUCCCUUCCUUGCCCAAGGAAAGGGACCCAGAGUGGCCAAGUGGCAGUCUUAAUUCCCAGUUCAACAGAACCGUGUCUACGGGUGCAUGGUAUUUCUCCCUUUAGAACUAGGUCCUCUACGUCAGCAGAGCAUAAAGUCAUGAGAACAGGAAACAAAAUGUAUGCUAGUAAGUCAGUAGGGGUAAUAGUGGUAUUGUGUCCAUUUCUACCUGUGGAUUCCUGGACCCCCGCACCCAUGAAUCCUGGUAUCAGGGAAGGGAUCCCGUUUAUUCGAUGCUGAUUCAGAAUGUGGACAGUCUUCUGGUGACCCUUGUCAGCACCCUGCACGGUGUUGCCAGUACCUAGCUGGCCCUGUAACCAAGUCUUCAAAACGCCAUUCCACUGUUGUAGCGGAAAGCUAGCGCCUUCAGGGUGGUGUGGAACUUGCGAAGACCUGUGAAUUCCAAGAACGUGGGCCCAUCGGUGGCAUUUCUUUUGCCAUGACGUGAGUUCCCUGAUCAAAAGCAAUGCUGUGUGGAAUACCAUGACAAUGGAUAAGGUAUUUUAUAAGUCCACAGAUGGUAGUUUUGGCAGAAGCGUUGUGUUUAAGGAGGGCAAGUCAGUAUCCAGGGUGUUUAUCCCAGGAGGGCGUGGAUUUGUAAACUGGCGUCAGUCCGGGAAUCGACUGGGGGACCGUGGCUCUGUUUGUUAGUUUUUCAAAGAUAACCACUGUUUAUAUAGAGGAAAAAAGAAUUGUGUGUAUGGGUACACAGAGACAUGUAAAAUUGAUUCUGCUUUAUUUCCUGCUUUUCUUAUUUAAUAUGUUGUAAAAAUUUUUUCUGUGCUGAGUCAGAGGGUGCUAUUUAUUCUCCAACAUCCACUUUCCAUUCUCCCUUUACUAAUAGAAACCUCCUUUUUUUUUUUAAAAAUGAUUGUCAGCAAAUUUUAUUUUUUAUUUUUAUUUUUGGUGAAAAAACUCCUCUACUUUACUGUUUUUUUUUUUUUUUUUAAUUUAAAUCCAAGUUAGUUAACAUAUGGUGUAAUGAUGGUUUCAGGAAUAGAAUUUAGUGAUUCAUCACUUACAUACAACACCCAGUGCUCAUCCCAAGUGUCCUCCUUAAUGCCCAUCCCCCAUUUAGCCCUUCCCACCCCACCAGCAACCCUCAGUUUGUUCUCUGUGUUUAAGAGUCUCUUACAGUUUGUCCCCCUCCCUGUUUUUAUCUUAUUUUUGCUUCCCUUCCUCUAUGUUCAUCUGUCUUGUGUCUUAAAUUCCACAUGUGAGUGAAGUCCUAGGAUAUUUGUCUUUCUGACUGACUUCACUUAGCACAACAUACUCUAGUUCCAUCCACGUUGCUGAAAAUAGCAAGAUUUCAUUCUGUUUGAUCGACCGUGGCUCUGUUUUCGUGUUUUGACUUAGACUUUUGUUCACUCGACCUAGAUCUUUUUGGCUUAAACAGAUCAGGUAGAAUUUGUAUGUAUUUCACUUGUAGCACCCCAUACUUAAGUGGCCGGUGCCCUGGGUCUGUGUGGAUCUUGCCGUUCUGUUGGCCGUUUGGCUGCUGUCCCUUGUGGUACCUACACCGGCCACACCCCCUUGCCUUUGGCUGCUGAGUGAGAGCUACCACGGCAGCUGCCUCUCCGGGAUCCAAUUACUUCCAUUGCGUUUAGGUUUUCCAGUUGAGGUGGUUGUGGUUCCCGGUGCAAGGAAGGACUGGCCAGACGAGGAGAGCAAUUAAUGGAGCUCUUCAAGGAUGCUGGGGCCCUCCCUCACGAACUUAUUUCUCCAAGUAUUGGUGAAAAUUAUGCCUUCUGGAUCCACCCACGCUGAGUGAGCUAUCUUAAAUGACAUUCCCACUCUAACAUUCCAGUCUCCUUAAGCCUUUGAAUCCCUUCCUUGGCAUUAAACCAAGGGAGGUUGGGCAUUUCCAGUCUGCUCACAGCAGGUUAUCUUUUGAUCCACCUUUCAGGUCAGCCGGCCCUUGGAGCCUUCCUGACUCCCUGAGCUGCAACAUUAAAAGCAGAAUUUCUUUGUGAGCCCGUAUCAAUAAAUUCAGCCUGAUCCAACCCUCUGUUUCUUAAAUUUCCAUUUUCACACAUGUUCCCUGGAUUUCUGUUUGUAUAAAUGAGAAAACCCAAGUAGUUGUUUUAAAAUGUGGCACACUUCCUCUUGAGUCAUACUUUGUACCUCACCUUUAGGGAUCUGUUGGGACUGGAGUCUAGUUGUAGGUCUAGAAACAAAGAGGUGGUGAUGGUGAAUCCCGAGGAGAAUCAGCAUUGUCUUGCAUGACAGCUGCCUCUGGGGAUUAGGCGAUGAGUUAAUCUCGUCACACGGAGGUGGGAAGGUCCACACUGCUGUGGGUGGGGAAGCCACUACUUCGGACACCCAAGACUGGUUAGAUCCGAUCCAGUUGUGCUGUAUUUUGCAAGAAAUGUUAAAGUAUGUAUGUAUUCCUCUUGUCACUUAGCAUGAUAUAGUAGAAUUAGGAACUAGAGACAGAAUAUACAGUUGAGCCCGAGCUGCAUACUUAUUAGCCGUGGGGCCUUUGGCAGAUAGCUCUCUCAAUUCCCUCGUUUAAAGCGUAGCUAUGAUAACCCCUACCUGUGACCAUGAUUGCUAAGUGAACCUCAGUAGCCGUUGUUCUCCCCUUUGAGAAUAGACUUCUCAGUCCGGUGUUAGCUAGCCCACGGGCACCCAGCUCUAGCUGCCUUCCCCUGCGAGUCGCACCUGGAUAGGGCCCUGUGACUAGGUUUGGGGCAUUGGGAUUUGGAAGGCAGAAUUGUGGGCAACUUUUGGGUUCUCUUAAGGACUUAUUUGCCCUGGAUGCCCUCAUUUCCUGUUUCUCUUUGGCUGGGAAAUGGCAAGAAUUGAAGCAGCAGUCUUGGAUCCAGCGACAGGUACGACGGAGGAAGACAACGGAACCGGCUGUCUGCCCCAGGCUCCUUGGAGCAGAGCUGCUCACUCCUUCGCUUUUGAACCGUUACGUGAGAGAGAAAGAAACCUGUCUUAUUUCAGCCCCUGCAUUUCUACAUGUCUUUGUUACAGGUCCUUGCAUUCCGCCUGGUGGCCCUAACAAAACACCACCUUAAAGAGUCGUAGGGUACCUACUGAAUGUCAGAAAAUAUUUGCAAAUCAUAUGCGUGAUAAGGGACUAAUAUCCAAAUAUAUAAAGAACUUCUGCAACCCAAUGGCAAAAAGCAGUGUGAUUGAAAAAUGGGCAGAGGGGCUGAAAAGACAUUUUUCCAAAGAAGACAUCAUCCAGAUGGCCCACAGGUGCUUGAAAAGAUGCUCAACGUCACUCAUCAUCAGGGAUGCAAAUCAAAACCACAGUGAGGUACCACCUCACACCUGUUAGCAUGGCCGUCCUCCAGGAGACAAGCGGUAAGUUGGUGAGGAUGUGGAGAAAAGGGAACCCUCAUGCGCUGUUGGUGGGACUGUAGGUUUUUUCAUGUUUCUACACAUAAGUGUUACUUUUUUUUUUAAUGUAUUAUUGGGGGGAGGCUGUAAAUUUGUGCUGCCGCUGUGGAAAAGUGUGAAAAAGUAAGGAAGUUCCUCAAAAGAUUGAAAAUAGAGCUGCUGUACAAUCCAGCAAUUCCACUUCUGGGUAUUUAUCUGAAGAAAAUGAAAGCACUAAUUCAAAAGGUAUCUGUACCCCCAUGUUCGUCGCAGCGUUAUUUAUAGUGGCCAAGAUGUAGAAGCAACCUAAGUGUCCAUCGAUGCAUAAGUAAAGAAAAUACGAUUCUGUGUGUGUGUGCGUAUAAAAACUGCUCAGCCAUAGAAAUGAAAUCUUGCCAUUUGCAACAACACUAAUAGAUGCUGAGAGCAUCGUGCUAAGUGGAAUAAGUCUGACAGAAAAAGACAAAUACCAUAUGAUCUCACAUGUGGAAUCUAAAAAUGAAAACCUGAGCUCAUGGAUAUAGGGACCACAUCGGUGGUUGUCUGAGGCCGGGGGUGAGGGUGGGCAAAAUGGGUGAAGGGGGUCAAAAGAUAUAAAUUUCCAGAUAUUAGUAAGUCAUGGGAUGUAAUGUGGGGCAUGGUGAUGAUAGCUAAUGAUCCCUGCGUUGUGUAUUGGAAAGUACUUAGGAGAGUGGGUUGGUCCUCUUAAAAAAAGAAUUUUGUCACUCUGGGGUAUUGGAAGUUGACUGGACUUAAUUGCCGUGGUGAUCAUUUUGCGGUAUAUACAAGUAUCACAUCAUUGUGUCGUUCACCUGAAACUAAUACCAGGUAUACUUCAGUAGAAGAAACACUUGUGAAAACUAGAGAUGAGAAAUGUCCUGGUUUAGUAUAUAACACAUAGCAAGUGCUCUGUUAGUGUUUCCUACUGUUAAAUAGUUACUUUCUACCUGUUGUGGGUGGGGUGCAGUGCUAAAUCAAAGGUCAUAAAAAUGGUUUCUGUUGUUAGUGGAUUUAAGAAUAUUAAGAGCAAGGAUUAUUUCAAUUAAAAAUGUAUGUAAAAUAGCUAAUAGCAACUAGUGAGAGAACAAAACUUAUAACGUUCAUAAUCGUAACAGAAAUAUACUUUAUCUGGAAUGAAACAAUAAGACAUGGGCAAGAGGACCCAUAUGAGAAAAACUUACAGUUUAAGACAUAAAAGACUGUAGAAAUGUGUGGAGAGAUAUUUUGUGUUACUUAAUGUUAUAAAAGGUUUCUCACAAAGGUUUAGAGGUUUAAUGUUAAAAGGUCAAACAAUGAAGUCAAGCCUGUAAAAUAGAUGUGGGUCUUCGCCUACCCUUUCUCGCCACUAGGUUGGCAUCUGCAGAGGUGGCUGGUUUGAAUUCUUUCAUCGGUUUCUUCUGAUACUUACCUCUGUAUUUUUUAUCUCUUCUCUUUCUUGUCUGUCUAGAGAGUGUUCACAGGCGUGUGUGUAUGCGCACAAGUAGGGGAGGGGCAGAGAAAGAGGAAGAGAGAAUCCCAAGCAGGCUCUGGGCUCAAACCCACAAACCGAGAGAUCAUGACCUGAGCUGAAAUCAAGAGUGGGAUGCUUAACCCCCUGAGCCCCCCAGGCGCCCCUCAAUAUUAUUUAUGAUGCCAUUUCUUAUUUUUUUUACUUGUCUCUUCACUUUUUAAUGAGGUGAAUGAAGAUUUGCUCUUUUAUACCUCGCUUCUCAAUUAUUUCCCUCUUCCCCUCAACAUUGCUCCCCUGUAACAGGUACAUGAUUUUUCGUUGGUCAGUGACUUCAUUAUUAUAAUUGCGUAUUAUCUGUAGCUGAGACACAAAGUGAUUGUGAUUAUAUUCACUUUUCCCCAUAACUUGUUUUUCUUGGCGUUUAAUUUUCCUGUGCUGUCUUUUUAAUGAUUUAUUCUCCCCUUUCUCUUUUCUAGAAUUUCUGUAGUCUGAUAUUGGAUCUCCUGGAUUUUGAUCUUCUAAUUUUCUUUUUUCCGUCUUUCUCUCUUUCUGGUGUCUGGGAGAUUCCCUCUGCUUUAUCUUCCAGUCUUACUAUUGUAUAUAUAUUUAAUUUCCUGCUCCCAUUUUAAAAUUCUAAAAGCUUUUUCUUAUUGAGUAAACAUCCCUUUCAAUAGGCCCCAUUACUGUUUUAUGGAUACACUUUCAACUCUCUGAAGAUGCAGAUUUCAGUUAAAAAUAACAACCCAACAAUUUCUUUGGGUAGUGAUUACUUCUUUUUCAUUUGUUUUUCCAUUUCAUUUGGUUUCUUUAUUUCAUGUGGAAGAAUUCUUCACUGGUUCCUCAAAUGCUUAGCUAAUAUUAACAGUCUUAGCAGAAGCUCUGUGCACGGGUUUCACUCUAGGGCUGUUUAGUUGAAGACCAGAUUUAUUUUAUUGACACAUCUCUGACUUUUUUUCCUUCAAGUUUUUACUGAAAUUCUAGUUAGCUAAAAUAUAGUGUAAUACUGUUUUCAGGAGUCGAAUUCAGUGACUCAUCACUUACACAUAACACCGAGUGUUCAUCCCGACAAGUGCCCUCCUUAAUGCCCAUCCCCCACCCACCUCCCUCCAUCAGCCCUCAGUUUGUUCUCUAUUUGUAAAGAGUCUCUUAUGGUUUCUUUCCCCCCUCUCUCUUUUUCCUCCUUUUACAUACGUUCAUCUGUUCUAUUUCUUAAAUUCCACAUAUGAAUGAAGUCAUACGGCACUUCUCUUUCUCUGACUGACAGAUUUCGCUUAGCAGAAUACACUCUAGUUCUGUCCACAUAGUUGCAAAUGGCAAGGUUUCAUUCUUUUUCGUCACCAAGUAGCAUUCCAUUGUAUGUAUAUACCGCAUCUUCCUUAUCCAUCAUCCGUUGAUGAACGUUUGGGUUCUUUCCAUAGUUUGGCUGUCGUUGAUAACACCACUAUAAACGUCGGGGUGCACGUGCCCCUUUGAAUCUGUAUUUUUGUGUUAUUUGUGUGAAUAUCUAGUAGUGCAAUUGCUGGGUCGUAGGGUAGUUCUCUUUUUAGUUUUUUGAGGAACCUCCACACUGUUUUCCAGAGUGGCUGCACCAGUUUGCAUUCCCACCAGCAGCGCAAAAGAGAUCCUCUCUCUCCGCAUCCUCGCCAACAUCUGUUGUUGCCCGAGUUGCUGAUUUUAGCCAUUCUGACCGGUGUGAGGUGCUAUCUCAUGGUGGUUUUGAUUUGCAUUUCCCUGAUGAUGACACAGCUCUGACUCUUAACGUCUGUAGUCUUUUCUGAUUUUUCUUCGCAAAGAGGAACCCCUCUGCCUCCUGCUGAGGGAGUGCACCUGUUUCUGGCAGUUGAGUAGGGGAGAGAGCUGGGGGGAGGGAGACUCACGUCUGAGUAUAUCACUUGCAUUCGCUCUCCCUGCGAUCUUACCCUCACGCCCUGUGCCCGCAGUGCCUCAGUGCAGAGUCUGGCACGCUCCGUCUUUUUCCCCAGAGAGUAGACUGCUCUUUCUCCUGCCUGAGCAAGAGUCAGUUGGAGAGUUGGAGGCCGCAUGGAGCGCCUGUCUCAUGCAGACUUCGCGUUCCUCCUCCUUUAGCCCCACCCGCAGCUGCCCAUGUUCCUGAGCCUUUCUGAGUGCCGCCUUCGUGCUGCCUCCCCUUAACUACACAGUUAGGGUUCAGCUGUCGCUGUUCUGCUACGGCAGAAACUACUCACUCACCUCUCUUUCCAUCUUCCAAAAUUUUCUUAAUGUCUUUGGUCUAUAACCACUUCUAGUCUUUAUCCUUAGUGUUUCAUACUUAAAAAAAAAAAUGUCUUUAUUGUCAUUUGAGUGGAGUUUGGGGAGUAAGUGGAAAUAAAUGCAUGUAUUCAAGUCACUAUUUUAACCAGAAAUCUUUGAGUUUUCACAAGAGUAAACUUUAGACUUGCAUGAAAACAGGACCGUUAAGAUGAGGUGGUUUGAUGCUCAGUGGACCAUCUGCGGAGGCAGACCUCAUUUACAAGUGUCCCGUUCUCCCUGUGGCUCCAGGGUCUUCUCUCUUUUCCGCCGUUUGUGGCAGAUACAGGGCCUCCGAUGGUGGGAACACUCACUUUUCCUGCUCCCGGAGAUGACAGUCCUACGACCCCUGAAAAUCUCCCAUGUCAGCCAUACCCUUGUUUUGCUUCCUACACCAUUUCUGAAAGAUACCCUAAUAAUUUCUAGUUCAAAACUUGUAUUCAGUCUAAAUCAGUGGAAUUUUAGUAAUGAAUCACCUAGAACGUUGGCUUUCACCAUGUCUAUCAGAAUGCUUCUAGCUGCAAAUAACAGAAAGCCCAGCUAGCUGAAAGGGUUGGAGAGUUUGGGGCUCCUGGGUGGCUCAUUCGGGUUAAGCGUCCAACUCUUGGUUUCGGCUCGGGUCGUGAAUCACAGUUCAUGAGUUUGAACCCCACGUCGGGUUCUGUGGUGACGGUACAGAGCCUGCUUGGAUUCUCUCUCUCUUUCUCUCUCUGCCCCUCCUCCACUUACACACGCACACACACUCUCUCUCAAAAUACAUAAGUAAACUUAAAAAAAAAAACAAACAAAAAACCAAAGGGGGUUUAUUCUGUUUACUUAACUGGAAAGUUUAGAGAUAGGUCAGUCUUCAUUGCUAUUUGGUCAAGACUCUUACUCUCUUUCUCUGCAUUUCUCUCAGCUCUGCUCUGAUCUGCAUGUUGACUUUUAGGCUGGCUCCCCUCAUGGUUACAGAAUGGCUGCGACAGCUCCAGGUGUCAUGUUUCAUACACACCAUGCAGAGGAAGAGAAAGGUUCUUUCCCAGAAGUUACCAGAAGACAUCUCCACACCUCGGGGUGGGGACAGGGGGCAGGAAUUAUACCAAUUUAUCUCGCAUCACACCCCAUUUCUAGAAUGAGGGUGGUUAUACUCCCCCAAAACAUACAGGUUAUGUGAGGCAGGAGUAAUACUCAUAAUAUCAGAAUAGGGGGCGUGGAUGUUGGGAAGGCUAUCACGGUAUCCAUUACUGUGCUUGUUUUUAAUAUCUCUGCUUUGAUCACCGAGGACAUAACUGUCUUUAUAUUUACAUCCUUACACUUUUUAUAAGUUGUUCUCCCCUCAUUCAGGUUCCAUUGAUCUUAUGUGUUAACAAACCAUCAUUGUCUUUAUCCUUCAGGCUUUUCCUUACAAUUUUUUUUUUUUUUCUAAUCUGCAGUUUAACCCACUGUGUGCAUUUAAAAAAUAUUUCAGUGCUUAUGAAAUUCUUCUUCUCCAUGCCCUAAUGUUCACCUGGCCUUUUUGGUAUUGUCUUUUUGUUGGCCCUCAAAGUUUUAUAAUGACUUUUGUUCUUAAUAAAUUUAAGCAUGCUUUAUAAUUUCUAUCUCUACUAUUAUCUGAAAUGUUUUGUUGUCUAAUUGUUAUUUUUUACUUCUGCUCUUUCCCUCAUGAUGGAUUAUUUCUUCAUGUGCUUUGCAACUUUGGGUUGUGAGCUCAUCUUCAGUAAGUCUUUAAUUGUUGGAAUUCUGCAGGUCCUGAGUAGUUAUACAUUUGUCUCUGCCAGGUCAGUCAGAGAUCACUCUUGAGAAGUUUCUGAGCCUUGGAUUUCUUGGGUCAUGCAGGUAGUGUAAAUUUGAACUUCAAGUCUUUGUGAAGGCUGUCUCAGUGUAGAUUUUGGGUUUUGUUUUGUUUUUUGUUCACCUAGAACCCGGGCCAAGGUAGCUAAGUUUCCUUGAUGGGGAAAUUGGUUUUAUGACGGCAUUUUAUUCUGAUUCCCUGCCUCCCAGGGUUAAGUGCUCCUUUCCAGCUACUUGAUAGGUGUUAAAAUUCAAGCCUCUUGGUUAUUGAAACUGGUGAACCCCUGCCCCAACCACGAGCUCAUGCUUGCUGCUGUGGUUUCCCGUUCCUGCCUGGUUUGGGCCUCUCGGUUUUAAUUUCUUACUGUGCAUUUGAGGAAUGUUGACUUUAUUUCAUCCAGCACUUUUGAAUGUUUAAGUUCGUCUUAGGUCUGAUUCUCCAGGGAAUAGAGAUUUGAGGCAGAGAUUUGCACGCAGGGGGUGUUUUGGACAUUUCUGUUGGCAACAUGCUUGUAGGGAGGUGAGGGCUUGUGAGGCGAGAUGGGAUGGAUGGAAGAGCUAAUGGGGGAAGAGCUCAUAGGGAGAGGGAGGAGCUAAUGGGGAGUGGGUGGAGCUAAUGGGGGGAGGAGCUAGUGGGGAGAGGGAGGAGCUAAUGGGGAGAGGGAGGAGCUAGUGGGGGAGGGAGGAGCUAAUGGGGAGAGGGAGGAGUUAACCGUAGUGCAGCUGCAGCCCUUACUUGAGCCGGUCCCUUGGGCAGCUUCUAGACCUAGGGAUUAUGUGCACGCUGGUUCGGGCCAGGUCUUCGAAGCUCUGGGAGCCCAGCUCCCUAACGGUGUUCCCGACGGUCAGCCCCCACUGAGCUGCUCGCCUGUACCGAUCCCCUUCUUGUGUGUACCUUCCCCGCAGCUCCGGGAAGUGCGGCGCCCUCUGGGCCCUGCGGUGGCCAGCAGCUUGUGCAGCGUCCCCUGGUACCUGCUCCCUGGCCCUGCCCUUCCCUCAUUCACUGUCUGCCACAGCAGCUCUGGCAUUUCUCCUUCACGUGUUGAGGGUCUCCACUUCCCCACCUUUCGAGACUGUGUCGGUAGUGUCCUAAUGUUUCCAGGGUCCUCCUCGGGGUUACCUCCUGUGUCGGGGGCAGUGCCCCCGGCUAGAUGAGCUCAGCCCGACGGCUGAGUCCGUCCCCGUGCUGCACAUACUCCUCUGGCCCCUGCAGCUCCUUCGGCCCGCGGGCCUUCCCUCCUGGCAGGCUCAGUGCUUCCUGAGCGCUGGUCUUUGCGAUCGGCUUGGAGGCCAGGAGGAGUACAGUGUCCCGGAGGCCACGGUUUGUCCGCUAAGGUAAAAUGCUCUGCGUCAUCCUCAGGCAGGCAAGGUGCUAAUUCUGCAGGAUCGAGAGCUCCUGGGCGUCUGGAGACAAGUGUAGCCCCCACAUGUCUUUGUCCGAGUCUCGGUUGCAUGCCUGCCUCGUCAGAGUCUUGACUUGAGGCGGCUCAGCCGCUCUGUGGUUUGUCCCUGGCCCCAGCUUCAGUUGUCGGUUGUCAGAGAUGACAGGUCUGCCUGUGCCGCCAAGGAGGCCCUUUGACUUUGCGCUUCACCCUCAGCUGGUGAUCCAUCACACGCAGCCUUGUGCCAUCUUGGCUCCCGGCAAGAGCCGUGCGAUUCCAGAGUCCUUGCAGUGACCGCUUUCCUGACGUCUCAGGCCGGAGAUGUGUCUGCACGCCCCUUCGUCUGGCCUUUCGGCCCACAUCACCGCAGGUGAAAGUGUUAGCAAGUGUCCUACAGCCUGCGUGGGGCUGAUGGUGCUGCAUCUCCCCCUAGUGAAGGGGGGCUUGGGGUGAGAGCAGCUCCCGGACCGACUUCUGGCUGGGAGCCAAGGGUGGCUGACGUUUCCGGCCGCUGGGGGUUAGUCCUCGGGGGCCGCGGAUCCAGCAGUGGACCCACAGCACCCCCUGCAGAAGGGCCUCAGGUGCCCUGGUGCACAGCACGGCCAGAAAGAAAGGCCAGCUAGAGCACGGACGACAGAAGUUCUUACGUGGACUCCUUCCUGAUACAUGGCACGUUCGGAUGUGGUUUCUGGAAGUCAUUCAGUUCUCAUUUUAGCCAGGACUUUCAUUUUCAAAGAAGUGUGUAAGUCAUUAAUCGUUUCACUGAAAUGGGGGGUGAUUUUGAGAUAAACCUAGGCAUUAUGGAUUUGUUGCUUUAAAGGAUAGAUGCACUUUUUGGUGAUGGUGAUGUAAUUUCUACUUUUAGGAAGUUUUAUAAUAGGGUGUCAGAUUGCCAACUCAUAAAAAACAAAACAAAACGAACAAAACUUGAAGAGCCAAGUCCUGCAGCUUAAAAUGCUGACAUUCAUGAAAAAGAACACAUACUCAAAGCUAAUAGAUCUCUCUAAUUUUUUGGGGUGACUGGGUGGCUCAGUUGGUUAAGUGUCCAAGUUCGGCUCAGGUCACGAUCUCGCGGUCCGUGGGUUCGAGCCCCGCAUCCGGCUCUGUGCUGGCAGCUCAGAGCCUGGAACCUGCUUCUGACUCUGUGUCUCCCUCUCUCUCUGCCCUUCCCCCACUCACACUGUGUGUGUGUGUGUGUGUGUGUGUGUGUGUGUGUGUGUGUGUCUCAAAAAAAAACAUUAAAAAAAAAUCUCUAACUUUCUAAAGUUUUAUUGAGAUCUAUUUCACAUACCAUAGCCAUGCACAUCUUGUAAGUAUAUAGUUCAGUGAUUUUAAGUAUAUUCACAGAUGGUUGUGCAAGCAUCACAUCUAAUGUUAGAAAGUUUUGACAUCCCCCCAAGAGAAACCCCGUGCCCAUUAGGAGUCACUGCUCCAACCCUUCCCUCCUGCCUCUGCACUCGGCAACUACUGACCUGCUUUCUUUGUGGAUUUGCCCGUUCAGGACAUUUCACAUCCGUGGAAUCAUGCAGUAUGAGGCCUUUUGUGACUGGUUUCUUUCAGUCAAAGCUAGUAUGUUUUCAUUCCAGUCUACGUUAAGAUUCGGACUAAUUCUCUUUCUUACGAUAAGGGAGACUCAGAACGCUGCAGAACAAAGCUGAGACUUCCAAAACCAUGUCUACCUACUUGGUGCCACUGGGGCUCUGUCAGCUGGGGCUAGGUGAGGAGUUUCUAGUUCUCGGUCGCAACCAUAGUAUAGCACUGAGGUCGCUGCAUUUCAGUAGGUUGGUGAAGUUGUUUCAGUGGUUUGUUUAAUUUAUUCGCUGAUUCAUUCAUUCACUCAUCCGUUCGAAUUCACUUCGUGGACUGAUGGGAAUGAGACAACGUGUAUCUCACCGUGCUCUCAGGAAGGACUGGCUUCCAGCAGGUGGUGUUUUUGACUUUAAAAAGCAAUAGCCCAGUGUUUUUUCUUAGAGAAAUCGAAUGGCGUGGCCCCUGUCUUCUACUGUUUGGCUGUAAGAGAAGUGCCGUGCCCAUCAUCACCAUAGUUACUAUCUUCGUGCUGCUUUUUGACGGCUCACGGUAUGUUGGGCGCCGUGCUAAGCGUGCAACGUGAAUUACUCCUUAUCAGCCUAGCAGUCCUGUCAGGUGAGUGCUGCCACCCCAUCAUAGAGACGAGGAAAGUGAAGCCCGGACAGUGAGUGGCUGGUCAGGACCACCGAGUGGCACUCAGACUCACACGUAUGCUCCUCAGUGUUCGUGCAGUUCUAGGUGGCUGCUUCCUGAGUACUCUUUUAUACCCUGUAAGAUUAGUGCUAACCCGACGUUGGAAACAGAGCAGUGCAAUGCGUUGGUCGUGACUCAGAUGACAUCUUCACGAAAGUCUGUGGAAGUGUAGCUGGGUGCCCUACAGCUCCACAGCAGUGUUCCUACUUAACAUUGUACCUAAAGAGCCACAGAGUGGUAGCGUCGUCCGUCUGUCUUUUUUUAAAGUGAGCUUCGUACCAGCGCAGACCCCGAGCGCGGGGCUUGAACUCAAGGCCCCGAGAUCAAGACCUGAGCGCAGAUAAAGAGUUGGACACUUAACCGACUGAGUCACCCACGUGCCUCGUGUCUGUCUUUUUUAUGAGCCGACGUCUGUUGGGUGUUUAUUAUGUACCAGCCUCUACGCUGAAGGCAUUAUCUCAUUUGAACCUUAAAACAACCUGUGCGAUAGCAACUUUUAGUAUCGUCGUUUUCAGAUGAAACAGUUGAGGCUUUGACAAGUUAAGAUGCUUCUCUUAAGAUACCCUAUAUUAGGGGUGUCUUGGUGGUUCGGUGGGUUAAGUGUCUGACUCUUGAUUCUGGCUCAGCUCAUAAUCUUGUGGUGGGGAGAUCGAGUCUGGCAUCAGGCUCCACAUAAGCGUGGAGCCUUCUUAAGAUACCGCUCACGCACGCAUGCUCUCUGUCCCUCAGAAAAAAACCCUAAGGUGUCUAACUGAGAAAAGACAGAGCUGGGAUUUGAACCCAUACGUUAACAUUCUGGUACUGAAACCUGCGCUCUUAAUGCUGUGCUGCCUCUCUGUCUUCCCGCAUUCCUAGUCAUCAUCUUUAAUUGUCUUUGGUGAACUUGGUCUUUCCUUCCGUUCUUGUGCUCUUUCUGCUUAGUGAUGAUCCUUAUCUUGCCGCUGGUCUUGUCUUUUCAAUUUUGAUAGAAUGAUGAAUUGAUACAAGUCAUUUAUAAGAGUUGAUUAAUUGUAUUUUAGUAAGAAAAUUUGAAAGCAAAUGCUUGAUUAAGCCAUUGAAAAACAGUUUAUUACAAAUUUUCUCCAUUGCAAAAGUAGUACUUUCACUGUAAGCAAAGGGGAAAAAAGCUUUAAACCUAUUAGUAUAGUUUUUUCCUUUAACUUUUAAUUUUCAUUUUUAAAUGCUUUUUAUCCCUAAUUAUCAUAUGAAAGUAAUUACCAUCCUAAAGAAAUUUUAGGGGCACCUGGUGGGGGGGGGGCUCGGUUGAGCAUCCAACUCUUGGUUUUGGCUCAGGUCAUGAUCUCAUGGUUUGCGAGUUCAAGUCCCGCUUGGGCUCUGUGCUUACAUCGUGGAGCCUGCUUGGGAUUCUGUCCCUUUCCCUCUCUCUCUGCCCUUCCCCUGCUCAUGUUCGCACUGUCUCUCUCAAAAAUAAAUAAAUAAACUUUAAAAAACAAGAAAUUUUAAAUGUCAGCAAAUAUGUAGAAGGAAUGGUACCUUCCUACGAAUGGUACCGUGUGGAGGCACCUGGGGGGCUCAGUCAGUUGAGCUUCCGACUUCGGCUCAGGUCAUGAUCUCACAGCUCGUGGGUUCAAGCCUCAUGUUGGGCUCUGUGCUGACAGCUCAGAGCCUGGAGCCUGCUUCCGAUUCUGUGUCUCCCUCUCUCUCUCUCCCUCUCUCUCUACGCCCCUCCCCCACUCAUGAUCUGCCUCCCUCUCUCCCUCUCAAAAAUAAAUAAAUAAACAUUAAAAAAAAAAACUGUACUGUGUACAUGUGAAAUACCAAAAGUAAAACUUGGUUUACCUUUAAAUAUGAUGUCAGGAAAGAGCACAUGUUAAUGUAGUUUCUUGUUAAUCAGGUAACCUGUGGCUCUUUGGGGACGAGCCACCCGGAGGCAGAGGUCUGCAUGAGAAGCAGGCUUCUGACCCGGGCUGUUGCGUGCAGAGCACAUGUCCUAUUCUUACUGGUCCCUUCCAGAGUCGGAGCCUUAUUGCCCCUUGGCGUGCAUGUGCCAUGAAGACCUUCUCUUUCCCUCCUCUCUUCCCCUCCCCCGAAUACAAGUCACACUUUUCCUUCGUACUUGUGCUUAUGUUCAGCAGGUUUCCUGGCAUACUUGUGGCUGUUCUAAUAUUCAGUAAUAUUUUCUUAAGGAAACCCCUUCUCUGGAAUUUUGGAAUGCAGUUCUGUGCCUCUGUUUUUUACCCUCCUGUGAACAUUUUCUGAUAAGUAUUUCAUUGGAAAGGCUGGUAGGCACUUCUGUUCCUCUUUUAACCUUUUCUAGGCUAAGUAAAUGUUUUUGCCAAAAACUUAAAAAAAUUAUAAUUGAUGUCUUCCCUUUUUCCCGCUGAAAUAAAUCAUGUGUGUUUUAGAUAACAUUGGAUUUAAAAAUGUACAGCUUGGAGCAUCUUCGGUUAAAAUUUUGGAAGGUCUAGUUAGAGUUGAGUACAUCUUUUUUGCCUGUAAGAUACAGAAACAAGAAACAAUUUAAUCUACAUAGGAGGGUGACUAUUCAUAAUAUGAAAGGAUACUGAGUGUAUUGCUGGGAUUACGGGGAAUCCCAGUGUAUUGCUGGGAAUACUGAGUGUAUUACUGGGUAAUAACGAGUGAGCCUGACUAGGGAAAAAUGUCUAAAAAGACAUCUUAGAUGAUAACAAAACGUAGAGAAACAGUGAUCUGGAGUGCAGACCCGUCUAGUGUUGUGUCUCGUAUAUAUGGACUCAUCUCUUUGGAAUAACCAUUAUCUUUUAGUUCCUGUGCAUUUUUGUAUUCUGGAUGCGAACCUACUUUACAUGGCAACAUAUUUGCUAUUGAGUGGAAAACACUGCAGUUUAAUUUGCAUGGCAUAUAUAGAUUCCAUCCCCUAAGUCUGCAUUAAUUGUGUGAUUAAAAUAUUUAGUUCUCAACAGUCUUAAAAUUUGUUUUUCUGUUUUAUAAGAUACCUACUCUACUUGUCAAUUAAAAAUCACUACAGAUUUUUUUCCCUUUCUAUUUAAAUUUUUUUUUUUUCAACGUUUAUUUAUUUUUGGGACAGAGAGAGACAGAGCAUGAACGGGGGAGGGGCAGAGAGAGAGGGAGACACAGAAUCGGAAACAGGCUCCAGGCUCUGAGCCGUCAGCCCAGAGCCCGACGCGGGGCUCGAACUCACGCACCGCGAGAUCGUGACCUGGCUGAAGUCGGACGCUUAACCGACUGCGCCACCCAGGCGCCCCUUUCCCUUUCUAUUUAAUAGACGUACUGUUUAGAGCAGUUUUAGGUUUACAGAGUAAUUGAGCGGAAAGCAUGGAGAAUUUUGAUAUAACCCCGUCCUCCUUUUAUUAACAUCUUCCAUUAGUGUAUAUGUUUAUUAUGGUUAAUGAAUGUUGAUAAGUUGCUAUUAACUAAUGUCCAGGUGUACAUUAGGACUCAUUCUUUAUAUCGUACAGUUUUCAAUUGUGACAAAUGUAGGUCGUACCCACGAUUAUCAAAUAUCCACCAUUACAGUUCAUGACUUUGUGAAAGAUAGUUUUGCUGCUUUAAAAAUCCCCUGUAGGGGCGCCUGGGUGGCGCAGUCGGUUAAGCGUCCGACUUCAGCCAGGUCACGAUCUCGCGGUGCGUGAGUUCGAGCCCCGCGUCGGGCUCUGGGCCGAUGGCUCAGAGCCUGGAGCCUGUUUCCGAUUCUGUGUCUCCCUCUCUCUCUGCCCCUCCCCCGUUCAUGCUCUGUCUCUCUCUGUCCCAAAAAUAAAUAAACGUUGAAAAAAAAAAAUUUAAAAAAAAUAAAAAUCCCCUGUGGAAUAAUGUUAAAUGGAAAUAAGUCCUUUUUCUUACCUUCCUUCCCAGUGUGACUCUAAGAAACUAUUGUUGAUAUUUUCUUGUGUGUUUCAGUGACACAAUGAAACAAUGAAUUUUUGAUCUUGCCCAUACGAUACAGGUGGAUACCUCAUAUUUUCCAGCGGCAGCAGUGUAAACACUCUUGAAACCGCUUAAAGAAAGGGAUUGUGGGUGACUGAGGAGCUGGUCCCGCGCACCUGUUAGCGAUGGUGUCCAAGAAGGAGGCCGUAAGGUGGCAUGUCUGGCUUGGCACUGAGGCUGGUGUGGCUACUGAAUGUCACAGCAUGUAAUUUAAGAUGUGAGGGUUAUUGGACACAUAAUAACAUACUGUUAGCUAGAAGAUGAAGACAGUGCUCUGACAUGUAAACAUGUACUGUGUUCAUUUCGUGAAUACCUUUGUCUCGGUAGAAAAACUUUUACUAAUAUUCAACAGUAGUUCCUCAUUCCUGGCAUUUUAAACUUUUAAGAAGCUUCCAUUGAUCAUGUGAUUAAAUGCGUGUCAAAAACAGAUAUGUUAUAUUUUUGAAAUAUGGAGCUUGAAAAAAAAUAUACCUCAGUCUAGGAAGUUGUAAGGAUGUUUUAUGAAAAAAAUCAGGCAUUACUUUAAGCUUUUGCAUAAAAUUAUCAGAAUAUUUGCCAUGGAAAAGUACUUCUGGAGAUUUCUGCAUGAUAAAUUCUUGGUAUGUAUUAAUUUUUAAAACAUUUAAAAAAUAUUUAUUUUUGAGAGAGAGAAAGAGAGAGCACAAGCGGGGAAGGGGCAGAGAGAGAGGGAGACAUGGGAUCCGAAGCAGGCUCCAGGCUCUGAGCUGUCAGCACAGAGCCCCACGUGGGGCUCGAACUCAGAACUGGGAGAUCAUGACCUGAGCUGAAGUUGGAUGCUUAACCGACUGAGCCACCCAGGCAGCCCAGCCCCCCCCUUUUUUUUUUAAUGUUUUGUUUUGUUCUUUCAGAUCUUUGAUUGUUAUUUACAGAAAUUGUCUUUAGAGGGAUUUGAAAUGGAAUAGAAACUUUUGGAGCUGAGCAAUAAAUACAGGACCAUUAUAAAUAUACAGAGAAAAACUGAGUUUUGAAACCACAGUGUUGAGUCUGUCUCCCAUGCUGAUGUGUACCGACUUUUUUUUCUUCUUCUUUUUUAAUGUUUAUUUUUGAGAGAGAGAUAUAGUGUGAGCGGGGGAGGGGCAAAGGGAGAGGGAGACACAGAAUCCGAGCUGUCAGCACACAGCCCAACGCAGGGCUCGAACUCACAAACCGGGAGAUCAUGUUCUGAGCCGAAGUCGGAUGCCUAACCGACUGAGCCGCCCAAGCUCCCCUUGAUAUUUUUUAAAUAUCAUAAUUAGUUAUGUUUAAUUGACCUGGUUGACUUUCAAAACUAAUUGUGAAAGAAAUAGAACUUAGUGAUAAUUCAAGUCAAUAAAUGGGUUUUUUGCUGUUUUUCUGCCAUUCCACUGAGUGGAAAGUAGCAUAUACUUUAUUAGAAAGCCAAGUGAUAAGCUUAUUUUCCUUGAUGUUUUGUAUUUUUCUUACCUUUCGUAUGCAUCGUUGAAUGAUUCUGGUCGUGUGCACUUUUGACGAAUCGUUUAAUUUACGCUCACGUUCAACCGCGGCAUUAUUUGCCGUAGUCAGAAGGUGGGGGCUACUCAUGGGUGUCCAUGGAAGGAUGACGGAUGAUCGAAAUGUGUAAGCAUACAGUGGAAUAUUAUUCAGCUUUAAAGAGGAAGGAAACUCUGACGCCUGCUUCAGCAAGGAUGAACCUUGAGCCUUGAGGACAUGAAAUGCUAAGUGAGACGCUAAGUGAAAUAAGCCAGUCCCGAACAGGGAAGUAGGAGGUGUCUAGAGUGGUCAGAGUCACGGAAAGUAGAGUGAGUGGUGGCUGUGAGGGGCUGGAGGUGGGGGGGGGGAGGGAGGUGCUGUUUACUGGGUGCAGAGAUUCAGUUGCAAGAUGAACGUUGGUUGUACACAGAGUGAAUUUAUUUAACGCUUUGAACUGUACACUUAAAAUGGCUAAUGAUGUAAAUUUUAUAUAUGUACUUUUCCACAAUUAAAAAUUUUUAAAAAUCCAUUGAAAGGUAAACGUAUGCAACUAAAUUUGUCCAGUGGAGUGGUUUAGCAGGGAAUGGAGAAGUCUAGAAGUCUGAGGGACUUCUCCUAAGAACGUACUAUCUGAUUUCCUAAGUAUUUGUAAACAUAGUGCUGAUUUCAACUGCUGAGACAGGUGCAGAGGGAGAGAAGUGUUUGGGUAAUUGCUGUCUGCUCAGGAAAGGGUUAUGGACGUCAAGCUUUUUAAAAUUUCUGUAUAAAAGUUUUCUUUUAAAAACCAGCUCACCCUUUAUUUGUGUUGGCUGAAGUUUUGUGUGCCUGGUGCAUACUUGAAUAAUCUAAUGUAGAGAUUAUAAGGUGAGGGAGAUCCACGUGGCCAAGUUAGAAUGAUGGACGUGCAUCAUAAUGUUACAUGUCAGCUGACCCACCGCAGAAACGGGAGGGGGUAAGGAGGUGUACAUCUGCCUCAGAAAAGAGGCAAGUCGCACCCUUCAAAUUAUCCGUACUAAUUUUUCUCAGUGUGAGCAAAUUACUUUUUAAAAAAUUUUUGAUGUUUAUUUAUUUUGAGAGAGAGAGAGAGACAGAGCACGAGGUGGGGGGGGCAGGAGAGGGAGGCACAGAAUCCGAAGGAGGCUUCAGGCUCCAAGCUGUCAGCACAGAGCCCGACGUGGGGCUUGAACUCAGGAACCGUGAGAUCAUGACCUGAGCCCAAGUCAGUUGCUUAACCGACUGAGCCACCCAGGCACCCCUCAAUCAAAUUGUUUGAUAACAGAAAAGAGAACCUUUCAGUUUAGCUGUCAAAGCCGGGCUGUCGUUUCCGAUGUGCUUUAUUUAAUUAACUACCGAGUCCGGAGCAGAAGUGAAGAGAAGUGGUUACAUGUGCUUGUCCAUCCAGAUCACCAGCUGUCAACUUUCAUUUGUGACACGUCUAGAAAGUUCUUAAUGGACAGUUACAACAAAACCACAUAUCUGUGUAUAGUUAUGCCAUUUAGCUAGAUACUGUAUACGUAUAGCUUGUUAUCUUCAAAGUUUUGAUACAAGCCAGAGUGAGAGUGAGCAGAGUGCCCGAGGAAUCGCGGGCUAAAGAUUUGAUCCGUCUGUCUUUGUGACUCUGGCACCUCCCACACUGCUGGGCAUAUGAGAAGCUAUUAAUACAUGUUUGAAUGAAUGAACGAGUAAAUUAAUGGGUAUGUACCAGUCUGUAGAUUGGUAUACGUCUUUUCAUCUACAAAUCCUUCUGUUCUGGAUAUAAUGUUUCCUUUGCUUUCCCUGGGUGUUCGACUCCUUCUUUUUAAAAGAUUAGUAAGCUUUAUUUCAAGUAAUAUUCUCUUAUAAUAGGACUCAAUCACAAAUAAAUAAAACCAUACUUAACAAACAUUUAUAUAGUGCUUACUGUGUGCCUGGUACUCUUGUUCAUUCGUCAUGUUCUUCUCGUGAAAACCUUAUGAGGUGGCUGUUGAUAUUCCUCCACUCGCAUGGGGAAACUGAGGCACAGACAAGUUAGGUGACUUGCUCAGAGUUGCCAGCUAGUAAGUGUCUCAGCAGGAUUUGCACCAAGUCUGAGUUCCAGAGUCUGUGCUUCACCACCACACGGGGCACGCUGUUUCUCACAAAUACCAGCUCUAAAAACCAUUUCCAUCUCCCCAGAAGACCGCCCAUACUAGGGGGGCUUAUCUUAUUUACGGUAAAAUUUUGUUAAGAUAGAAAUUUUCUAAUGGUGACAUUCACUCUCUUUUACUGUCAAGCUAUGUGAUGAAUAUGUUGUUAUUUAAAAGGUUAUGUUUAUUGUCACCACAGGCCGUGUAUCGAUAGUGGUGAAUGGGCAUAACUUCCAAACGAAGAGGGGUAUAUGCAGCUUCUGGGGUGCUUUGCCUUUCUGCUGGUAAGGUGUUCCUUCUGUCCGCAGCACGUCUGAGGUGUCAGAAGGCACGACAGUCGUCGGAUCGGAAGGACUGGAUUUGUAGACCUCUGGCUGCUCUUGUGACAUCUGUGCUGGUUACCUGAUGAAUUUUGAACCUAGGAACGCCCUUGGCCUGCUAUAGCCCAGGGACCUGAGGAAUUGGACUGUCUGUGCGCCCCCGACCAAUUCCGUGGUCUGGGAGAGCCCCCCUGAAGACGUGCGCUCUAGUCUGGCCGGAGUGUGAUGUCACACAAAUCAAGGCGCUCCAUGCACCUUCUGUUUAUGGUUAUAGGCAGCCCUUCCUUAAAAGCCCUUGGCGAUAUUAGUAUUUUAGUUGUUUAAAGUCCCCAUUAGCCUGAAUUUUUAGUGAAAUGUCUAAUUCACUGUGGCAUCUAUUAAACACAACCUGUCAUUAAAAGAAAAAGAAGGACUCAUCUGUAGCUGUAGGUACAGCAGAAGGGUUCAAGCUGUAGGUACAGCACAAGGCUUGAUGUGGACAGAGCAUCGUUUGUCUUUUCAGGUGUUACUGUUUUAGGGGAAGAGUCAUAACUAUGUUUUUUUAUUUGAAAGAGAGAGCGUGCACGAGCAGGGGAGGGGCAGAGGGAGAGAGCAUCUUAAGCAGGCUUCACGCUCAGUGCAGACCCUGAAGCGGGGCUCGAUCCUGCGACCCUGGGGCCAAAAGCAAGACUUGGGUGCUCAACUGACUGAGCCACCCACAUGCCCCACUGUGUAUCUUGUUUAAACUUUAUGCCUUCCCUCUUUCCCCACAUAACCAGUACCUUUACAAAGACAGUACCUUGCAGAAAUUGCAUUAUGUUAGAGAUUGAAAACAGCAACCAAGAGUGACUGUUGUCUGUAAAUCUCAGUAUUUGCCAGAGUGUUCUGAGGGACUCUGAUUUUGGGAGAUGCCCUUCUGCGAUGUGGUAUGUACUCCCGAACUGGGGAAGAGUUGCGUAAAUGCCGUCCCUGCCAAUGUUCACAGACGCAUGGGUCAAUGCAUGUUUUGAGGAGCCACGGUAUAUAUUAAUAAGUUAAUGAUGCUGAGAAGGCCUGUAGUGAGAAUGGCUUAGCUUUUCUGGACUCCGCAUUUCCCACAUUUGUUUGAACACAGAACCCUUUUCCACCAAAUAUCCGUUGGUUGUCUUGUGCCCCUCAUGGUUCACAGACUGAAAUAACGCGGCACCGUAUAGCAGUGUAGCCAUAUGUUAUUUUGAUGAGGUUUCAGAAGAAUGGUCCAAUCGAAAAUCUGCCAUUAUUGUUUCAUCCCUAGUUAAUAAAUCAAUUUCAGAGAAUAACACUUAGAAAUUGUAGAAAUUUAAGACGUAAUGAAUUUUCUUUGAAUUUAUAUACUGUAGUUCCUUGCAUUGGUAGACAUGUGAUUUACAAAAGACAAUCUCUCUACUUGAUUAAUAGUGACAGAAUGAUUAACCCCAUUAAUUCCAACUAUUGGGGGAAUUUAUGCAAAUCCAAGAUAAUGUAAAAAAAAUAUAUAGAAUGUUUUUUAAGUAAUUGUGGUUUAUCACUGUAAAUACUUUAUCUCAAACUAUAUUAACAGGAUAUUCCCAAAUGGAAGAUUCUGGGUGGAAAUUCUUUAAAAAAAUUUUUUUUUAAUGUUUAUUUACUUUUUUUUUUACUUUUUUUUUUUUUUUUUUCCAACGUUUAUUUAUUUUUGGGACAGAGAGAGACAGAGCAUGAACGGGGGAGGGGCAGAGAGAGAGGGAGACACAGAAUCGGAAACAGGCUCCAGGCUCUGAGCCAUCAGCCCAGAGCCUGACGCGGGGCUCGAACUCCCGGACCGCGAGAUCGUGACCUGGCUGAAGUCGGACGCCCAACCGACUGCACCACCCAGGCGCCCCAAUGUUUAUUUACUUUUGAGACACACUCACACACACACACACACACACACACACACACACACACAGUGCGAGUAGUGGAGGGGCAGAGAGAGAGGGAGACACAGAAUCUGAAGCAGGCUCCAGGCUCUGAGCUGUCAGCACAGAGUCUGAUGUGGGGCUUGAACCCACGGACCACGAGAUCAUGACCCGAGCCGACAUUGGAUGCUUAACCGACUGAGCCACCCAGGUGCCCCGGAAAUUCUUUAAAGCAUAAAUAACAGUGAUUGAUAAUUAGUUCAGGUGCAAAUAUAUAGAUACUUCCAAAAUACUUGAGAUUAUUUUAGCACAUUUCUUUCAAAAGCUUUAGCUUUUAUUACAUGAGUCUUACGUAAGCUAUUUGCUUGCUGAAUCCUUUCUUUGUAGAUUGAUCUGUUACAAAUUCUUAAUAUGGCAUAUCUCAUAAAAUUUUAGUUAUUUAGUGAGCUGUAUCCUAAUUGAGAGUAGAGUGAAACAUGGAAAUAAGGCAAAAGAGAGGUCGUACUUAAUGAUGAAGAAGGGAAAAUUUUGAGCAGUGAUAAAAAUAACAAAGGGGCACCUGGGUGGCCCAGUCAAUUAAGCGUCUGACUUUGGCUCAGGUCAUGAUCUCACGGUUUGUGAGUUUGAGCCCCGCGUCGGGUUCUGUGCUGACGGCUCGGAGCCUAGAGCCCGCUUUGGAUUCUGUGUCUCCCUCUCUCUCUGCCCCUCCCCCACUCACACGCUGUCUCUCCCAAAAACUAAACAUUAAAAAAAUAAAAUAAAAUAAAAUAAAAUAAAAUAAAAUAAAAUAAAAUAAAAUAAACAAGAACCCAAGACUUGACUGUUCCAGCUAAAAGGAAUGAUUAGUAAUUGCUAAAUCAAAAAGAAAGGCAUCUGUCCAGUUCUGUAAAAGUCCAGACUGAAUGGCAAGAAGUAUUAAAGUCACAACAGAACGAAAAAACGAGAAAAAGAAAAAUGAAAAGAUGCUGAAAUUAUUUAUGGAGGUUGUAGCAACCAUGAUGGUAGGAUGUGAAGGAGGUCUGAAAGCAGGGGCCCUGCCAAGAAGACUCAGCAUCGAGAGAUACAGAAGCAGAAACAAGGCAGACACGUGUGUCACCAUCAUGAUGGCCACUCCACAUGCCGGUGGGUCACACGCUGUUGAAGUGUGUGCGGAGGCUUCAAGAGACACGUGUGGACUGGCAGUCGUCCCUAAAGUGCAAGGUGUUCAUCUCUAGAAUAUUCCAGAGUAGUCAGUUCUCUGUUCUUUGUUUCUGUAAUUUUAAAAUAGCAUUUACAUGGGUCAACCAGGCAAUUAGAGAAGAAAUUAAAAAAUGUAUGGAAACAAACGAAAAUGAAAAUACAACAAUCCAAACGCUUUGGGAUGCAGCGAAGGCAGUCCUGCGAGGAAAAUACAUUGCAAUCCAGGCCUAUCUCCAGAAACAAGAAAAAUCCCAAAUGCAAAAUCUAACAGCACACCUAAAGGAAACAGAAGCAGAGCAGCAAAGACACCCCAAAGCCAGCAGAAGAAGAGAAAUAAUAAAGAUCAGAGCAGAAAUAAACAAUAUAGAAUCUAAAAAAACGGUAGAGCAGAUCAAUGAAACCAAGAGUUGGUUUUUUGAAAAAAUAAACAAAAUUGAUAAACCUCUAGCCAGGCUUCUCAAAAAGAAAAGGGAGAUGACCCAAAUAGAUAAAAUCAUGAAUGAAAAUGGAAUUAUUACAACCAAUCCCUCAGAGAUACAAACAAUUAUCAGGGAAUACUAUGAAAAAUUAUAUGCCAACAAAUUGGACAACCUGGAAGAAAUGGACAAAUUCCUAAACACCCACACUCUUCCAAAACUCAAUCAGGAGGAAAUAGAAAGCUUGAACAGACCCAUAACCAGCGAAGAAAUUGAAUCGGUUAUCAAAAAUCUCCCAACAAAUAAGAGUCCAGGACCAGAUGGCUUCCCAGGGGAGUUCUACCAGACGUUUAAAGCAGAGAUAAUACCUAUCCUUCUCAAGCUAUUCCAAGAAAUAGAAAGGGAAGGAAAACUUCCAGACUCAUUCUAUGAAGCCAGUAUUACUUUGAUUCCUAAACCAGACAGAGACCCAGUAAAAAAAGAGAACUACAGGCCAAUAUCCCUGAUGAAUAUGGAUGCAAAAAUUCUCAAUAAGAUACUAGCAAAUCGAAUUCAACAGCAUAUAAAAAGAAUUAUUCACCAUGAUCAAGUGGGAUUCAUUCCUGGGAUGCAGGGCUGGUUCAACAUUCGCAAAUCAAUCAACGUGAUACAUCACAUUAACAAAAAAAAAGAGAAGAACCAUAUGAUCCUGUCAAUCGAUGCAGAAAAGGCCUUUGACAAAAUCCAGCACCCUUUCUUAAUAAAAACCNAUGGAGGUUAAAGAACACCCUACUAACGAAUGAGUGGGUCAACCAGGCAAUUAGAGAAGAAAUCAAAAAAUAUAUGGAAACAAACGAAAAUGAAAAUACAACAAUCCAAACGCUUUGGGACGCAGCGAAGGCAGUCCUGAGAGGAAAAUACAUUGCAAUCCAGGCCUAUCUCAAGAAACAAGAAAAAUCCCAAAUACAAAAUCUAACAGCACACCUAAAGGAAAUAGAAGCAGAACAGCAAAGGCAGCCUAAACCCAGCAGAAGAAGAGAAAUAAUAAAGAUCAGAGCAGAAAUAAACAAUAUAGAAUCUAAAAAAACUGUAGAGCAGAUCAACGAAACCAAGAGUUGGUUUUUUGAAAAAAUAAACAAAAUUGACAAACCUCUAGCCAGGCUUCUCAAAAAGAAAAGGGACAUGACCCAAAUAGAUAAAAUAAUGAAUGAAAAUGGAAUUAUUACAACCAACCCCUCAGAAAUACAAGCAAUUAUCAGGGAAUACUAUGAACAAUUAUAGGCCAACAAACUGGACAACCUGGAAGAAAUGGACAAAUUCCUAAACACCCACACUCUUCCAAAACUCAAUCAGGAGGAAAUAGAAAGCUUGAACAGACCCAUAACCAGCGAAGAAAUUGAAUCGGUUAUCAAAAAUCUCCCAACAAAUAAGAGUCCAGGACCAGAUGGCUUCCCAGGGGAGUUCUACCAGACGUUUAAAGCAGACAUAAUACCUAUCCUUCUCAGGCUAUUCCAAAAAAUAGAAAGGGAAGGAAGACUUCCAGACUCAUUCUGUGAAGCCAGUAUUACUUUGAUUCCUAAACCAGACAGAGACCCAGUAAAAAAAGAGAACUACAGGCCAGUAUCCCUGAUGAAUAUGGAUAAAAUAGCAUUUACACGUUUGUUUCUAAAAUCUUGUCAUAUCAGUGGUUCUUACCAGGCUUUAAGAAACCUGGUAUGUUGAGAUGUCCUUUAACUGCGUUUUACAUCUUGGGUAGUUUAUAUUCCUCUGUAGGGUAAGAAAGCAUAGUGAAGCAUGUCUUUGAUAUGAAGAGGGAAAUCCAGGUGAAGGUUGAGUGGCUUAUACAAAGAGUGAGGGAAGGAGGCUUUCAAGAGCGGGAGUUUGGUGUUUUUACAGGGAAAAUAGGAUCGCUGAUUGAGCAGGCUUUCUGAGUUUAACUUUCUUAUGUUUGAUUCCCCACUUAAGUAUUAAAUCUUUCAAGUAUUGUCUGUAUCACACUGACUAAUCUGCUUGUCGUUAUAUAAUGGAUAGCCGAUCUGGCCUUUUAAGAAAAUCCUUGAUGUAUUAGGUCGUUAAAACAAAUUCUAACAUUUGGUGCUCAUUAGUGUUGUAACCGAAACAAAAACAUUUUAAUGGUUGAUCCCAGAGCAUUUUGAAGUUAGUGUAAGUUUGCUGGAAAGGUAUUUAAGCUGAAGUAUCAAUUACAAACGGGCCAUGAGCCAAGUUUCAAAGCUGUUUCUAAGUAAGACAUUGAGUUUUUAGAAUGCAAAAAAUAAAGUAUGUGGCACUGUGCCAUGUGGCAAGGAAGUAGAAUGGAACGGUUACAGUGGGAUUUGUAUUGAUGAUAGUGAUUUUGAAACAAUUGGAUUCAAUUAAAAAUAAAAUUAAAGUUUUUAGUUUAUUAACUUGUUUUUUGGCUUAUUAUUUUGUUCCGGAUCCACAUUGUAGAAUGUUGUUCAUACAGAAUAAAAUGUCAUUAACUCCAAAUAGGUUUGAGUAAUUCUUUUUUUUUUUUUUUUUUUANNNNNNNNNNNAGGGGGGGGGGGGGGGGGGGGGGGGGGGGGGGCGGCAGAGGGAGAGAGAAUCCCAAGCAGGCACCACGCUCCGUGCAGAGCCCGACAUGGGGCUCGAUGCCACGAGCCUGGGAUCAUGACCUGAGCGGAAAUCCAGAGUCACAUACACAACCGACUGACCCAGGCGCCCCAGUUUGAAUAAUUUUUGUGAUCACCAGAGUGAUACUUCUGUAAUUUUCUGUUGUUUCUUGAGCCUGUUUUGGGGGAAGUGUUGCCUUCUGCCAGCCAGUAGGAGUUACAGAGAGAGUAAGAGCCGCGCCCUGCGGGUGGAGCCGCAAUGUGUACAAGAGGGUCUCCCGCACUGGUGGUGACACCGAGGUGGUGGGCACGGGAGAGAGAUGUGGGCUUUGCAGGUCAGCAGACCCCUCCCUCGGGCGCUCCCUCCGUGUUCGUCGCCUCCGGCCUCCUGCUUUCCUGCUCUUCUGUUUUCUCCCCUUCCCUUGUCCGGUGGCCGCCGGGCCGAGCCCUGGUCCUCCUUCUGUGGGCCUGUGUCUCUGCCUCACGGCUCCUGGCGGCUCUUUGGUGCCUUGGGGGAGGGAGGACCCUGGACUUGCACACGAGAUGCUGUGAAGAUGCGUCUUUUAAGGGAGGGUUUCCACCGUUCUUUCCCAGCGUUUCUGAGGACUCCAGGGGCUCUCCCUUCCCCGCUGACUGUUGGGCCCCUUUCCAUCUGCCCCUCAGGCGUCAGAGGACGUCUCUGGACCCAGACGGUGCCCGCCACUCUGUUCUCUGCGCUCAGAGGGCUGGGACACCUGCACCAUAGAGUCGUAGAAGGAACUUCAGGGUUCCCUGGUAGCACGUUGACUGUUACGUUCCCGUGUGUGCUUCAAUACCUGAUGCGACAGAUUUGCUUUUAAAAAUUUUAGUGGUUUUAGGGAUACAACAUGCGUUCCGUGUUAUUUUCCCCAUUUCAAAUAUUCCUAACAGGUGGCCAGCUCAAGUUAAAACAAAAUAGAUGCCUCUCAUUUUAGUGGUAUCUUUUCCAACUCGGAAACAAAGCAUUCGUUGUUUUAGAAACUAAUGGUGCAGUGGAAGAACAGUGUAUUUGGAAUCACUUAUAAAUUCAUUAGAAAAAAAAUUCAGAUUGACAGCAUUUUGGGUUUCUAAUUAAGCCUUUGAAGGCAAGCAUGUCAACUAUAAGAAAACAGUAACGUAGACUUCUAGUAUAUUCUUUUCUAGUUGGCCAAAGACCCAAAGUUGUCUUCUGGGCUAAAAUUGUCAUUCACAUGAAUCGUAAUGAUAGCGUGGAAAAGUUGGACUCCUUCAGGAGAAGGAGAUCCCCAACUAACACAGCCUUCACACAGCUUACCGUGUGUCAAGAGUCUAGAGAAGGAAAAUGCUCCUUUCAUCUCUGCGUGGAUAAUUCUGACCUCAAAAAUAAAAUGGCCAUUUUCAAGGAUCCUAAUUCUGCUGGCGAGUAGUCAGACCAGAUUAAUAAACACAAAUCUCCCCAACCCCCCUUUUUAGAAAAUACUGGUGAUCAAUCCUGGCUCAGCUAACAGAGUGCGAGAUUCACGCUUAACAAAGUCAAAUUAACCGAGUGUGGCACGUGCUAGCUCUGGGAUGUGAUAGUGAACACGGCACUGAAGGUCCUUGCCCUUGAGAAACAUACACACAUAUAUGUAUAUGUGUAUGUGUGUGUGCGUGUCCUACAUGUGUCCGUAUACAAACAGUGUGCAGUGCUGUAAAGUGAAUGGGGCCUGAGGAGAGGGGAAUUUUGGCCUUAAAACGCCAUCUACAGUUAGCCAUUUGGCAGAAAAAGUAGAGUCCUUCGUCUGGUCUUGAUGAUUAAUGUGUUUUCUGCAUUUUAAUAAUAAAGUUGGUGGCGGGCCAUGAUCUGUGGCUGUUCGGAAAAGAGUCUUAGUCGUCCAACAAUAUUUGUGCCUCGAAACAGAAAACUUUCCCUGGAGGUGAAAAUCUGCAGAUGCGUACGCCCUGCAGGGGCGAGGCCGUGACCGUGUGCUUCUCGGGCCCCCAUUUCCCUGACUGAGGCCCCGGCGGCUGGGGUCCCAGAGGCCGUCCCUGCGGAGCCUGAACCUGGUCCCCGAACCUGGUCCCUUGGCACCGUGCGGACAUGGCCAGUCUAGCCUGAGUUCUGGUGAUGAAAUGGGGGCUCCUGUUGUCCAGCCAAAGUUUUCCGAUUCACUGUUUUUCCUGCCCUGCCCUGCCCAUUCCUCUUUUCUUUGUAUUCAGCUCAUACUUCGCCUACCCAGAAGGCUGUGCUUUGAAGCCUGAGCAUUAGCGGGUAAAUACGGAUGCGGAACUGCUUUCACCGGACAGGAUUUUGGGGAGCGGGAGAGUGGCUUCUCCAGAUCAGUAGCAAAUCUGUGUCCCGGGGACCGAGGCGGUUCAGUCUCAGUCAUUUUCAGAUUGGUCCGGGGAGCUUGGGGGCCCUUCGGAGGGCCCUGGGGGUGCCUGUGGGGGUCGGUUUGCAAAGGCAAACCCCUUCACCAGGGAGCCUGCAGAGCCACACAGAGAACCUGAAAACAGCAAAUUCUCGCUUGUCACGGACCCUUCCUGAGUCAGAGCGUGAGUGCCAGCUCAAGAGUCCCUUGUGGGCGACCUUCCCACCCGGGUUUCCGUGUUCCGUUCUGCCCUGCCAACGCUCCUGGGCCCUUCUCACUCACGCCCGUCUGUGGAAAGCAGGGAAAGGAAGCGGAACCGUGAGGUCCACACGGUGGGGGCGACGUAAGACCUGUUGGAAAUGCUGGGUUGAAGCAGCUCAUUACCGUUCGAAAGACGUUCUUCAGUUUUCUGACCAAAGGAAAAACCGCAUUAUCUUCAUUGUAGAUAGAAGCCACAACACGCCGAACUACUUGGAAAGCCGCAUGUUUUAGCCAGUAAUGAGUCUUAACUUUUACGAGAUCAGCACAUGGAAAUGGUUAGUGGGCGCCAGCAGAGAAACGCGGGUCACAUGCCCUUCGGUCAGGGGCCAAGUCCUCGUCACUCCAGGCGUUCAGAGUUUUGCAGUUCAUCUUCCUAGGUUGCUAAGUGCUUUUCAUGCCUCAUGACACAAAGAGUUGACUAGCUUGCUUUUGCAGUGUGAAACGCUUCCUUUUAAAAUUUUGAAACGUGCUUUUCUCCUUACUUUUAAGAUAUUUUGAUUCAUUCAGAUUUUGCAUAAUAUUAAGAAUAGCAGAAUUUAUAAGCUAUAAGCAUGUGUGAUUUGAAUGCUUCCUACCUAAUGGGACUGGAAUUUUUCUCCAAUUAUGGGACAGGGAGACCAUCGUUCCCCGGUUGCCAAAACAGAAUGCAGCUGGCUGCAGGAGGGCUGAGCUAGCAGAACAUUUAAUAUUUUGAAAAAUGUGUCCUGGGGGAAAAGACUUUCUGUUCAGAAAGAUACUGAAUUAUUUAGCUGGGCAGCUGCAGGGUGUGAAUAUUUUGAGCGCCAUUGCUGUCAUUUAUUUUUUAUUGGGUUCAAAUGGAAAAAUUGAAAACCGUAUUCAGACGCGUAGCCUUUCGCUCGAUGGCGUGUAGACCUCCGGCUGCAGCUGCCUGCGCUCCUGUGAUCUGCACGGGCACAUUCCACUCCGAGUGCAUCAGUGUUUAAUUUUCAAAAUUCUCGGCAAAUAGCAGAGCUGCAGCCAGGAAUUCCUCCACUGAGAUUCCUUCCGGCCCAGAUGAAACUGAUAAUUCCCGGCUGGGUUGCUGUCAUUCAUCACUAAUCCAGGUAUGGCUGCUUGCCGUGUUUAAUUUUCUUUUUUCUGAACCCAAAGGCACUGCUGGCUUGCGUUUCCCAUGAGAAGGCGGCGGUGAUGUGCCUGGAAUUCCAGCCCCCGGAGGUGGUGGCUUUUCUAGACGGACGUAGCUGGCCUUUGUCGUGGGGCUGACGGACGUGAGCUUGCUGCUAGACACAAAACCAUGCGCGACCGGCUCAUGGUAGGGUCUUCAAGAAAAGCAGGACUGUAUCAGGGACCUGCCUCUGAGUUUCUGAAGUUGGUGUCAUGGAAAGCAGCUGUUUCCUACACAGGGUAUCUGUUGAUGCCACUUGCCAUUUGGGAACAGGAUGCUGAAUUGGAUGGACAGUAGGUUUUAAUGUUUGUUGUAUAGGUCUUGUAAAAAAAAAAAAAAAUAACAGUACUUUGGGAAGCAUUCAAAAUGUCAUCAGCACUUAACAUCCUAUGAGAAGCAGGUCAAAAUGUAUUCAUUUUGCAUUUUAAACUGUUUUAAUGAACACUUAAAAGCAGUAUGUAUAGGAUAAAAAUCACGGAAUUUGGAAGUGGACAGUUCUGGCUUUAUCUCAGCUGGCCCUGUGCCCUUACGCCAGUGACGUAUGACCUCCGAGUCUUGGUCUUACGUAUAAGCUAGGAGAGCAGAUUACAGAGUUGGUGUGAGGGUUAACACUGUCGUAGGUAUGGAGGGCCUACGUAGGCCUCGAGCAUGUUGGUACCCGACAAAGGGUACGUUGUAUGUCUGUUAGGGAUUCUCUAUCUCUACGGCCCACCCAUCCACUUGCCCACCUACUUGCCUAUCUGUGUAUUUAUAUUUAUCUUCUAGACCUUUUUCGGGCUUCCCCUUUUUUGUUAAUCCAGCCAUAUUUUGCUGAAAUUUAAAAUAUGAAAAUACUCCACAUGAUGGAUAAAUGUAUGGAAACAAAAAAAGGUUCGCUGGUGGUCUCCCAAGAGACUUCUAAGAUUACAUUAUCUCAGUGUGACUUUCAGCCUGCUGGUGCUUCAGCCUCCUAAGAGCAGGUAUCUCUCCUGCGGAGACUUUAUCCAGGUCACAGACCCGUGUAUGUACGGUCACCGCCUGUGGACGGCGAUCUGUGGUGGAUGAGCCUUCGAAGUAGCCAACAUGGGAGCUGAGAAGCCGUCAUCAUCAGGGCUUUUCUUGGUGAGCAAGGGAGUGUGAGAAACGAGAUAGUCGUGGGAAUCGGAUAUUUAGCAACACAGGUGAAUGUGGUAGACUGGCCACGUGCUCUGUUUUCUGCCUGGACUGAGAUCUCAGGGAGUUGACUGUAACGGGGCGGAGAGGUGACAACCGUAGAAGAAACUCGAGCGGGGCUUUGGAGGCCGGGACCACGGAGGGACCAGCGCUGGCCGACUCAGCAGAGCGGAGAAGACGGAACAGGGUGGAAGCAGGUAAGCAAGCAGUUGAAGAGCAGAGCCUGGGAAGGCACAGACGUGAAGCGCAGACGUGCUGUGGGAGCCGAGAACAGAAGUAUUUGAAAACCGGAGGAGCAGGGGUAGGGUUCCUGGGCUCCCGUCUCUGCUCCUGCGGCCAGGUGACUGCCGUUCCCCACGCUAGCAGAGGACUGGAGGUGUGUUUUCUAGAACCUUCAGUUGCGGACACAGUUAAGGGCAGGGGUGAAUGCUGUUACAGGUGCUGGGUGUGGAUUAGUGAUCUAAACAGACCAGAACAUCUCUGUUCCUGUGGGAGGAGUCGGACAAUAAACAGUAAUGCAGUGAAGUGAUAAUAGGAAGUCGUGAGUGCUGGGGGGGNNNNNNNNNNNNNNNNNNNNNNNNNNNNNNNNNNNNNNNNNNNNNNNNNNNNNNNNNNNNNNNNNNNNNNNNNNNNNNNNNNNNNNNNNNNNNNNNNNNNNNCAAAGGCCCUGAGACGGAAGGGAGGCUGAAGUAGCGAGGAGGUGAGUCGUCCGGAGGAGAGUGAGCUAGGAGGUCAGGCAUACCGAGGGGACACGUGACAGGCAGUGGCGAUGACGUGGGGCCUUGCCGACUGUCCUAAGGACUUGCUUUUUCUCAGAACGAGUUUGAGUACCAGGGUCUGACUUGCUCUAACAGAAUCGGGUCGGAGCGAGCACGCUGAGUUAAAGUACUCGGCCCACAGCCGGCUGCCAGGUCAUUCCCACCCCUCUCCCCNNNNNNNNNNNNNNNNNNNNNNNNNNNNNNNNNNNNNNNNNNNNNNNNNNNNNNNNNNNNNNNNNNNNNNNNNNNNNNNNNNNNNNNNNNNNNNNNNNNNNNNNNNNNNNNNNNNNNNNNNNNNNNNNNNNNNNNNNNNNNNNNNNNNNNNNNNGGACACGGGGGAGGGGGAGGAGGGUCUCUCCCAGGAAAGAAGCCAAAACAGACGGGAUUACGAAAAGCAUGUCAGAGGGACAGAAACAAUAAAGGAGCAAUAGCCCUUUCAAAGAAACUGUAGUUAAAAUCCUCAGAGAUAAGAGCAGACACUGUACCUGGGGAACAGCAGGUGCUCUUGGGUGUUGAAAGAUUCUCAGUUCNNNNNNNNNNNNNNNNNNNNNNNNNNNNNNNNNNNNNNNNNNNNNNNNNNNNNNNNNNNNNNNNNNNNNNNNNNNNNNNNNNNNNNNNNNNNNNNNNNNNNNNNNNNNNNNNNNNNNNNNNNNNNNNNNNNNNNNNNNNNNNNNNNNNNNNNNNNNNNNNNNNNNNNNNNNNNNNNNNNNNNNNNNNNNNNNNNNNNNNNNNNNNNNNNNNNNNNNNNNNNNNNNNNNNNNNNNNNNNNNNNNNNNNNNNNNNNNNNNNNNNNNNNNNGGGGGGGGGGGCGGGGACUGAUGUCUAGACUCCAAGUCGACAAGGUUGGGAGUUGUUCACCGUCCAGCGUGUACACGUACCACCUGGAGGUGUUUUCAUUGAAUCAUCCUCGGGUUGAGAAGAUGCAUAGAAAAGAGGCUGCAAAUUAGAAGGAAACAUGGUUUCAGGAAAGGAAUGUGAUGGCCAUUCUGGAAGGGAUGCCCCUGGGAAUGAUGGUUAGGGGCUAUUUAGUCCUAACAACCAGGCACUCAGUGCUAGUGAGGUGUGAUGUAAGUGUCCCGAGCAGGGCGGGACGCCUCGGAUGCCUACGUCCGCGUUGUCGCGUGCAACUUGAAAGUUCAUGCUUGAAAUAGAAAAACGUAGAAAGCACAGGGCGCCCGGCUGGCUCAGUGGGGGGAGCGUGCGACUCUUGAUCUCAGGGUUGUGGGCUCCAGCCCCACGAUGGGUGUGGAGCCUACUUAAAAAAAUGUAGAAAGCAGUAAUGAGCAUGUGAUCUGCAAACAGCGACAGAGACGGUGUAGCUGAAGAAAGGAGGGGCGGGGGCCACUUUUCUCCCCAUUUAGUGCCUUGUAGAGCUACUUUUAAGACUGUAAAUAGGUUGUUUUGAUAAAAAUAAAGAUUAAAUUUCAGAUAUUUAUUUUGAUUUAUUUUUUUUUUAAUGUUUAUUUUUGACAGAGAAACAAAGACAGAGCAUGAGCGGGGGAGGGGCAGAGAGAGAGGGAGACACAGAAUCGGAAGCAGGCUUCAGGCUCCGAGCUGUCAGCACAGAGCCCAACGAGGGGCUCGAACUCACAGACCGUGAGAUCACGACCUGAGCCCAAGUCGGACGCUCAACCGACUGAGCCACCCAGGCGCCCCUAAAUUUCAGAUAUUUAAAGGAACCCGGCUACAUCCUUUUCUGCAGUAAGGCCACAUUGGUCACCAGAGUGUGGCUGUCCCUGGGCCAAUGGGCCUGCCCUGUGGGACAGCCCAUCUCUUUUUUCUCGGCCCGUUGUUGACGUCCUGUUUUCUGAAUUAACACGUUUCUUCAGAGAUGUUAGUACAGCUGGUCAAGUCACAGCCGAGUGGCUGGGAAGGUUCUGCGUCUACGUUCUUGGUGUGUUUUGUGGUGACUUUGCAUUUUAAUCCCGAGGGACCCUGUCACCACCGACUUUGAAGCCAACGAUGGCUAUUUUAUCGUUACCCCAAUUGCUGGUAACACCUUCCACUAUAGAGAAGCCUGCAGACGGUCUGUCGUUCCGGCCAUUUACGUAUUCUAGGCUCGAAAUCCUGCAACUUCAGGGGUGGGUUGUUUUGUUUACUGUUUGGCUCUGUCACAAACGUGCCCAUCGUAGACCCUCAGGUGCAUGUGUCAGGAAGAGCAGAUUACGUGGUGUUUGAGAGCGUGGCUUCUGAAUUAGGUCAGCCUGGGCUUGAAUCCCAUCCCUGGCCCUCCUGGCUGGUGGCUCAGCCUCCUUCUAGAGCUGGUGUCCUUGUCUGUGUGGGGCAGGGACCCGUGCCAGAGACUGUCCACGGUGCGUGUCUGCCUGAUCGUGGGGCUGCCGCGGCCCCGUGCUCCGUCCUUCCACCGCCCCCCCUGCUUAUGAAGUAGGAGUCGGCCCUGUGGGCCCACGACUCGAGUGCGCUUCUUCAGCUCCCGUCUUUGGACGUGUUCUCACUCUUGGCCUCCAGUCGAUGCCAGUUAACACACGUUUCUCCGUCUCACCGUCUGUUGUUCCUGGGCUUCGUCACACUGUUCUUUCAAAGUCCGUUUACCACGCUGAAUGAGUAAUGUGGCAUUUAAAAGUAAUAUUUGUCUGGUGGGACGCGUGGCUCGCUCAGAGGGGUGUGCGGCUCAGGAUCUUAGGGUGGUGAGUUCGAGCCCCACGUCGGGUAUAGAGCUUACUUAAAAUCUUAAAAAGAAUAAUAUACAGUGUUAAUAAAGCCAUACGCCCUGAAUCUCUAGUAAUAUUGUAAUAUAGAUCACGUUACAACAGAAAUAUUUUUAAAGCAAAAAUUCUGCUUCUUGGGUGAUAGAUUUAUUUAUUUUAGGAAUGUUUGUUAUUUAACUUCUAGUACAGUGGGAAAAUGUUCACGUCCUUCACAAUGCAUUUUCCCUAUGAGGUCUUUUGACUGCAUUAAAAGAGAGUGGUAAUAAGAUAAUGUUAUAAUUUGUUUUUCUGAAAGGUUGAGCAACCCUUUCAAGACUGAGAUGUCCUCAAAGGUAGGAAUCUGUGUUCUAUGUAUCUUUGUCCGCUGACGUUUAGUAAAGUCCUAAGUGUUACCUGAGUGAUCACAUUCUUGAGUGGAUUAACUGUAGUGUUUUGUUUAUAACUUUUUAUUUUGAUAUAAUUUUGAACUUUAAGAAGAAUCACAGGGGCGCCUGGGUGGCUCAGUCGGUUGAGUGGCCGACUUCGGCUCAGGUCGUGAUCUCGCAGUCCGUGAGUUCGAGCCCCACGUCGGACUCUGUGCUGACAGCUCGGAGCCUGGAGCCUGCUUCUGUUUCUGUGUCUCCCUCUCUCUCUGCCCCUCCCCCGUUCGCGCUCUGUCUCUCUCUGCCUUUCAAAAAUGAAUAAAUGUUAAAAAAAAUUAAAAAAAAAACCUUUAAAAAAAAAAGAAGAAUCACAAAAUUAGUACAAGGAAAUGCCAUAUACUGUUUACCUAGAUUUACCAGUUAUUUGUUUUCUCUUUCUUUUUGUUUUUUUUUGUUUUUAUUUAUUUAUUUAUUUAUAUUUUAUUUUCUAGAUUUACCAAUUAUUUAGCACGGUUUACUUAUUUAUAUGUGCAUAACGUUUUCUGAACCAUUUGAGGAUAAGUUGCCAACAUCAUGCCCCUUUACCCCUGUGUCCUUCCAUAUGUAGUUCCUAAGGACACAUUCUCUCAUAAAACACAGCACACAUACCAAAAUCUGGAAAUCUAACCUGGAUAUAAUACUGUUUGGUCAUCUGCGGUCCACAUCCAGAUUUGCCCUCUGUCUCGAGUACGACAUCCAGUCCAGGGUCACACAUUGCAUGGCAGUUUCCUGUCUCCUUGAAUCAAAUCUGGAACAGUUCUGGAGUCUUUCUUCACUUUCUUGACCUUAGUUUACAUAUUUUGAGGAGGAGAGGUCAAUUAUUCUGUAGAAUUGACCUCGAUUUGGGUUUGUCUAAUGUGUUCUCAUGAUGAGAUUGAAGUGUCGUCAUUUUGGGGGGAAAGCCAAGGGAUGGUGUCGUGCCUUCUACAUCCUGUCAGUAGGCGGGCAAUGUCGGUACGAGUGUUACUGACUUACCCACCAAGUUUCUCCACUGUAAACUUACCGUUUUCCUAUUGUAGUUAAUACGUAAUUUGUGGAGAGAUAGUUUGAAGUUCUUAGUAUCUUCUUCCUCCUCAGACUUUCACUCCCUCCUUCUAGACUUCCAUAUUUAUUAGUUGGUAUUAUGCUCUAAGAAAGAGCUUCCUUUUCUUCCUUUUUAAAAUUUAUAUUAGUUCAAACUCAUAGAUUCUUACUGUAUUCAAGGAAUUAUAUUCCUUACUGUCCUUAAUUAUUUUGAUGGUUGAAUUAUUCCAGCUUUGGGCUGUGGGGGCCCUAGCUACAAACUGCCCCUCUGUCCUUUGGAUAUGUUUCCAUAAUUCUUCAAAGAUUUCUUAACUUUCGGUGGAACAAGAUGUUGUAAGUUCUUCAUGUACUUCUUUGCACCAGCCCCGGACACAGCCUUUCCUAGGGUGCUUUGGUUCCUUUUCGUGGAGAAUGGUAUUUUGAAACCAAGAUCCGGGUGUGCACAUUGCUACUAAUGUGUUGUUUGUUGUAGACCCUGUUAGGUCUCAGAUCUCUCAGACUGAGCCAGGAAAUAAUGUGUAUGUGUCUAUGCCCCCGUCCCGUCUGAGUUCAAGCUCUACGUGUAAGUGAAGGAUUCACAUCCCUACACUUCACAUUCAGCAGCCCAGGCUUCAUUCUAGUCUCCAGCAGUGGGAAACAUGGCUCAAGACAAUGUUUUGAGUCCCUAGUAUCUUGUCAAAGCCUUGGCAUAGGUGGUAAAUCCAUGUUUUAAGGAUUUGGAUGAAUGAAUGAGUCAAUAAAAUAGUUACGGUGUUACCUCUAGAUAUGUCCUCACUGCUGGGCCAAUGUUUGGCGUGAGGUGCACGUUCAGUAAAACUGUGUUGAACAAGUGGUUCAAGUGGUUCCUUCCCCUCCAGUAUCUUCAUGUUUUAUUUUCAAACCACGUGAGAAUAGGACUCCAUGUAAGUGUUCUUGUUUUUUUACCAUUUAAAGCUUGAACCCAGAUAAAUUAUUCAGUGAAUAUGAGCAGUCUUUUUCCAAUAAGAAAAAGUCAUAAAUAAAAAUAAAAUGGCUCUGGAAGAAAAACAGUUCUUUUGGGACGCCUGGGUGGCUCGGUUGGUUGAGCAUCCGACUUUGGCUCAGGUCACAGUCUUGCGGUUCGUGAGUUCGAGCCCCGCGUCCGGCUCUGCGCUGACGGCUCGGAGCCCGGAGCCUGCUUCGGAUUCUGUGUCUCCCUCUCUCUCUGCCCCUCCGUUGCUCACGCUCUGCGUGUCUCUCUGUCUCAAAAAUGAAUAACUGUUAAAUUUUUUCUUUGAGACAAACAGUUCUUUUGUUUGAAAAACCUGAGAUUUGGGCAGCAUCAAUUGAAAAGGUUUCCAUUUGUCUAAUUAAUAGAAAUUGUGGCUUUCAGAGUUUGGCACAGUUUUCACAUUUGUCAGCUCUGGCGACAUGAAAUGUGUUCUUCGUCUGAAUUCUCUUCCUAUGCCGCUGCUGUCAGACAAAAAGAAUUUCCAUGUCACUGCUGCUUGUUACUGAGCUGCUAUAAAAAAGGAUGCUUGACGAUAACUUAUGAGUAAGUGAUUAGAGAUUUCUGGUAACCUUCAGAUUGUUGCCAAAUUACAUUAACUGUGAGUAAUCUGGGGGGAAAAGCAGUCUCAUUCACCUAUGCUCUCAAAGGUUAUAGAUGUACAAUUUCAGACAGCCGUUAAUGACGUUCCCUUUUGAGGUGCAUUUUUUUCCCUUAAACCUCAGGAAAUAUGUUCUGCUUUUCUCUCCAUAUGAUUAAAACUAAUAAUUCCUUGCUCAUAAGUUCAUAUUUUAUCCCUUGAAACUUGUUUUGAAAACUGCUUCAUCCUUUUCUGUGUUUGAGUUUUCUGUUUACCCAAACUAUAUUAAAUGUGGCAUGUGCAUUGUAAGUUCUAGGAUUGAAUUGACUGUGGAAUUUCUAAUGAGUCGUAAUACCAGAAAGUAGGAAAGAAACAAGGGGGUGAGUUUUAUGUCAGGAAGUCUCUUCCAUACACUUGCCUGGGAGUUGAUUAUUUUUUUUGUUUUAAAGAAGUUUUCUUCCGGGGUACCUGGGUGGCUCAGUCGGUUAAGAGUCCGACUUCAGCUCAGGUCAUGAUCACACGGUUCGUGGGUUUGAGCCCCGCGUCAGGCUCUGUGCUGACAGCUCAGAGCCUGGAGCCUGCUUCGGAUUCUGUGUCUCCCUCUCUCUCUGUUCCUUCCCUGCUCUCACUCUGUCUCUCUCUCUCAAAAAUAAAUAAACAGUAAAAAAAAAUUUUUUUUAAUUAAAAAAAAAGUUUUCUUCCAACAUUUUCUUUAACCCUUUAUAGAAACAUUUAAGUUUUUUGUUUGUUACAUGUUUACACAUUUAUUUAAGUUUUCCACGCUGAUCAGGAGUGCUGGGAGUCUGCAUCUUCUAAAACUAAGAAAAAUCGAGACAGUUAAACAGCUCAGUCUUGAAAGCCCUUCCUGUUUGAAGAAAAACGAAAUCGCAGUUUACAUAGUCUUUUCUGAGAUUAAAUUUUGAAGGUAAAGUUUUAUGGUUUUCUGUCUUUUAAGUAUAGACAUACAAAGCCAAAAUCCCAAAAUUGUUGCUUAGAAAAUACUUAGUGGGUGGUGAGGGCUCUCCGGAGCCUGUUCUGGUUGGUCUCUAUAAAUAGAAAUUGCUAAAGCAUAGGGGCGCCUGGGGGCUCAGUAGGUUAAGCUUCCGGCUUGGGCUCAGGUCAGGAUCUCACUGUUCCUGGGUUCCAGCCCCGAAUCAGGCUCUGUGCUAACAGCUUGGAGCCUGGAACCUGCUUCAGAUUCUGUAUCUCCCUUUCUCCCUGCCCUUCCCCAGCUCAUGCUCUGUCUGUCUGUCUCUCUCUCUCUCAAAAAUAAACAUUAAAAAAAAAUUAAAUAUAUAAAAGAAAUCACCUAGGCAUCAGCCCGCAGUACUGAUGCACACAGGAACUACUCACUAUUAGAGGCAGGUACACUUGGCGAAUUUCCAAACAUGCCUUUGCACUUUUAGCCAAAGUUACUUUUUUGUUUUCUCUUUGAAUUUGCACCUGGGGGCCCCCUGCUGGAUUUAUGGUAAUGCCUUCUCUCCUCCAAGGAGCAGACCAGGAGCCAGAGCCACAUGUCCCUGGGCGGGGUUAGUGCAGGGAAGUCCUCCCUCAAGCCCUCUGCCCCUCUGCGCAGUCCUCCCUCUAGUCCUNNNNNNNNNNNNNNNNNNNNNNNNNNNNNNNNNNNNNNNNNNNNNNNNNNNNNNNNNNNNNNNNNNNNNNNNNNNNNNNNNNNNNNNNNNNNNNNNNNNNNNNNNNNNNNNNNNNNNNNNNNNNNNNNNNNNNNNNNNNNNNNNNNNNNNNNNNNNNNNNNNNNNNNNNNNNNNNNNNNNNNNNNNNNNNNNNNNNNNNNNNNNNNNNNNNNNNNNNNNNNNNNNNNNNNNNNNNNNNNNNNNNNNNNNNNNNNNNNNNNNNNNNNNNNNNNNNNNNNNNNNNNNNNNNNNNNNNNNNNNNNNNNNNNNNNNNNNNNNNNNNNNNNNNNNNNNNNNNNNNNNNNNNNNNNNNNNNNNNNNNNNNNNNNNNNNNNNNNNNNNNNNNNNNNNNNNNNNNNNNNNNNNNNNNNNNNNNNNNNNNNNNNNNNNNNNNNNNNNNNNNNNNNNNNNNNNNNNNNNNNNNNNNNNNNNNNNNNNNNNNNNNNNNNNNNNNNNNNNNNNNNNNNNNNNNNNNNNNNNNNNNNNNNNNNNNNNNNNNNNNNNNNNNNNNNNNNNNNNNNNNNNNNNNNNNNNNNNNNNNNNNNNNNNNNNNNNNNNNNNNNNNNNNNNNNNNNNNNNNNNNNNNNNNNNNNNNNNNNNNNNNNNNNNNNNNNNNNNNNNNNNNNNNNNNNNNNNNNNNNNNNNNNNNNNNNNNNNNNNNNNNNNNNNNNNNNNNNNNNNNNNNNNNNNNNNNNNNNNNNNNNNNNNNNNNNNNNNNNNNNNNNNNNNNNNNNNNNNNNNNNNNNNNNNNNNNNNNNNNNNNNNNNNNNNNNNNNNNNNNNNNNNNNNNNNNNNNNNNNNNNNNNNNNNNNNNNNNNNNNNNNNNNNNNNNNNNNNNNNNNNNNNNNNNNNNNNNNNNNNNNNNNNNNNNNNNNNNNNNNNNNNNNNNNNNNNNNNNNNNNNNNNNNNNNNNNNNNNNNNNNNNNNNNNNNNNNNNNNNNNNNNNNNNNNNNNNNNNNNNNNNNNNNNNNNNNNNNNNNNNNNNNNNNNNNNNNNNNNNNNNNNNNNNNNNNNNNNNNNNNNNNNNNNNNNNNNNNNNNNNNNNNNNNNNNNNNNNNNNNNNNNNNNNNNNNNNNNNNNNNNNNNNNNNNNNNNNNNNNNNNNNNNNNNNNNNNNNNNNNNNNNNNNNNNNNNNNNNNNNNNNNNNNNNNNNNNNNNNNNNNNNNNNNNNNNNNNNNNNNNNNNNNNNNNNNNNNNNNNNNNNNNNNNNNNNNNNNNNNNNNNNNNNNNNNNNNNNNNNNNNNNNNNNNNNNNNNNNNNNNNNNNNNNNNNNNNNNNNNNNNNNNNNNNNNNNNNNNNNNNNNNNNNNNNNNNNNNNNNNNNNNNNNNNNNNNNNNNNNNNNNNNNNNNNNNNNNNNNNNNNNNNNNNNNNNNNNNNNNNNNNNNNNNNNNNNNNNNNNNNNNNNNNNNNNNNNNNNNNNNNNNNNNNNNNNNNNNNNNNNNNNNNNNNNNNNNNNNNNNNNNNNNNNNNNNNNNNNNNNNNNNNNNNNNUAGGGACAGCACAGGGCCCACCUGGCACUCUGUUCACGUUUGAUAAAGAUCGUUUAAUAAAUGAGUGACCCUAAAGCUUUGGGGUUCCUUUUUAUAAAUUAAGAACCUUAAUCUAGAAAUGGAAUGGCUGAGGCGGAAAUGGGGCCACGUUUCUCCAUAGCCUUUCAACAGUUAGUACACUUUUUUUUAAAUUUAAGUUCUAGUUAGUGACCAUACAGUGUAGUGUUGGUUUCAGGAGUAGAACCCGGUGGUUCAUCACUUACAGAUGACACCAGUGCCGGUCCCAACACAUGCCCCCCUUGGUGCCCAUCCCCCAUGCAGCCCAUCCCCCACCCACCUCCCUUGUGGCAACCCUCAGUUUGUUCUCUGUGUUUAAGUCUCAUGGUUUGCCUCCUUUUCUGUUUUCAUCUUAUUUUACUUUCCCUGCCCCUGUGUUCAUCUGUUGUGUUUCUCAAAUUCCACAUGAGUGAAGUCAUGUAUUUGUCUUUCUCCAACUUAUUUCGCUUGGUAUCAUAUACUCUAGUUCCAUCUACAUUGUUGCAAAUAACAAAAUUUCAUUCUUUUUCAUCGCCAAGUAGUAUUCCAUUACACACACACACACACACACACACACACACACACACACACACCCCACAUGUUUAUCCAUUCAUUAGUUGAUGGACAUUUGGGCUCCUUCCAUAAUUUGGCUAUGGCGAUAAUGCUGCUAUAAACAUUGGGGUGCAUGUGGCCCUUCAAAUUAGCAUUUUUGUAUGCUCUGGAUAAAUACCUAGUAGUGCAAUUGCUGGGUUGUAGGGUAGUUCUAUUUUUAAUUUCCUGAGGAACCUCCACACUGUUUUCCAGAGCAGCUGCACCAGUUUGCAUUCCCACCAGCAGCGCACGAGGGUUCCCCUUUCUCCGCAUCCUCGCCAAUAUCUAGUGUUGCCUGAGUUGUUAAUUUUAGCCAUUCUGACACAUGAAAAGAUGCUCAACAUCACUCAUCAUCAAGGAAAUACCAGUCAAAACCACGGUGAGAUAUACUUUUAAAACAAAGUUUAUUUAUUUUGAGAGGGGGGUGGGGCAGAGAGAGAGGGAAAGAGAGAAUCCCAAGCAGGCUCCACACUGUCAGUGCAGAGCCUGAUGUGGGGACCGAACUCACGAACCAUGAGAUCAUGACCUGAGCUGAAAUCAAGAGUUGGAUGCUUAACCAACUGAGCCACCCAGGCUCAGCCACUUACUACACUUUUUAAAACAUUCGUUUUAUUAUUUUCAAGAUCUGUAGUAAUUGGAACUGAGCCAAAUAUGUAUACUAUGUGAUGUUUAGUUACACUGCUUCCAUAAAAUGACCAUUAUAGUUGUGAUUAGCAUAUUAUUUAUAAAUAGGUAAUUAUAAUGAUAUUAUGGAAGUACUUAAACAUUUUGCUUUCUUGAGUGGUUACAAUAUUUUUUCUUUCACUAUUUCUGCACUGUUUAAUUUGUUAGUAAACCCUUUUGUGGAAGUUAUUCAAAAGUCCUUUUAGUAAGUUAUCCUCUCUGGACUGUCAUAAAGUCUGCAUUCAUUGAGCAAUAUAGAAUCGUUGAUUCAGUGUGAACAGACUAGACAUUGUCCAGCUCAAGCAGUUCCUUAUUUAGAGGAGGAAACACAUCCAAGUGGUGAUGUAACUUCUCAGGGUCCUGUAGGUGCUUCACGUCGGAACUGCAGCUAGAGCCUGGGGGCUGUGGUUCCCUGUCCCGUGUGCCUUUCUUGUAAACCCUAGACCUCUAACUACCAGGUGACCUAAGCUAGUGUCUUGACGUGCAGCUUACCUGGGCGGUGCAUUGGAUGUGUCAGAAUAUGAGACGUUGAGGGGCAGCCGUACACGUAAAAGUGGUUUAGCAAAGCAGCUUUUCUCUCCCUGCUCGUGCUCACGGUGUGUGUCUGUCGCAGAGGGUUGAUGAGAGGGAGCCUACGGGGAAAGGGUUGGGGGUUGGUGGACACUUGAGGAGGGGGACGUACCCAUCAAGAGAAGGGCGAGUGAAAAGUGCGGGGCAUAAAGGAGGCUGCGUCCACACCGAGCAGUUCCGCCGGCCUUAGAGAGAUGGCGUGAGCUCUGCGUCUGCGGAUGAAAGGCAUCACCGGGACGGCAGUGAGUAUGUGCGGUGCAGAGCAGUAUGUGUCAUGUUCCCAAAAAUGAGAGAGGACCCUGCUUAUGUGUGUUAUACGUUACAUGGAACACGUCUCUAUGUAUGAGGAAUGUGGGCUUACAGGCACGCAUAGUGGGCUGUGUGUGAGAUGUUUCUAUAGGUGAUGUGAACGAGCCCGGAGGGGUAGUCGGGCUGUGAGCACUGAUUGUCUCGGGGAGUGGGAUUUGGAAACAUUGUUAACUGUUUCUUUGUUUAUGGUUAUGUUGCUUACUUCAUUACGAGAAGCGUCUAUUACUUUUGCUAUUCACAAUACCUAACAAAUACAGAUUAAAAUCAGCCGAUAGCAUUGGUAUAUUUAUGAUGCUUUAAAAUAUGGGAUACUUCAUGAAUUUGUAUGCUGUCUGUAUGCAGGGGCCAUGGAAUCUUUUCUGUGUUGUCCUAAGUUUAGCGUAUGAGCUGCUGGAGCAAAGUUGUUGUUGGUAGUGGGUUUUUGGUUUGUUUGUUUUUUUUUUUUAAUCGAAGUCAGCUAGUGGACUUUCCCAUCGAAGAAAUACCCAGAUUACCUGACUCCUGACUGGCUGACUUGGAUGGUUUCUAAUGCACUAAAAUUCUUCAGUAACAGCAUAUUCAGAAAGGAACAUCGUGAGGAUAAUUUUCAGAUGUGCUUUCCCCUACGAUCAAAGUUUCCAAAUGCUUAUAUUCUUGAUUCUAAGCAUUUUCGUCUUAUUUUACUUCAUAAUCUGUUGUAUUUAGCAAUGAGCUGAUUACUAUAGUAUAUUUACUAAUGAAAGAUGAAUAUUGUUUCCAUGUGAAACCAAGGCUAAUAAAUUCUAACACCCAUGAUUCAAUUAAGACUCAAACCUUCCUUUUGUCAAGAAACGAAUUGCGUGAUGGAAUUGCAAUUUUUAUUUAGAAAGAGAACAAAAUAAACUGUUUGCAUUUUGCAGAUUUCCUUAAAUUCUAAGACCCUGAGUCUUCAACACCUCUUCUAAGUGCAGAUACCCUUGUAAUUUUCCAACACCAGGGACGCCUCAGGUCCUAAGAUGUUUGUUUUAAAUCACAGUUACUAAUAAAAGAAAAAUAUUUUUGAAUGUAAAUAUUUUCUGGACGUUUGUUAGUCAUAGGUUUUAUGUAGUACUAACAAAGCCAUUAUUGACAUAAAACUUAAAAACUAGUCAAUUUUAAAACUCCCGAGAAAAAUACCAGGAACAAUUUGAGUGUAUUUGGGACAGAGAAAACAAAAUACUAAUGCUUUUCUUGGCUGAGGUCUGUGUGCUAUCAUCAGUUGGUCUCGUGGCAGACUUUCAUUUUUUCAUUAAAGUAGCACAAAAUUAGUAUCUUAGAAGACCAUGAGAGUGUAACCAAGACCUGAUUCAAGCAAGGAUGUCAACAGGGGUUCUUUCUCUCCAAGGAGCUAGUAAAGCCUGUGGAAACUGUGACCGGCUGAUCUAGAAGCUCAUAACUUUGAGGGUUAGUUGACUUUGGCUAUAAAAGAACCAAAUAAAUUACACAGGGUGGAACUACUACAGAGAAAAACACAGAGGUCUCAUCUUCUCCUUGGUCUUUGUACCUUUUGAGAUGCAAGUAACUAAAUUCACACAGUAGCUUUUCAGAUGAAGUUGUUACAAGAGCCCUUCAUCCCGCUGCUGCCCGCGGUGAACACAGCUCUGAGUGAGGGCUCGACCGUCACCAGGCCAGAGGAAACCAUCACUGUGGUUUCCUGGUUUUGUGGAGGGUGCGGUGGAAAUAGAAGGGGGGGAGAGAAUCCUGGGCUUUUUAUGGGGUGGGCUGCUGGGGCAUUUAUUUAGCUUUGGGUCUUGCACUCAUGGAGGGCCUUAAAUUUACCUUUUUUGCAUGAUCUCCAACUAAGGGUGUCUGUGUAGAUGUAUGUUUUUUUUGUCUCUGUGUUGAAAAUAUUAAAAUAUAGAAUAUACGUUACUCUAAGUCUCUUUUGACGCCCCCACCCCCUCCAUAUCCGUGGAGCCUAAAAACAGUAUGAGUUUCGUGUGGCUUCUUAAAGGGCCAAAGACUAUUUAAGCAGGAAAUAGCGUCAGAAAACAGUUGUUAGAUGCUUGUUAUUGUGAAUUAAAAUGAAGGGCUCUUGAUGUUGCAUUUUAAGAUACGUUCAUGAUGCUGAAGUUGCCUGGAAGAAAAAAAAUAUGUGAACAUAGCCAGGAGAAUUCUGAAAAGGAAAGUCACCUGUCCAUCUGACGUGGUCUGUCAGAGAGCAGAAGGGGAUAAUGACCUCUUAGGUUGUCGUGAGAAUGAAAAGGUAUUUUUUACUUAAAAUUCUUAGGAUAGUGUCUGAAACAGAACAAACGUUUAAUAAAUUUCCUGGUUUAGAUACUUGCUUUAUUUCAUAAACCUUUAUCACUUGCUCCGUGUCUGUGGGGAGGUCGAUCGGUGAUGAUGGGGCAAGAGUGGAGUAGAUAAUGUGAUGUAGAUGUUUCAUCUUUAAUAGAGUCAAAGUCAAGCAGGUUCCCGCACGUUGGUGAGCAGUUUUGCCCACGGACCCUUCUUGCCGGCGAUCUCACUUCUUAGUAGUGCAAGAGUUGGGGGCGCCGACUUCCCACACAGUCGGAAGUUUGUGUAUAACUUGCGACAACAAAAAACUUAACUACUAAUAGUUGACCGGAAGCCUUACCAGUAACUUGUCAAUUAACACAUAUUUUGUAUAUGUGUUGUAUACUAUACUCUUACAAUAAAGUAAGCUAGAGAGAAGAAACUAUGAGAAAAUCGUAAGGAACAGGAAAUAUCCUCACGGUGCUGCCCCGUAAGGCACCUGUGUAUCGGACCCGUGCAGUUCAGACCCGUGUCGGUCAAGGUCAGCUGUACGCUGGAGAAUCGUCUCCGCGUGUUGAGGAGACAGACGCAAGGAAGUCCAUUAGGGCGCGGUCGUAGUUGUAAAACACCAAAACUCCUAACUGUCCAGCAGAGCUGUGUGUGAGCUGGGUCUCAGAAGCAGCAGCCCGCGGACGUUUCGGACCGGCGGACGUGAUGGGACGGCACUUGCAGGAGGUCUGAGGGAGUGCAGAACAGCUCACCCGUUGUGUAUGGACGCACGUGGAGGCCUGGCGUAAGACGUGCUUGGAAAUGAAAACCCUGGUUCAGGAGAGCGGUCACCUCUUCGGAGCGAAGAAAGGGAAUGGGGUCCCAGUCUGUUCUGUUCCGCAGGGGAACCCACUGCCUGUAAUGGUUCAUGAAGAAAAACGGGCAGGAAGACAACAUUCAGACAUUUUCAUAAAGCUGGGAGGCGAGGGCAGGGCCACUCGCCGUGUUAGUCUCUCUCUCCUUGCUUUGAAACGUUUCCCAUGCACACAAAUGAGGUAAGUAUGUGGAGAUCCUGUAAAAGCAGGAGAGGGAGAGAGAGUGUGGCCUCUGGAGGCUGAGACGCUGGUUUUUCCUCUCUGUGCUGGUGGCUUUACCUCUCCGAGCUCGUGACCUCAUCUCUAAAAUAGGGACGGGGCGCCUCGGUGACUCCGUCGCUUAAGCGUCUCACUCUUGGUUUUGGCCCAGGUCAUGAUCUCACGGUUCAUGACUUUGAGCCCCAGGUCGGACUCUGUGCUGACAGCACAGAGCCUGCUUGGGAUUCUGUCUCCCUGUCGCUCCCCGCCCCUGCCCCUCCCCCCUCAAAAUAAAUACGUAAACACUAAAAAAGAUUAAAUAGGGGUAGUAAUAUCUCUAUGACACUUUGUUAGGAAUUAAGAGCUUACCUAAAGUGCCUUUUAUAGCUGUUGGUGCAGAAGUUCCAAGAGCUGGGAAUAAAUACUGUCUGAGCAACAGCGGACGUUGUCCGUGCCCUCACAUAACUUUAGAGUCUAGUGGGGGAGACAGAGGGUCAGCUAUCAGUCAGACACGUGUAAGUGACACCUGUAAUCUGUGUCUUAAGGACAAGUGCAAGGCACUGUGAUUCCCUUCUUCCCUGAGACAUGCCUGAGGGCUGGGCUUUGAAGAAAAAGCAGGAGCUCAGUGCAGAAGAUGGGGUAGAGGGGUCCAGCCCGAAGGAACAGCCCGGAAGUGCUGCAGGAGGGCGCCAGGCCAGUAGGAGUUCCCGAGAGGAGGCCGAGGAGGCCGGGGGUGGAGUGGAAGUCCCAGGGGAAGGGCCGGUGCCCAACAGCACUGAAGACCAGGCACGGCCGGGUCUGCAGCUCUCUGAACGCUCCGCCGGGUAACUUGGGGUGUGAGGAGGGCAGUCAGUGGAGGACACUGGUAGACCGGAGUCCCUUAACAUCAGGGUGAGCAGAAGAAGCUCUGGGAGGACGGUUCGGAAGCAGCUGUAAACAUGGGACGUUGUUAGGAAGUCCUACAAGUUGGUAGCUGGGUGGCCCAGAAGAGUCCGUUUAGGUCGUUGCUUCAAACGAGACGAGAAUUGAGAGGCAGAAGCUGCAUCCACAAACCAGUGGGUAGUCUUUCUCAUCAUCCACGUGAUCGGAAAAGAGUUCUGGUCCUCUGUCAGUGCUUUUUGCCAGUAGCUGUUCACCUGGAAGGUCACCAUCUUUGAACCCAGUAAGAGUGCUUUGCCGCAUAGAUUCUUCAGUUUACGCUGUUCUGCAGACACGACGUUAAAGCCUAAAAUGGAUGGUGAAAAAUACCAAGGAACUUGACAGUAUUUUGAAUGGAUUCCUUUAGGUACAACCACCGUUGCCCAAAUAACCGGUGAUAGGCCCACCCGUUCUCACCGCCAGACGAAAUGUUUAAUACAUUAAUGUUUUAAGUGUUUUCCACACAUUAAUGAGUUAAACGGACACCUGUUGAGGGUUUACUAGUCUGCCCAAAGCUCCACGCCGUGCGUCCCGUGGUGGGUGAUCAGUAAAUGACUUCGUUGGUGCGGUGGACCUGCUCCCCUUGGUUUCUGGGGCAUUUCAGGGGUCUCUUCCAGCAACGAAGGGGCGGCCAGAAAUAGAGCAGAAGGAGAGAAGGUGGGGGGCCUGGGCUUCAGACACUGGUUAGUAAGAGAAGUCAAUCUCAUGCCUCAUCGGUCCCAUUUAAAGGGUGCUAAGGAACCAACUCAGUCUGAAAACCAGGGGGAAAGGAAAGAACCAAGGACUUCAAGUGUAAGUUAAAAAAAAGACAAGACAACAACCAGAGAAGUACAAAGAGCAACAUUUUUAAAUAAACGUUUACCGUAAAAUUCUGUUAUGGGAAUGGACCUUUAUAUAACUGGUUCCCUGUUGAUGGAGAAUUUGUUUCUGUUUUCUCCUUCUCUUCCUCCUCCUCCUUGAAUCCACAGACGGUACUUGUUUCUGUUAUUUUGAUGAACUUUAGGUUAGUCACAGGGUAAACUGUGGCAAUGGGACUUCUGGGUUAGAAGGUAUUUUUAAAGGUGUAGUAAAGAUAUUAAUAAACCCCACCGUGUUGUCCUCUGGAAAGGUCACCCCACCUUGUCACCCCACACACUUUUAUAUAAAUAUAAAUAAAAAUAUCUCUUUGUCUUUUUUUUUAAUGUUUAUAUUUAUUUUUGAGACAGAGACAGAGCAUGAGUGGGGGAGGGGCAGAUCGAGAGGAAGACACAGAAACUGAAGCAGGCUCCAGGCUGUCAGCACAGAGCCCGACGCAGGGCUUGAACUCGUCAACCGUGAGAUCGUGACCUGAGCCGAAGUCGGACACUCAUCCAACUGAGCCACCCAGGCGCCCCAGGGGUGUUGCAGUCUUAAAGCUAGCCUAGGUGAAGGUUGAAGCAGCAUCAGAGUGCUGUGAUCUGAAUGUAAUUUAGUUUUGAGUAAAUUAAUUUGUAUUAAUUUUUUUUAACUUCAUAUUUUUUGGCUAAUGCUUUUUAUUCAUUUCUAAUCAGGAGUCUUUAAAUUUAAUGCUUUGGUUGGUCCAAGGUGCACUGGGCUUCCAUUAUACUUAUGGACAUGUGGCUUCACAAGGAGGCACAGUGGGUGUUACAGGAAGGUCUCGGGCAGGAGCUGGCUAUAUGGUGUGCCCCGAUCUUUUCAGCACAGAAACCCCAGAGGAGAGAUGGGGUUUAUAAUGAGCGCUACAGCACGUUACAGAUAAAGUGUUUUUGUAGACUCUACAGUCAUGUGGAAAUACAAGGUUAUACUUCUUAUAAGCUUACUUACUUUUGAAAGCAAAAACCUUUAAUUAAAUGUUCUUUUUAAAAACUUGUUUUUUCCUUUUCCUAAGUUUUUUUUUUUUAACGUUUAUUUGUUUUUGAGACGGAGAGAGACAGAGCAUGAAUGGGGGAGGGUCAGAGAGAGAAGGAGACACAGAAUCCGAAACAGGCUCCAGGCUCUGAGCUGUCAGCACAGAGCCCGACGCGGGGCUCGAACUCACAGGGUGUGAGAUCAUGACCUGAGCUGAAGUUGGACGCUCAACUGACUGAGCCACCCAGGUGCCCCUGAAAAAAUUUUUUUUAAUGUUUAUUCAUUUUUUUUUUUUUUUGAGAGAGAGAGUGAGACAAAGUGUAAGUGGGGGAGGGGCAGAGAAAGAGGGAGACACAGCAUCCGAAGCAGGCCCCGGGCUCUGAGCUGUCAGCACAGAACCCGACGCAGGGCUCGAACUCACAAACCGCGAGAUCAUGACCUGAGCCGAAGUCAGACUCGUAACUGACUGAGCCACCCAGGUGCCCCUGGAAUAGAUUUUUGAGUGAGCACCUUCAUAAAUGCUUAUGUGUGUUUGUGUAUUCAGCAUGUGCACAUGGAAUGAGAAUGUUUGGCCAAAUUAAAACAUUUAAGAAGGCAGUUAACUCGGUUCGUGGGUUCGAGCCCCAUGUCGGGCUCUGUGCUGACAGCUCGGAGCCUGGAGCCUGCUUUGGAUUCUGUGUCUCCCUCUCUCUCUGCCCCUGCCCCACUCACAUACUGUCUCUGUCUCUCAAAAAUAAAAUAAACAUUAAAAAAAGAAAAAAAAAAGAAGGCAGUUAAAAAAAGAAGGUGCUUGGCUGGUCCUGUCAGCAGAGCAUGGGACUCUUGAUCGUGGGGCUGUGAGUUCAAGUGCCACAUUGUGUAUAGAGAUUGCUUAAAAAUAAAAUCCUAAAAGAAGAAAAAAGAAAUUUUGAGGUGAGGACUUUAACAAUUAGCAUUUAGAAAAACAGCAAAUACAUUCUUUUCUAUAGAAUUAGAAUCUUGGCAAAUCUUUAAAGGAGCUUUGCUACAUGAACAUACGAGGAACCUGUCUGAUUUCUUUCUGAGACUGAUGUGGAGAAGUUUCAGGAUUUCUUAAUGUUUUCCAUUAUGAUCUCUUUACCAUAUGUGUUCAUGUUGUGAGAUAAAAAACUUGUACAUUGCAGGGGCGCCUGGGUGGCGCAGUCGGUUGGGCGUCCGACUUCAGCCAGGUCACGAUCUCGCGGUCCGUGAGUUCGAGCCCCGCCUCAGGCUCUGGGCUGAUGGCUCGGAGCCUGGAGCCUGUUUCCGAUUCUGUGUCUCCCUCUCUCUCUGCCCCUCAUGUUCAUGCUCUGUCUCUCUCUGUCCCACAAAUAAACGUUGAAAAAAAAUUAAAAAAAAAAAAAAACUUGUACAUUGCAAAUCACAUAAGAUUGCAAAUAAAUAUUACAACGUUAUUUUCCUCAUCUUUUACGAUUUAGCCUCUCAAUUUAAUUCCUCCUUGCAGGCAUGUGAAUUUUCCUUUACUACUAGAUGGCUCUUCCAGUCGCCUGCACCACAAAGGAGCUUUUUCUCUCUCUAGUGUCGUAUCCUGGGAACGGCAGGGAUUUGGAAGAACCCUGCAACAGAGGCAGAAGGAGGAGAUUUGAGUUUCGUGGGGUUUUGUCUUGCCUGCAUUACAUUUAAAAGUAUCUUUGUCCAGAGAGGGAAGAAGAAAUACUGCAGAUUUGCAGGUUAAUGUAAUGGGGCUAAAGUCUUCUCUUUGUAACUUUGUGAAUGGAGAAGAAUAUUCUCUGUAUGUUUCCUUUCUUCUAGUUUUAAAACUUCCUAAAUAUUUCACUUUUAGGCCGUUUCCCACUUGUCUGAUUUGGUUUUGUGUGGAAUUUGACAACAGAGAAGACAUUUUGUGGAAUCAUAUAAACUUACCUUGCUGUGAGAGGUCACACCUGCCGCAAACAAACGAUGCCACAACUGAGAACGUGUUAGACGCCAGCGUAGGGUAUCUGUAAAUAUUCAGAAGUUAAUACAUGGGGAGAAGUUAAAAAUGUUAUUAGAGAAGAGGAAAAGGAUACACUUUUCACAAGACUUUUUCAGAAAGAAUGUUGAGGUCUGUCACGUGUAAAGACUUCAGUAAGAUUAUGAUUGGACCAGCCUUUAGGAAAGGUCUGUGUAUCCGUAUAGCAAAAAGACUUGUGGGAUAGUGCCAUGAAGUAAAGAAAGGCAAGUUAAAAUAGGACAGGAGAGUAAUUUCACGUUGUUUUCUGAAGAAGAUAAGGCCCGGUACUUGUCAGGUUGAGGGGUGCAGAGCGCAGCUUGAUCGUGUAAUUCUAAAAGUACACUUGUAAACGUACCUUAAGUACAUUCCUACCCUCCGACCCGGUCGUUCGAAGCAUAAACAUUUAUGAUAAGAAAAUAAUUUAAAAGACUUAAAUACAGUUGCAGCAGAAACCAAGGGUGUACAUACGUACAGAGCUUUUUAUAGAAACGUUACAUUUUCCAGAAUAAAGACCCUGUGUUCGUGGCACAGAGAUGGACGAUCACCAGAGUCCCGUGCCGUGGCUGCUCAGCUGUACGCGUGCACGGGUCUGUUAAUUGUGCACGGGUAGUUGUACAUCUGCUUGCGAGGGGCAGUCAAGGCUCCGGAAACGUGCGCCCUGGAGGGUUUCGGUUCUGUGUUCACACGAGGAGACUGGGCAGUCUGCUGGUUUCACUUACAAGUCGGCAGACACAGAGUACGUGAAUGGCACAGCCGUGGAGUCAGUCCCACUUUGUGUGGAGAGGGGGGACUCUGACCGUGGGGGAAGCCUCCAGAGUGGAGCUCUGUGGAGGCGGGGACCCGUCCUGCCUUGCGCGUCUCGGCGUUGCCGUCGAGGACCUGCUCUCAGCAAAUGAUCAGUGUUUCGUCUGGUACCCUUUUCUCUAAAUUCUGGUUGCUGAUUCGGGCUUCUAAACCCCUGUUAGGUGACCGCAUCAGAAUCACUCGAGCCCAAUUCUGGGGCACCUGGGUGGCUCAGUCGGUUGAGCGUCCAACUCUUGAUUUCGGCUCAGAUCAUGAUCUCACUGUUAGUAAGUUGGAGCGCUGCAUCAGGCGCUGAUGGUGUGGAGCCCGCUUGGGAUUCUGUCUCUCCUUUUCUCUGCCCCUCCCCACUUGUGCGCGCUCUCUCUCUCUCUCUCUCUCUCUCAAAAUAAAUAAAAAUUUUUUUUAAAGUACUCAUGUGGGGGCGCCUGGGUGGCUCAGUCGGUUAAGCGUCCGACUUCGGCUCAGGUCACGAUCUCACGGUCCGUGAGUUCGAGCCCCGCGUCGGGCUCUGUGCUGACAGCUCGGAUCCUGGACCCUGCUUCCGAUUCUGUGUCUCCUUCUCUCUCUGCUCCUCCCCUGGUCACGCUCUGUCUCUCUCUCAAAAAUAAAUAAACAUUAAAAAAUUAAAAAAAAAUUUUUUUUUAAAUAACAACUUCCUAGGUCUCCGUUCCCUGGAAUUCUUAUUCCUUCGUGUGGGCCUUUAUUUCUCCAAGUUUUUAUUUCAAAAUAAUUUUAAACCUUCAGAAAACUCAGAGAGUUCCCCUUGACUCUUCACCCAGCUUUUCUUCCUGUAACCCGAUGAGACUGUAGCCCAACUGUUCAAACGAGGAAACGAACACUAUCAAGAUACUAUUAACUGAUCUGUGAGCCUUGUUUGAAUUCUGCCAGUUUUCCCAUUUAUAUCCUUUCUGUGGCCCAGGAUCCGAUCUAGGAUCCCACGCUGCACUGAAUGGUCUUGCUCUCCGGGUCUCUCACAACAUGUGCUCAUAGCUCUUCAGUUUCUUUCUUCCGCAACCUUGGUAGUUUUGAAGAGCGAGCUUUAGUUUCUGGUCAGUGUCCCUCAAUUUGGGCACGUGUGGUGUUUUCUCAUGACUGUAUUGCGCUUAUGCCACAGGAGAGAGCUGUGCACGUGCCAGUACAUCACAUCAGGGGGUGUAUGAUGUCAGUAAGUCUUGUUACCGAUGGUACUAACUUUGAUUACUUAGUUAAUGUUUCUGCACAGCGUUUUUACUCUGUAAAGUAACUCUUUUUUCCUUUGUUAUUCAGCAUCUCGUGAGGAGAUCUUUGCAAAUACCCUGUUUCUCAACAAAAAUUACCUCGAGGCGGAAGGACCAUAGUAACACUUGCUGCAUUCAGGAGCAUCAGUGAUUCGGCUUUCAAAUACCCUGCUUUCCUCAUCGGGGUUGGGACUCUUCCGUGCAACAAGUGUCACUAUGGAAUUGGCUUGAUUUUCUAUUUUGACUGCUCCGUCUACUUUCAGUAGUUGGGAAGCCACCGUAAGAACUGCCCCUUUCCCUCACUUACUUGUUUAUAUUCCUGUGUCCCUGUGAGUAUUUGUUGCGCGGGUUUCCGUCCGUCACCGUCACUUGCUCACUUUCCUGCUGCAGUCGUUGCAGCCUUGGCUGUCGGGAGCUCCUCUGAGUUAGCUUCUGUCUUCUUUCCAUAUUUCCUUAAAAAAAUUUUUUUUUAAACAUUUAUUUAUUUAUUUUUGAGGCAGAGAGAGACAGAGCAUGAACGGGGGAGGGGCAGAGAGAGAGAGGGAGACACGGAAUCCGAAGCAGGCUGCCUCCACGGUCCCGUCAGUCAGCACAGAGCCUGACGCGGGGCUCGAACUCACGAACCGUGAGAUCGUGACCUGAGCCGAAGUCGGCCGCUUAACCGACUGAGCCACCCAGGCGCCCCUCCACAUUUCCUUUGUUUUCUAGCACGUACGUGCUUUGAAUCAUCACAAGAUAUCCCAGGCUCCAGGCUCGUCUUAGUUUUACCUGCAAUGGCUCUCAAGUUCCAAGGGUCCCGGGUUUCUUUUACCAGAAGGUGGUGUUAGAAACCAAGGUCGGGGGCUGAACGUGCUCCUUGCUGCUGGGGUGUUAGUGCUUGGAGGCCCUUGGCGUGCACAGGGCUAGUAAGCACACGUGCGUGUGCCAGCACGUCUGCGUGCACACAUCUGUUUCUGUACCUGUUGAGAUACACGUAUCUCUCUCUGUGUAUAUUUACACACACACAACCGUGAGUUUGUGAGUUCUUAUCUCUGACUCGGAUCCAGUAGGACACGGUUCUUCCUAACCUUCCCCCUUCUCUUACCUGUGACCGUUUUCUCCGGCAGCGAGAAACUUGGCUCCCACUGUCUGCAAUAUAUUUUACUUGUUCACACCGUGUGUACACAAAGAGCAGUGACUCUACCUGGAGGCAGUUUUGUCCCCAGAGGGCCAUUUGGCAAUGUAUAGAGACAUUUUCAGUCUUCACAACUCAGGUGGGGGAGUCUAAUGGCGUCUAGUGAGUAGGGGACCGCCUGUACGCGCAGGACAGGACGAAGAAUGAAAUGGACCACAAUGCCAGCAGUGCCGAUGUUGAGAAACCUUGAAUGUCCAGUAGUUUCGGAAUGGUCGUUUACCCCUGUGAAAAAUAAAUUUCCUGGGGCGCCUGGGGGACUCCGUUGGUUAAGCUUCUUUCUGACGUUGGUUUCGGCUCAGGUCAUGAUCUCACGGUUCGUGAGGUUCAGCCACACGUGGGGCUCUGUGUUGACAGUGCAGAGCUUGCUUGGGAUUCUCUCUCUCUCCCUCUCCCUCCCUUUCUCUCUCUCUCUCCCUCUCCCUCCCUUUCUCUCUCUCUCUCUGCCUUUCCCUGCUCAUGUGCAUGCUUUCUCUCUCCCUCUCAAAACAAAAACACAAAAAACAAACAAACAAAAAAAACACAUAAAAAUGAAUAUACUAAGUGGCAUAUAAUAUUGGUGUAGUUAUUUUUUUCUUUAGUCUUACAGCAUUUAUUCAAAACAGUGUCAUCCAGCGUUUACUAAGGUUCGUUCCUUCCCCCACUUCCUUUAGUAUGGUUGUUACUCACUUAGGAUACAGUUAGGGUCACGGUUACUGUUUGUACUCAGUUGGGGUUUGACUGAUUGAAUAUGUGAAACAUCACGGUUCUAAAAGAGCCCAGGGCGUCUGGGUGGCUCAGUCGGUUAAGCGGCCGACUUCAGCUCAGGUCACGAUCUCACAGUCCGUGAGUUCAAGCCCCGCGUUGGGCUCUGUGCUGACCGCUCAGAGCCUGGAGCCUGUUUCAGAUUCUGUGUCUCCCUCUCUCUCUCUGACCCUCCCCCGUUCAUGCUCUGUCUCUCUCUGUCUCAAAAAUAAAUAAACGUUAAAAAUAAAAUAAAAUAAAAUAAAAUAAAAUAAAAUAAUAAAAAAAAAAAAAAUAAAAAUAAAAAAGAGCAGUACACAAAGAUCCGCUCCCAAGGUGGGAAUCUGUUUUCACAAGGUCCCCAGAUGAUUCCAAUACUCACCUGUUCAGAACCGACGGUGUAGCUUAUGGGCUUUGAAGUCAGACCUGAAUUUAAACCCAGUCUCUUACCAGGUAUGUAAUGUCAGGUAGGUCCCUUUCAACCUCUGAGCCUGUACUUCCAAGGGUUGUUGUGACGAUAUGAAAACAUACAUGCAGUGCUCGUCACAAUGCCUGCACACGGCACCCAGGUGAGAGCUGAUCUCGUUCUUUCACGUAUCCAUUUAACAAGCAAGUUGUGUUGCUGCUGUGUCCUGAGGCCCCAUACUGCUUCCUCAUGAGGCCGAAUAACGAAGACGCUGUUCGUGCCUUUGAGUAGUUCACCUUCUAGGGAGGUUCUUGGCGGUUUUGCAGAAGGUACAAUGGCCAUUUCCUACAUUGAUGUGCGAUAUAAGAGACUAGGAUAGUAAUAAAUCAUGAUUUUAUGGAAGCUUGUCCCUAGAAAGCCUCACUGGUGCAGACUGUGUGUGCACUUGUCUGGUGAGCUAUCGUGGUAAGAAACAACAAUCUAGAGACACAGGUAGUAUGUGUCUCAGACUCUGUCAGAUAGAAGACAUUCCAGGCUUCUAAGGAUGUCUAGAUACCAGGCCAUUUGAGUGAAGUUGAAUUCUGUAGUGAGUGUCUGUAGUCCGAUGUUUAGCGUUCUUAGAUACCAGGCAUUCAAGUGAUUUUUUAAUGAGUGCUUUUCAAUUUCAUUAUGUGUACAGAUCAUCUGGGGAUUUAGUUAAAAAGCAGAAUCAGAGUCAGUAGAUGUGGACGGGGGCCUGGGAAUCUGCACUUAUACCAAGCUCCCAGCAGAUGUAGUUGGCCGUGGGUCCCACGUUGAGUCAUGAGAGUUAUUGCACAACUUUGAAAUUGUAUUUUCUGGCUUUCGGUCCUAGUUCUUGUACUUACUAGACAGGCGCCUGUUAGGAGUGGCUAAUUUCACUCUGCAUGUUGUAUGAUGUUAUUAGCUAUCGAACUCAACACAGGUAACAAUUAACAUUUUAAAUUAACAACGUGAAGACAAGCCUCCAACAACUAAUUGGUAGAAUCGACAGACGAGUGUCAUAAUUUGGUGUUGCAGCUAAGGAUGUCCUUCUUCCAUUUGAUCUACAUUUUAUCUGUGAGACUCCCCCCCCCCCCCCCCCCCCCCCGCCCCCAUUGUGACAGCCACUGACACGGAUACCUAAAUAAACGAAAAUUAGGACCAGAGUUUUGUUUUGUUUUGUUUUUUUCAACGUUUAUUUAUUUUUGGGACAGAGAGAGAGCAUGAACGGGGGAGGGGCAGAGAGAGAGGGAGACACAGCAUCGGAAACAGGCUCCAGGCUCCGAGCCGUCAGCCCAGAGCCCGACGCGGGGCUCGAACUCACGGACCGUGAGAUCGUGACCUGGCUGAAGUCGGACGCUUAACCGACUGCGCCACCCAGGCGCCCCCGUUUUGUUUUUUUAAGUAAGCUCUAAGCCCAACGUGGGACUUGAACUCACGACCUGACAGCAAGAAUUGCCCGCUCUACUGACUGAGCCGGCCAGGUGCCCCAGGACCAGAAGUUUUAAAAAAUAUAUACGUAUGUUAACACUGCUCUCACUAUAUUCAUGUAUAAAUAAUAAAUAAAAAAUGUUUUAGUGGAACAGUUUUCGAACUACCAAUAAAUGAAAGAGAAUAAUGUAUUAUUUACAUUAUCCUGUUAAAUUUUCUGAUUUGUUUUUUCUUAAUUAAUUUUUUGAUAUAGAAGUACAUUUCUGUAAUUUAUAUUGUAAAUCGAGGGUAUGUGCUCAAGGGUACUUUACCCAUAGAGGGUGGAAGAAGAAAGUUUAGAUUUCACUGCUAUGGAGCAGAGAAAAAAUGGCUUUCUUUUGAAAAAACAUUGAGGGCAGAUGUUGAUGGUUUGCCACUCGGACUAAAUGAAGCUCUCCUUAGGGUGUUUGCAGGGUAUCUGACACGGAGAGACUGUGAUUCCCUUGAUGUAGUGUAGCUGGAAUUGGGGGCCCUUCACUUGGAAGUAAAUGUUUGUGGUGACACAGCGUCCCUCCCCUCCCCGAAACAGAGGGCAAGGGACCCUAGAAUUGAGGUGACCGGCUAGUCUGUUACAUUAACUAAAUGGAGUUGACCUAGUCCCGGUUCAUGAGGGUUCUAAGAGUCUUCGGAAGAAAGCAGUUGUUAUAGGUGAGUGUACAUGGAUUAGCCUGCCCGCUUGGGGCCCCGCUUUUCUCGGUCUUUGAGCCCGAGUGCCCAGACUUUGCGCUCCGUGGCACCUUUGACACUCUUAAAAUUGGUGGAGGAUCUCAAGGAACUUCUGUUUAUAUGAGUUACAGCCAUCAGUCGUUAACCACAGCAGGAAUUAAAACAGAAUUUUAAAAUAUUCAUUAAUUCAUUAAAAAGAUAAAACUAUUGCAUGUCAACAUAAAUAACAUAUUUCAUGAAAAAUAACUGUAUUUCCCAAAAGAAAAAUUAGAAGAGUGGCAUUAUUGUACAUUGUUUACAAAUCUCUUUAAUGUCUGGUUCACUAGAAGACAGUGGAGUUUUCUCUCUGCUUUUACACUCAUUCCACUCCCUCUGUCACAAUAUGGCGCAUCGUGUAGCUUCUGGAAAACUCUGUUGGACACUCAUGACCCAUGAAGAGGGGACCGACAUCACGUAGACCUGACCUUGCUGGCACCCUGGAGGGGCCUGUGGGAACCCAGGGUUUCCCUUCAUCCUGGGCCAAGGAGGGAGUUGCUGUGGCUGUUUGUGGCCAGCACAGGGCCAGGGGCUGGGUCUGCCUCUCUGGAGAGGCUCGGUGGGGAGUUGGCGGGGGCUUGGCUAGGGGUGCCUUCUGGGUGCCCCAUGUCCUGUUUCGGUCUCCCGGGCCGUUACAGGUCUCAGAUCAAGCUUCGUGGCGCUCUGAUAGCCCACAAGCCGCCUGGGUGUGUAUCUGCUGAGUCCAGUAAACUCUUCUGGACGAACCUAUUCCAGGUUCACUGAGAAAUCAAUUAAAUGGAUAGAAUUUGCUCAGUUUCUAGUUUUCCUCUUAUAAAUUAUUCGUAUCUGUUCUUUUUGUUAGUCAACAUUAGCUGGAAAGACGAAUGAAAGUUUUAUUAUUAAUGCAAGACCUUGAAAUGAUCAUACAAAAUUGAUACGCUUUUUUUUUUUUAAUUUUUUUUCAACUUUUUUUUUUUUUUUUUUUUUUUUUGGGACAGAGAGAGACAGAGCAUGAACGGGGGAGGGGCAGAGAGAGAGGGAGACACAGAAUCGGAAACAGGCUCCAGGCUCCGAGCCAUCAGCCCAGAGCCUGACGCGGGGCUCGAACUCACGGACCGCGAGAUCGUGACCUGGCUGAAGUCGGACGCUUAACCGACUGCGCCACCCAGGCGCCCCGAUACGCUUGUUUUUUGUUGUGAUAUAUAGGCCCUUGGUUGAGUUUUGUUAAAGAUAUAUAUACAUGGUAAUAUCUUCUGCAAUGAAAUUACUCCUAAUAUGUUGCAGAAUUAAAUAUAUCCCGUUUUAUGCCAUGUCACGUGGAGUCCGCCUGGUAUUUCAUAGAGUACCGUGAUGUUCUGGUGUUCUGCCCAGUGAAGAGGUUUGAAAACCCUACAGAGGGUGACCAGGGAGGCGCUGUUUAGGCCCGAGCUGCUGCGUGUGAUGUAGCACCCGGAGCCCCCGUCAUCGCGGCCGUGGGGACACGGGGCAGAGACUCGGCGAUCCCUCCCCGGCCCGCUGAUGGGGCUGACACUCAGGCUCCUCCCGUGUCUCUCCUUCAUGGUUUCCUGAUGCUGAUGGCAGACGGGGCGGGGGCAGGGACCCUGAGUAUUGGGUGCCGGGAGACGGGGAGCCCAGCGGCGGGGACAGCUGCCACAGCUGACCGUUAGCACUUGUUUCGUUGGCUGACGAUUCAGGCCCCCGGCGCGUUCAGGAAAUGUGUGCGGACCUACCGUGUGCUUUAGAAUCACGUCGAAGAAAUCCACACACUAUAAAGCUGGUGUUUUGAGGAAGCUGCACCGACUGUGAGAAGACCGUGUUUGCAUCUCCCUGGUAAAUAAAACCUGCCUUUCUUCCUCCGGGAGGAUUAAGUAGCCAGGAGGCUGCUCUUUGAAGCUGCUGGACUUGCACAGGCCCGGCCGGCAGCCCAGAGGUGGAGGAAGCCGGUGUACUUUGAUGUCAGAGCUGAUUUCAGACCAUCUUAGGUUGCGUUUUCUUUGAAGCACCGUGAUUCUAGGCGACCUCUGCGCACGUAGGGCCAAUCAGUUGACCUAGAAGAGCCUAGAAAGAAAAGGCCUUUGCCGAAGAAAGGGAGUUGAAAAUAGCUACAGGUUAUUUGAAAUAUCAUGUUUACUUAAAGAGUUUUGAGAGAGAUUAUUUGGAGUUAAUCUAGUUUCCCUAAAAGCACGAGAUUAGUUGUUCAGAAUGAUUUCUUGUGGGAAGUUAACGAUUGGUUGUGGUGCGUCCCUUGGAAUUCUCUGGGCUCCGGCAGAUCCGACUUGCAGAUAUUUCUGGGAGGGGCCUGUUUAGGGUUGGGUGCACAACUGCAUAAACACGGAGUGUUUUAAAUAAAGGGUUUUGAGUCGGAAAAAAUAAACACAGAGGCUGAAGGUUCAGUUCAGAGAUACGGAGUUACCAGGUUUCUUUUCCCUGAUGUCAAGUUAAUGGGAAAUUGGAAACCCAGAGCUGGUUUGUGUUACCCUCCUACACCUUAAAACGUUGCUUGUCAGGACAGGCACAUUUUUAAAAUACUUGUUUGAAUACCUGAAUUAUAAGCCUUAUUUUCCUGCCAGCUUGUCACCCUUCUGAAUGGUUGUUCUGGUAACACAGCAUCUGGACACUUCUCAACCAGUUGGGAUUAAAAGAAGCUGGUCAAAGUGUUUUCUUCUCCCUUUGCUCUUACGUCCGCAGGCCCGGGUACUUUCUGGUUUCAGGCAUGAUAGUUUCUUAAACUAAGUAUUUAUAAAUAUCACACUGCUUUUUUUUUUUUUUUUAAAUUUUUUUUUUCAACGUUUAUUUAUUUUUGGGACAGAGAGAGACAGAGCAUGAACGGGGGAGGGGCAGAGAGAGAGGGAGACACAGAGUCGGAAACAGGCUCCAGGCUCUGAGCCAUCAGCCCAGAGCCCGACGCGGGGCUCGAACUCACGGACCUCGAGAUCGUGACCUGGCUGAAGUCGGACGCUUAACCGACUGCGCCACCCAGGCGCCCCUCACACUGCUUUUUUUAAAAAAACUUUAGGGGCACCUGGGUGGCUCAGUCGGUUGAGUGUCCGACUUCAGCUCAGGUCAUGAUCUCACCACUUGUGGGUUCAAGCCCCGUGUCGGGCUCUGUGCUGUCAGCUCAGAGCCUGGAGCCUGCUUCGGAUUCUGUGUCUCCCUCUGUCUCUGCCCCUCCCCUGUUCAUGCUCUGUCUCUCUCUGUCUCAAAAAAAUAAAUUAAUUAAUUAAUAAAAACAUUUAAAAAAUUUAAAAAACAAAAACAAAAAAACUUUAAUCUUUUUUUUUUUUUUUUAUUUAAACUAAAAACAACAACUAUGUUUCUCCUACCCUCUACUCCCUCUCCCCACCCCGCCACCCCUGGCCCCUACCAAUCUAUUCUUGUGUACCUUUGAGCUUGGGGUGUCUGUUUUAGAUUCUACAAUAAGAGAGAUCAUACGGUGUUUCUGUUUCUCUGUCUGACUUAUUUCAGUUAGCAUAACGCCCUCACAGCCCAUCCAUGUUGUUGCAGAUCACAAGGUUUCAUACUUUUUUAUGGCUGAGUAAUAUUCCGUUAUUACAUGUACACACACACACACGCACGCACGCACGCACGCCAGAUCUCUAUCCAGUCGUCUGUCAGUGGACACGUGGGCGGUCGUAAAUAGUGCUACAGUGAACAUGGGGGGGGCAGAUAUCUUUUCAAGUUAGCCUUCUCAUUUUCUUCAGAUGAGUACCCAGAAGUGGGAUUGCUGGGUCGUAGGGUAGUUCUGUUGUUAACUUUCUGAGGACCCUCCACACUGUUUUCCAGAGCGGCCGCGCCCGUGUGCAUUCCCACCAACGGUGCACGGGGGGUCCCCUUUCUCCGCAGCCUCGCCAGCACCUGUUGUUUCCCGGGUCGUUGAUCUUGGCCAUCCUGGCGGGCGUGAGGUGGUAUCUCCCUCAUCGUGGCUCUGAUUGGCGUCUCCCUCGUGAUGAGUGACAUUGAGCAUCUUUUCGUGUGUCUGUUGCCAUCUGCGUGUCCUGUGUGGAAACAUGCCUAUUCGGCUUGUCUGCCCAUUUUAAAACCACAUUUUUUUUUUCUGUUGAAUUGUGUGCGUUCUUUCCAUAUUUUGAAUAUUAGGCCCUUAGCAGAUGCAUGGUCUGCAAAUAUCUUCUCCCACUCAGUAGGCUGCCAUUUCGUUCUGUGGAUGGUUCCCUUUGCUUUAUUACUUAAAAACACCACGUUGCCCUUGUGUUUAAUGUUUUCAUGCUCAAAAUAAUGAUGUCUCUGAGGAUGGAAACAGCAUUUUCCUACCUUAGCAGGUGGGAGUGGGGCUCAGAGGUCACUGUAGGGCAGGAGUGACCCUGCUCUGGCCCUUCUUCAGAUUGGGGCUUCCGCAGGGACUCUCCGGGGGGCUGGGCUGCUUGGUCUUUGAAAGGUCGGUGAUGGAACUCACAGCUGUGGGAGGGGAGGGUCAGCAAAGCGGGUCCGAGUGGGUCCGGUCUGCCUGAGGGUCAGCAGCAAGCCGGCCUUUCAUACCCGUCGUUUCAUUCGAGCCCAUCCCCAGUAAAGGCUCAGCUUUCUGGACUGACCCCAGGCAGCGACCCGCUGCGAAGAGAAGAGAUGCGUGCGCCGCGGAGGGAGGCCGCCGGCAGUGUCUGCUUUAGGGUGAGCCUCACACGUGACGUGCCGGCCGCUACGUCGUGUGAGCGAGACGGAGCCAUUGUCUCCGUGGACGUGCACCGUAUGCACACGUGUGUGGAACACACCGUCUUCUCAAGAGUACGCGGCGUCUUUCUUGAGAGACAGAGCGGGGGAGGGGCAGAGAGAGAGGGAGACACCGAAUCCGAAGCAGCUCCAGGCUCCGAGCUGUCGGCGCAGAGCCCGACGCGGGGCUGGAACCCACGAACCGUGAGAUCGUGACCUGGGCCAAAGUCAGCCAGCUGAGCCACCCAGGCUCCCCUAAAAAGGUUUUUCUUAAUGUUGCCAGCGUUACCUCAGCAAUAUGUAACGUUCAAAGGAAGACAGUUUUCACUGUUGACAAUCUUGAAAAAAAAUUCUUAACCUCUAUUUUGCUGUUUCAGAGCAGAAACCUUAAGGAACAAUCUAUUGAGAAGUUUCGUACCUGCGAAUCUAACUCAUUUUGAAAUCAGUCAUAACCGAGAGCUGUGCGUUUUGAGUUCUUUUGUUGAGAAGAACUCUUUUUUUAUUUUUUAAUGUUUAUUUUUGAGAGAGAGAGAGAGAGAGAGAGAGAGAGAGCUCAAGCAGGGGAGGGGCAGAGAGAGAGAGAGAAAGGGAGACACAGAAUCCAAAGCAGGCUCCAGGCUCCGAGCUGUCAGCGCUUGACUCGUGAACUCCGAGAUCAUGACCUGAGCCGAAGUCGGGCGCUUAACCGACUGAACCACCCAGGUCCCCUGUUGGCAAAUCUUCUUAAAUAUUAAAUAUCAGCUGGAAAACAGAAGUAAAUGAUGAAUAGUGUAUUAUUACUAAGAGAGAUUUCCUUUAGUAUGUAGAAGAUUACAAUCUGCAGACUUUAACCAUUUUUAACUGAUUAUAGCUUCCUUAUAAGGAACUGCCCAUCAUUGUUAAACAGGCUCAUUUAUUCAGCCUAUGUAAUUGUCCACUUCGUUCUUUGUGACCGACUUUUUGUUACAUUUUGCGCUGGAGACACAAUCAGAAGCGAGUGGAACACACAUCUCUUACUGUUUAUCACCUGUUCAUUUAACAGAUAAUUCUUGAACACCAGCCAUGCACCUGGCGCUGUUCUGCAGGCUGGGGUCGUGGUCCGUGGAGGAAGAAGCAGUCAGUAAAUAAUGGGUGCUUAAGCUAAUUGCAGAGAGGGAUCAGUGCUUCACAGAUGGGGAGGGCUAAUCUGUUAGAUCUUUUAGGCUGCUCUGCGUUCUAGAAGAUGCUAGUACGACUAAUCACACACAUAAAUAUGAUAAAUGCCGAGCAGGAAAAGUAGAGUCCUGUGAGACUGUGUCAGUGAGGAGGUGGGGACUAGUCCAUUCCAGGGAGACGGGAGAGAUUCCUGGGGGAGGUCACAUUUGAGCUCGGAUUUGAAUGUUGGCUGGGUGUGCUGGUCUCCAGGGGCCGCCAUAUCAAGGCCACAGACCGGGUGGCGUAAACAAUACGGAAUUGUUGCCUUACAGUCUGGAGACUGUAAGUCUGGGAUGAGGGUCCUCUUCUCCAGCUUCUAGUGAUUUGUUGGCAGUCCUUAGGGUUUCUGGCUUGUACACUCGUCACCCUAUCUCCACCUUCAUCCUUACACGGGCAUUCUCCCUGUGUGUGUUCUGUGUCCAAGCUUCCCCUUUUAUAAGGAUACCAGUCGUAUGACCUCAUCCUGAGAAAUUACUCUGUAUUGGCCCUGUUUCCAAAUGAAGUCACAUUCUGGGGCGUUGCGGGUUAGGGCUUCAGUAUAUACAUUUGGGGGACACGGUUUAAACCACAGCACCAGGAGUUUGCAGAAUGAAGAGGGAGGGGAAACCUUUUUGUCAGGAAGGAAGGACAGCACGUGAGGGUCUUGUGUUGGAAAGAAGCGUGGCUCACUUAAGGACGGACUGGGGAGCACAUGCAGUGAGGUGGCCCCAGAACAUUCUGAAGGUGGGACAGGUAUGGAGGCCACGUGGGCCCGGGGCAUGGCCUGAAGGAAAAUUUCCAGGUGGCAACAUCCAGUAGACAGAAGUUUGUGCGUGUCGACCAGGAGAGAGGCUGAGGCUCCAGAGAAGGACCUGGGCUCAGGGCAUUCGGGGUCAGACUUGGCUAAACUCACUCAGGAACAGUGUCUCCGACGGGAGGGCUGGGAUGGCACGUGAGGAGAGCCCGUGUGAGGAAGGUGUCGGAACAAGAAGCCCACGAAAUGGCAGAGAGCGACAUGAGGUAGAAACACCUGGUUGCAGGGGCGUCUGACGCUUGGUUUUGGCUCAGGUCACGAUCUCAUGGUUUGUGGGUUCGACGCACAUCGGGCUCUCUGCCGACAGCGCGGAUCCUGCUUGUGAUUCUCUCUCUCUCUCUCUCUCUCUCUCUCUCUCUCUCUCUCUCAAAUAAAUACUUAAACUUAGAAAAAAAGAAAUACCUGGAUGGAACGCUGGUCAGAAAACCGAGUUCGAGGUGUGCCGGGAAGGAGGGACGGGCCGAUGGGGUCAGAUGCCAGGCGGAGGUCGAGUCGGGCAGCUGAGAAGAGAUUUGAGGUCAAAGACCCGCCCGUGUAGGAGGUGAGAGUGGAAACCAGGCUUUUGUGUGUUGGGGACGGAAGAGAAGAUGGCGAGGCGGAAGGAGUACAAGUGAGUGUGUGUGUAAAGUGCACAUUUGCACACUUGCACAGAGAAAUAUUGCGGCCUGCGGGGGGGGGGGGGGGGGGGGGGGGGGGGGGGCAGGGGCACGGACCCGCGAGGCCAGACGGUGCUGUGGGAAGGCGAGCAGAUGGGCGGUGCUGGGAGGUGGAGACGCGGAACAGAGGCGGUCGUCGCUUCCCGCUUCCCCGGGUGGAGAAAUCGGGAGAACGAGAAAUCGGGAGAACGGACAACACUCUCACCCUCCCGCCGGCGGGUUGGCAGCCGGGCCGAGGCGCCGGUGCCACGGGUCCCGCUGACCGCAGGCCCCGAACCAGAGCAGGAAACGUGGGCCCCGGCGGCGCGCCCGGGGCGUGUUCCCGGGACGCGGACGGGAGCGCGCAGCGAGCGGGGCGCGCGGUCGUGCGGCGGGGGCGCGCGGUCGUGCGGCGGGGGCGCGCGGUCGUGCGGCGGGGGCGCGCGGUCGUGCGGCGGGGGCGCGCGGUCGUGCGGCGGGGGCGCGCGUUCCCACGUGUGGUCAGCCGCGGCUGUUGUCGGCGGAGCAAACACGGGUAACAAGCGCGCUCGCAUAGUGGACUUGGCCUGAGUCCAGUGAGGGGGGUUCCAGGAGGGAACAAAUGUUCGCAGCCAAGUGCGUUCGCAAGCGGACAGUCUGGACGUGCCGUUCUCUCUCUAGCAGAUUCAAACGUUACGUUAUUGAACACCACCUGAGUGUGCGUGCUGCGGGUUUCCAGGGCUUGGCACUGGCUACAGGCUCCGAUUACUGUGACUUGAUUACUGUAAAUGCUCUCGGGGAACAGAUGCAGGAAGGUGUGCGUGUGGCUGUGGAACACUCCGACGGGGCAUGGAAUCCGAUCUACAGAGUCAGUUAGCAAAGCAAGGUCGACCUUACCGGCAAGGCCACAACCAGGGCAAGCAGACAAAAUAAUUUCACUGUUAAAAAAGGAAACGGAUGUGGAAUUUAAGAAACAAAACAAGUGAACAACAACAACAAAAAAAAGUAAUCCAAGAAACUGUCUUUUGUUUAUUUUUGAGAGAGAGCACACGAGCAGGGGAGAGGCAGGGAGAGAGGGAGACACAGAAUCCGAAGCAGGCUCCAGACUCCGAGCUGUCAGCACAGAGCCCGACGCGGGCUCGAACUCACAGACCAGGAGAUCAUGACCUGAGCCGAAGUCGGACACUUAACCGACCCACCCAGGCGCCCCAGAAACAGACUCUUAACCAUAGAGAACACACUGCUGGUCACCACAGGGGAGGGGGUGGGGGGACGGGAGUGAGGGCGUGCACCUGUUGUGAGGAGCACGGGUUGACGUGUGGACGUGUUUGGAUCACUGUGUGGUACGUCCAAACCUAGUAUUACACCGUAUGUCAGCUACCUGACAUUUUAAGAAAACAAAAAAGGAAACGGGUUUAAAUGAAGCAAAAUGUACCCAAAUGCCCGACUUAGAGAUUACACCAUGUGUGCAAAAUGAAGGGAAUAUUUCUAUAUCUGGAUCAUUUGUCAUGAAACAAAGGUCAAGGCCGUCACGGUUUUGUGUAUUUUGAAAUUUUCAUUAAAAAAAAAUGACUUGAAAAAAUGGGCACCUGGGUGGCUCAUGAGGUCAGUUAAGCUCAGGUCAUGAUCUCACGGUUUGUGAGCUGACAGCUCAAGCCUGGAGCCUGCUUCUGCUUCUGUGUUUCCCCUCUCUCUGCCCCUCCCCCACGGGCACUCUGGAUUGUGACGGGCCAGGCGUGCUAUGGUUGGAGACGGCCGACCACGGAGGAGCCUGAGGGAGCGCGGUCCAGUUGAAGGCCAGGGGAAGCACUUCGGGGAAAUUGUGAAAGGGUUAAUGAUGAGCCUUCACAGAGUGAGUCCCCUUGGCUUAUAUUAUUAUUUUAAAAGUAAGUGAUCAUUUUUAAAUACUGAAAUACACACUCUUGCCAUUUUUCUCAGUCUGUUACUAUCCCUUACUACCAGCAGUAGCCCUCGUUCUGACUCCUUAGACCAAGACGGAGGAAAUCAUGUGCAGUUCGCCUCUUUAAAAGAGCACGACUGAUGGAGACAAACAGAUAAAUAGAAUAGAAUACAGAGUCCAGAAAUAGAUCCACACACAUAUGUGGCCAGCUGAUUUUUCAACAAAAGCGCCAGAGUUGUUCCAUGGAGAAAGAUCAGUCUUUUCAACCUCUUGCGAUGCUGGACUAAGUGGAUCUCUUGGGGGGGGGGGGGGGGUUGGACAACCCUUGACCUCUGCCUCACAGCAAAUACCGUUUUUUGAAAGUAGAUCGUAGACCUAAAUGUUAUAAAACCUAAAACCAAAACUUACAGAACGAAACAUAGUCUUUGUGAACUUAGAGUAGGCAAAGAUUUUUGUCUUAGUCCAUUCAAGCUUCUGUAACAAAGCAGGGCAGAUUGAAGUGGCUUAUCAACAGAUUUUCUCACCGUCCUGGAAGCUGGAAGACCAAGGUCAGGGUGCAGGUGGGGUCGAGCUGUCUUCUGGUGAUGAAAUUUUCAUUGUGUCCUUAUGUGGCAGAAGGGACCAGUGUUCUCUCUGGGCUCGCUUGUGUAAGGGCACUGAUCCCAUUCACGAGGGCCUUGUCCACAUGACCUGAUCACCUCCUAAGGGCCCACCUCCUGGUAUCAUUACAUUAGGAUUUAACAUAUGAAUUUAGGGGGAGCGGACACAAACAUUCAGACCAUAACAACUUCCUAGGACAAAGAAAACCACUAUUCAUGUGAUAAAAAAAAAGGUUUUGAUAAUUUGGACUUAAGACUGUAUACGUUUCUGCCUUCAAAAGUUAUUAUUCAAAAAAUGAAAAAAACAGGGCAUAAAGUGAGGCAACGUCUGCUUGUAUCUAGAAUAUUUAAAGAACGUUAAUAAUACAAUAAUAAGACAAUUAAAAAAAAUGGGCAGACUGGAAAAGACACUUCAGUUAUUUAAAGUUCACAAUGAGGGGGAGCCUGGCUCCCUGUAGUGUGUGACUCUUGAUCUUGGGGUUGUAAGUUCGAGCCCCACGUUGGGUAUGGAGAUUACUUAAAAAUGAAAUCUAAAAAAUAAAAUAAAAUUCACAGCAAGAUAUAGGCUCCAGAAUGGCUGACGUUAAAAAGACUGGAGAGAAAGCAGAACAGGGGGGAUGUUUUCGAUGGGAGAGUACACACAGCAUAACCACUUGCAAAUAGGCAGUUCCUUAGUAAACACACGUGGUUCCAUCCCUACACAUUUACCCAAAAGAGGUGAAAACGUGUGUCCACAGAAAGACUUGUUCAUGGAUGUUGCUAUCAGCGUUAUUUGUGAGAGACAAAAGCUGGCAACAAUGGAAAUGUCUGUCAGGAGGAGAAUGAACACAUUGUGAGUAGUCGUGCAGCACAGCCCUCCUCAGCAGUGACAGUUGAGUGCGGACAGAUCUCCAGAUGUCCAUUGAAUGAAGGAGACUCAGCACAGAGGAUGUUUUCUAUGGAUCCAUUUGCCAAGUUCUAGAACAGGGAAGAGUAAUCUGUGAAUGAAGGAAUUACAUCAGUGGCUGCCUGGAGUGGAAUAGAGUCGGGGGAUUGGCUAUAAAGGGUGUAAGAAAUAAUAGUCUGUAGCUUGAUCUUGAUAGUAGUUACGAAGACAUGUCCACCCGUUUGUCAGAACCCAUUGAAUUUUAUGCUUGAAAUUUGUACAUUUUAUUGAGUGUAAAUUAUACUUCAAUAAAGUUGUUUAGAACUAAGAACAUGAAAUUGUGUUUUAAAUAAUUAAACUAUUGGUAGCGUCUAGUUUUAUGUAUUUGUUAAGAAGAAUUUGGUUAAAUUUAUGAGGAGUUGGCCUGUAUUUCUAGGGUGUUGUAUUAAACCUUCAAGGAGGCAGUUCACUGAAUAGUUUAACUUCGCACCUGAUAGUUCUGGUGAGACACAGAAAUUGAGGGCUGCCCCGUUCUCUCCGGGAAACACUUCCCGACAUUUGCGGCCUUAGCUUUCAGCAGACUGGUUUCUGUAUUUAACACAUGGACCAGUUUUAUUCUUAUAUUACUUUUCUGUGUUUUCAGAGGCUGAAGUGCUUGGUGUCUUAAACUACAUGCACAUGCCUUAAAAAACAUGAACGUGCUCAUUUUGGAUUUACGUUCCAGAAAGUAUUUCCUGUCUCAUCUGAGUCCCGAGAGCAAACCUUCCCUGUGUGUCUUCACUCCACGGUGCACGGUUACUGUCAUGUUUCUCUUCUGCUCUGUGUCUGGAUGUCUUGCACAUGGAUUGUUGACAUCUGAUUUUCACUAGCCUAGUACUUUGGGGAGGAAACAUAAGCUUUCUUAUUAAAUGGUCCUUCUUGUAAAGUCCUGCUCACUUUCUUGGGGGUUGGUUAUCGCUUAGGGUUCAUGGAGGAAAUUUAACUGCAGGGAUAUCAGCAUUGUUUUGAAUGGAGAAAGUCUUCAGUAGUUGACAUAUUAAAAGUUUAAGCUGGUAUUAAAAUGUCUUUUUUGGAGGUUCUAAGGGGCAUUAUUUUUAUUUAUUUAUUAUUUUAGAGAGAGAGGGCGAGUGGGGGAGAGGGGCAGAGGGAAAGAGAAUCCCAAGCAGGCUGCAUGCUUUCAGCACAGAGCCUGAUGCAGGGCUCGAUCCCACAGCCCUGGGAUCAUGACCUGAGCUGAAAUCAAGAGUCAGACACUCAACAGACUGAGCCCCCCAGGAGGGACGUUAUUUUUAAAAGACCGAGCUCACAGGGCAGUUGAGGGAGGGACACCAUUACUGAAGUAUCAACUUUGUGUUUAUGUGGCAUAGAUUGUUCUUGAAAGAGGAAAAGUGAUUUUGUUGAAAAACAAAUGCCAAUUAUUAGCUAGUUUAUAGUUCUUUUUUUUUUUUAAUGUUUAUUUUUGAGGGGGAGCAGGGGAGGGGCAGAGAGAGAGGGAGACACAGAAUCCGAAACAGGCUCCAGGCUCCGAGCUGUCGGCACAGAUCCCGACACGGGGCUCAAACCCACAAACCGUGAGACCAUGACCUGAGCUGAAGUCAAGAGUCAGAUGCUUAACUGACUGAGCCACCCAGGUGCCCCAGAAAUUAUGUUUAAUACAGUCUUUCCACGUCGUUGUGCUGUCUCCUGAAAUUUUCAACCUGUUGAUUUAGGGAGAAAAUCAAGAAAACAGAGUCUCAGAUUCUAACGGCCAGAGGAUAUUUAAAACCGUUUUAAAAGUUACUUGUUUUCUUUCAGUAUCUGCCUGAGAAAAUCAGACCGUGUCUUCUUAGCUGAUGAAUUAUCAUCUGUGAUUUCUGCAUUGUGGGCAUUCAAUCCAAUUUCUAUGUUGAUCAAAUUUUCAGUGAUAAAAUCUCCAUUUUACUUAUGUCCUCAUCACAAAGGGUGAGGGCCUUAUUUUAUAUUAUCUGGUUUAAAGGAGUAAGAUUAUUUAACUAGAGCAAGAAUACAUUUUUUUUUUAAUUUUUUUUUUUUUCAACGUUUAUUUAUUUUUGGGACAGAGAGAGACAGAGCAUGAACGGGGGAGGGGCAGAAAGAGAGGGAGACACAGAAUCGGAAACAGGCUCCAGGUUCUGAGCCAUCAGCCCAGAGCCCGACGCGGGGCUCAAACUCACGGACCGCGAGAUCGUGACCUGGCUGAAGUCGGACGCUUAACCGACUGCGCCACCCAGGCGCCCCGAGAAUACAUUUAAUGUAGGUACUACAUAGAGCUUGUCUGUUGCCUUAGUUCAAUUUUUCAUACCUGAAAGGUUUCUGACUUGAAGAGUUCGGAUAAUUUUACUAUGAAGUUUCAUAACAAGUACAAUAUAUGCUGUCUCGUUAGGUAAAUUAGUAAGACUAAAGCAAGUAAAAUUUAGGCAGUGUGGUUCCUAAGACCCCAACAGGGCCCACGUGUUAGAUAGCGUACGUCACCUUGCAAACGCUAACCCGCAGGGUGGACACAGACUCCACAGUGGUUGGGUCUGGACUCUGGGCUCACGUGCCUGCGUUUAAAAGUCGAUUCUAAAAAAAAUAAAAAUAAAAAAUAAAUUAAAAAAAAGUCAAUUCUGCUGCGUUGUCAUUGUGCACCUGGGGGAUGAGUUUUGUAAACUUCUUCUCGCGUUCGUGACAUGAAGGUAAUCAUGGGACUUCUUCCGGGAAGCGUGAGGAGUAAACAAGGCCCUAUUUAUUGAACCGUUACUGACGUCAUCCAUACACGGUCACAUGACGCGGGUCGUUUGGCUGUGCACGUGAGUAGAUGAGACAUAAAGAGAAAGUCUGGUUGGAGAGUUGUCUUCACUUCCGCCAGACCCUUCAUGUGUUGUCUUUCUUGGUUUCUGUUUUCUUUCUUCUGUUGGAGACCCUACUGAGUAAUGAACUAACCGGAACAUGGAAAGUGGUGUCCUUCACCAGGUUUGCAAACUGGAUGGCAGGUAACUGCGUAGUCUGUGUGGAAAACUGAAACUUGACUGUAGUUACACUUCAGAUGAAAACAAUGACCCAAAUGACCCAGAACUUCAUGUAAAAAAAAUACAGUUUGUUCUAGCAGUUUUAGUUUCCUAGCAAACUUGAGAGGGAGGUACAGAGACCUCCCGUGUGCCCCCACCCCGACCGGGCACAGCCUCCCUGACUGUGGACACUCCUCCCCAGAUGGGACAGUGGACGCACCCGCACUGACACAUCAUCACCUAGAGGCCACGGUCGUGUACGCUGGGGCCCGUUCUUGGAGUUGGACACGCGCAUGUCCGUCAUUAGAGUGUCACGGAGUGUUCUCACUGCCCCCCAAGACCUCUGUGCUUCACCCCCUGCCUCCUCGACCGCUGAUCUUUUUACUGUCUCCAUCGUGUUUCCUUUUCCAAACGUCCUACGGUUGGAAGUCUACAGUGUGUAGCUUUUCAGCCUGGCUGCUUCGACGCAGCGCCUUCCAUGCCUUUUCGUGGCCCGAAAGGUCGUUUCUUUUUAGUGCCGAACAACGUCCCCUUGUCUGCAGGGGCCGCACGCAUGUCAUCAAUCCAUCCAUCUACUGAAACACAUCUUGGUUCCUUCCAGAAGAGGCUUUUAAGGCAGGGUAAUAACUCACUUGAAGAGUUAGAUCGGUAUGGAAGUAGUGAGCCAUGGUCUCAAGUGGGAUCUCACCUGUGAUCCGAGCCAAGCUGAAGUUGGGGGUUUUGUCUGGGAAUCAGAGCAUUCGCUCAAGGGAGGUUUUAUAUUUGUCUUGUUAUGUUUAAAAUGGAGAAAGUAACAGCGUAUUUGUGAACGAGUGGGAACGACCCAGCAGAGAGGGAGAAGUUCCCGAGGGUCUUCGGCAGCGCUCCGUGCUGGUGAGAGGAAGGUAGCUCGCACGCAAGCGUCCGGUUAGUUUUAGGCAUGAGGACAGUUUAUCUGUAGAAGCAGGGGGGACGUCAGAGAGCUGACCUGCACACAGGCGCCGGGGGGGCCGCGAUGUCGCUGCUGAUUGCUCGUUAUUCCCAGUAAACUAGAAACCGAGGCUGGGGACCCACCGUGAGGGUGGGGGAGGGUUUGUGCGAGGUUUGAAGAGCCCGGGCUCCGGAAGAAAAGAAGGAGAUGCCAACAAUGACGAGAGACAAAGUAGGUGUCCUUCCUGAGACCGACAGCAGACACUUGCCAACAGACGCCGAGGGCUGUGGGAGAACCGUUCCUCCAGAGCACGGAGCGAGAUCACUGAACAGCAGACGUGAGACCUUCGGAGACCUGCAGACGCCGAGCACGUGUGCUGUCCCGAGAUUUGUGCCAAAAGAGCCCCAGAACCAUUCGCUUCCGCGGGCAGGGAAGUGAGCCCGGAUGCAAAUACCAGAGGCGAGCGUCAACACGGGCCAAGAAAUGGGCGAAUAUCUUGGUCUAUUUAAAUUAGCGUUCGUUGUAACAAGUAAAUAUUGAAACGUAACAUUGUGCCCUUAAGCGUAUCUACUAAUAAGGGAAGAAUUUGGAGCACGUGUGUUAACAGAACAAGCUGCUUAAGUUCCGGCGCGGUCCUUCCGGGACGAGCGAGGGCAGGCAAGCCCGGUGAGCUCCUGUCCCUUCGGCGGCCUUGGCGGUUGGUCAGUGUGGGGACAUCUUAGGUGUGGUGUGACCUUAGCUGCACUGUGUGAAGUUAGAAGGCGCCAGAGACAUUUGGCAUUACCUUCCCAGUAUUCUCAACAUUAAUCCUCUAAAUGUUAGACUCAUCAGGUGCCAGAGACGUUCCCAGGCUGGGACGUUUGCUCAGAGGCUGGGGAGGGAGCCGCUCCCGCGCCUCGGAAAACCCGUGUCCGGGCGCCCCGCGGGCCAGACCGCAGUGUGAAUAAACAUCGAGUUUGUGCUUGAAUGCAGCUCUCGUUGGCCUUGUCCCCUCCGCUGUGUGUGUUCAGAUCAAGCACAACCUGGCAUGCGCACUGCUAUGUGUAUGGUUCAGGUCCUUCCACGGAAACGGAAGGUCUGCCUCUUUUCUUCCCCUGGUCAGGAAGGGUGAGGCCAACGGGUGUUGGGCCCCAGCUGGAAAGGGCUCUCAUGCCCUUUAUUGAGGGUUGCACAUCUGUAGAAAUCACGUGAAACGUAGAAGGUACAGUGGGGGGGGGGGUUGCAAUCCGAAAGUGAAAAAUAAUCUCCAAGACGGAAGUUGCUGAAUUUUUAGGUAGAAACUACAGUUUUUUUGGAGCUCCCCAAAAGCCGUGCUUUUGAGAGAUCUUCGUAAGAAGUCGUGCCUCACCGAGCCGUUUUGUUCUGAACGUACCGGGCACGCUGUGUGUACCCUAGCUUGUAGAGUUUAUCAGGUGAUGCGUUACCCUUCUUGAUGUGCAAAAGGCUACAAGUUUCCUUCUUAGACACUUCGUCUUGCAUUUAGAAAGGGUCGUUUAUUUUUGGUUAUUCAGGGACUUAGUUGUACCUAAUACAGUGAUUCCUAGUUGAUUAUAUUAUUGGAACAUUUCACCUCUUUAUAAUGAUAUUUUACUAGAAAAACAAAAUAUACUCAUGUUGCGAGUGAUGUGUGCUGGUAAUGCAAAUCAGAUUAUUUAAGACUCAUGUUACUGACUGUUUAGAUGAAGAUUUAAUUGUUAAUAUAUCUAAAAUAAAGGAAUUAAGUAGCUACCAUAAACCCUUUUAGGGAUAAGUUGGGGCAUAAAAAUACAAAAAUAAGUUGUAUUGGGGCACCUGGGUGACUCAUCGGUUAAGAUCAGACUUCGGCUCAGGUAGUGAUCUCACGGUUCAUGAAUUCGAGCCCCCUGUCGGGCUCUGUGCUGACAGCUCGGAGCCUUGGAGCCUGCUUCCGAUUCUGUGUCUUCCCUUCCUUUCUCCCCCCCCCUCCUUCGCCCUCUGUCUGUCUCUCCCUGUCAAAAAUAAAUAUUAAAAAAUUUUUUAAUUAAAAAAAAGUUGUAUUACGACAUAUGAAAUGUUCUGUUGGGUCAAUAUUUUAUAUUGUACAGAUAGUUAAAUCGUCUAAGAAAUAUUUUUUCCCUUCGCUGGUAAUGCUAAACCAGGCUAGUCUGGGAUACGUAUUCCUGAUGCUCGGAGUAGAAAGUCUACACCUGUGGUAAAAGAACACGGCAUGGUAAAUAUGUUUACACAGCUGUGUGGUAAUGUCACUUAUUACGGGGCACACUUACAGAAUCAUGUAAUGAGCCUCAUUUUCAUGCAGCCGUUAACUCUGGCGUAGCAAUGCUAAUUAAAGAAUAACUUCAUGUUUCGAAUGCAGACUAUAUAAACAACAUACAGCGUCACUUUAGCUAUCCACAAGCUCUGACUACAUAAAUUUGGUCAUGAGUAGAUGUUGGCUGACUCCUGAGGAAAUAGAGACCUUCUGUAAGACUAUUUAUUUACACUUUAUGCUUUCAUUGCAUACUGUGCCUGCUCUUAGGACCAGACUGAGUUUCCAUUAAACUUUAUUGCAUUCACAUGGGCUCUUCUGUCAUGCUUUAAUAAAAUUACAAAGUUGACUUACUUGGGUCUCUGUGAAAGCUUCCUUUAUCGUUAAUAAUUCCAUUUAUUCCACGGACUUAUUAGUUUUGGAUAACUUGAAUGACUUCAUUAAGAUUUGCCCUAGAAUAUGAAUAUUAUUUAAAAAUUAAGCACGAGUAAAAGCAAAUUUAAAAAUGUGCUCAUAGGACUUUGUGAAUUCAAAAGAGUAAAUUGUUCCCACUGAAUAUGUAUCGCUGUGUUAUUAUCUGUAAAAAUACAUCAUCUGGAGAAUUUAACAGGCAGUGAGUGGUUUCAUCCUUUUGUCUAACUUUUGAGCUGUUUUGUGCCGUGAAACUCCAGAAAUAGGCUUAUUUUCCGUGCUCGAAUAUUUUCGUUUCCUUCUAUCUGGAGAGAAAACCCAGCAUCCAUUUGUAAUUACUGAAGCCUGCUAGUGAGACUACAGAUCUGUUUAGCCUGUACAUGGUGGAAUCUUUAUUAUUCCCUCAACUCUUUCAAAAACUCUUUAAAAUGGAUACUAAGUUAUAAGAAGGCCAGGAAAGAGACUCUAGCAGAUACACUAUGUAUCUAUUUCCACUCCUGGAAAACCCAUUCAGAAUGCUUUGGGAGAACUUAUUUCUUGCUUGUGUAAACAAUUUAACUUCUAAGAUGGAUGGCGUGAGGUUAGUUAUGGAAGGUUUUGACCUCAGUAUUUUUCACAGCACUAAGCAUGGUGACUAACAUAUCCCAGGUACCUCUAAAUAUUUAUUGACUUAGUGAAUAAAUAAGGGUUGAUAAAAUAUUGACUAUUCAUUGGCACAUCAGGGAACCUUCUAGCAGAGUGAGAGCCGAGGUGGCCAGAGUGUAAAAGGGUUUGCCUGGUUGGGAAAGAGAGGAGUUUGGAACAGAUGACCAGAAGCUAACCAGAAGCCUGUUAGAAACACACAUCCCUAAAUCACACUCUCCUGGUGAGGAGUAGAAGCCUGUGUUCCAAACGGGCCAUCCAGGGAUUAUGGGAUCGGUAGGCUCAUUAGGGAACAGCCGAGGAUCAGGAAUUCUUUUUUUUUUUUUUAAGUUUGUUUGUUUAUUUAUUUAUUUUGAGAGACAGAGAGAGAGACAGCCCAAGGAGGGGAGGGGCAAGAUGGAAAGUGAGGGAGAGAGAAUCCCAAGCAGGCUCCACGCUGUCAGCUCAGAGCCCAACGCAGGGCUCAAACUCACGAACUGUGAGAUCAUGACCUGAGCUGAAACCGAGAUUUGGACGCUUAACUGACUGAGCCACCAGGCGCCCUUCUCAAGAAUUCUUUCUUGACUGUUUGCUCCAAACCCAAACAUCUCCACAUCAGAAGUGUUGUGUGAUGCCCAGAGAGUUAAAUGGAUGCCAGUGGGAUAUCCUAAAGCAUUAUUUAUUUUGAAAUCAGUAAUCUAAUAAAUUAAUUUCUCGAUACCAAAAAUAUUUCAAUGUAAAAUAAAUGGAAGCCUUUUCCAAAAUCAAAGACCGUUUUCUCGGUGCUAAAGACCUCUGAAGAGUUUUUAUUCUUUGACCUUUUUUCUUUCUCUCUUUUCUUUCUUUUUCCUUUUUUUUUUUUUUGAGGAUUCCCGGGGAUUAUUACUCUUCUUUUUGUGGUGUUAAUAUACCACACGUUGCAGAUACACUGCGUCUCGAUGGCCUCACAUUGGUUGGAAACCCUGUUUUCCCUCAUAGUAUUCCCCUCCUGCAAAAAGGUUCUUGGGCUGCGUUACAUCUGAGAAUGAUGUGGGCUAAACCAGUUUGAGUCGAUUCCUGUUAAUUUCAGUUUCCAAUCCAAGAUGGAUUUUCCUUAGGACUGUGUCUCCAGUGACCCCUUACGUGUAGAGAAGGAAGAAGUCAGGAGGAGACGGGUCAGGAACUGUGCUUAGUGUUUUACACCCGUCAGUUUGCUCCUGUUCUUAGAACUUGUAACUGUUUCAAGCUCACUAUGAAUUAUACAGGGUGUUGUUCUGUUCGUUCGGCUGGCAUAGACAUGGCUGGUUUUAAUCAAGCGAGUAAAAAGUGUAUGCCACAGGAUUGUGUUAAUGCUCUCCUAUUAGGAUUCGAGAUUCCAUGGACAUAUUUGGACACAAGCACAUUUACUUGUGCUUACCUUGUGAAAGCUAUUUAUCGAAACCCCAUUCUGUAGUAGGCCCCGUGCCGGUGGACCGGAGAGCUCAGACCAGCAGGCACAAUAGGCCUUGUUUUGGGCACCGUCCUCCACGUGCCAAUGACAGAGCGCAAAAGAGAAAACCGAAAUGACCCGGCCAGCCUCAAAAUCAAGACAGACACCUCAAAGACCGUAAGGUGAUCAGCGAUGGGAAGUCGUGAGUGGGACUGGAACUGUGAGCUCGCCAGUCUCCCGGCCAGAAGCAGGAAGGUGCUAGACUGCUCCUUGGCUGCUGCACGGGGGCCAGGCUGGGCCGGGCUCACUGCUCGCAGGAACGAGUGGAAGCAAGAGUCCUCCCCCGCCCCCACUCCCCCCCCCCCCCGGACGCUUAGUGGUUCUGCCCAUGUGUUGGGCACAUGGUGUUGGAAGUUGCGAACCAGGGGAAGAACGUGGGGGUGAACACAGAGUUGAGUGACCAGAGACGAGGCCCAUGGUCCGCUGGCUGCACUGUGCCUGACGCCCCCACAGAACUGGAGCUUUACCCGUGCUGUUAUCUGCUGCAGGGCAAAUACGUGAGCGGUAUCAGGCUGGCAGAGGAGAUACGUGCAGGCGACCGUGUGAGCACACGUAGGGGGAGGAAGGAAGGAAGGAAACAAGGACAACCAUGUGAGCACACGCAGGGGGGAGGAAGGAAGGAAGGAAGCCAGGCCAAAACAACAAUCCCUCCCAUGAAAGUGGCCCUGCAAAGCUGAUGGCCAAAGCUCGCAUUAAGGAGCAUGUCCCCCAGCCGCGCUCUCGAGAUUGCAAGAGAAAGUCUGGGAUAGCACCCCCCGCGUGUCUUCCAGAACUGAUGCAAGACGGGAGCCAGCGGGUCAGCGGUGCAUUCCAGGUGCAAGUGGUAAAUACAGGCGCACUCGCGUCUUGGAACUCUGUAGGACUGCGCCAGACCUGAGGGGCAGAUCUUACGGCGACCGGGGGGAAGAGCCCUCGCUGAGAGGGGAGGCCGUGAACGGACUGGUCAUCGGCAGCACGGAUGCCAGGAGACGGGGAAGUGAUAACCGGGCGGCACUGAGGAGGAAGAACGGUGCGUAGAGUUUGUGCCCUCCUGAGCUGUUACUCCAGGGUGAGAACAAAAUUAAGAAAAUUUACAGCCUGUGAAAUAAGAGUGUUCACCGUGCCCACAACCCCCCAGAGGAGAUAGUAAAAAAUGGAAUCAACAAGAAGAAAGGUUAUCCCGCAGAGGAUUACGUGGGCGGAUUAGGAAGUAAUACCGGGGUGGAUGAAGUCGGUCAGAGCGCGGGACUCCCUCCUGGUCUCCGAAGCGUGUGGACAGGAGGCGUGAGUCGAAUCGCUCCAGCAUAAAAGCCCCAGCUCUCGCAGCAUGGCGCUUGGCCAGAGCAGGUGUGGAUGCUCGGCGCUGGGCGGAGAAAGGGGACGAGGCUGCGAGUCGGUCGCCUGGGGAGAGAGGGGAGGAGAUUCGGCCGCGCCCAGCUCCGCUGGCGUCCCGCUCCGCUCCACGGCAGUGGUGAAACUCGGGACUCGCGCUGAGGGUGGUUCGGCCGUGGGGGCUCUUGGGGUUGUUUGGAGCCCUUCUCACGGCGUGCGAGAGCCUCUGUACCAAGAGAAGUGCGAUGGCACCUUCUUAGCGGACUUUUUUCCAGGCGGAUCCUAGCGAUUUGUCUGCUGUAAAUGAGCGCGGUAUAUACCUUUCUUUAAAAGUCAAGAGUGACUGGCUCAGGAGCUUGUUUCUGGCUUUUCUUUAAUUCCGUGUUCCCAAGUUGUGUUUUCUUCUUUCCUCGUGAUCGGGUAGUUUGAAAGCCUCCGUCUCUCUGUGUUAUCUUAACUUAGGGGUAGAACCAGUUUCCCCGUUGCCCAUCAGGUGACCUUGGACUGCCUAGGGAUUAGUAUAACCGAAGGGCACGGGCGUCUUCCCCAAACCCAAGGCUGCUGCCGUUUCUCCUGGGGUUGUCCAGAAGGUGUGUCUGCACCAAGGAGCAAAGGGAGGGAGGUGGUUUGCGGGCAGUCCGUGCAGACGCGGCACCGGUAGAGCAAGGGCCGAGGGGGUGUCUCUCCUGCAGGUGGAAGGCACUGUCCCCUGAGGACGGCAGGGGCGGGACCUCCCGCAGCCCCCGUGGGUCCCGGAUUAUAGCAGACCUGAUGGGGCUGUGAGGAAACAACCUGGUGGGAAUCUCGAGACCACGGUGCCGAGGGCCCUUUGUCGCACCUCUGCGGGGACUCUUAGGUCCGCCCAGUGUCACGGAGUUUCCCACUCGCGUUUCUUGUCCAGUAAGUUGUGGAAGCCGAGCUGACCGCUCCGUCAGAUUACGGCGUGGAAACCGCAGAGUCCCUUCUGCCUCCCUGUGCCGUCCCCCCACUUGCGCUCCUGCUGCCCCCCGAAGCCUGAGCUCCGGCCUGCGGCCUCUCUGCCCGGCCCAGACUUCCUGCCUUCGUACCGUGGCCGCUGGCGCCCCCCACGUUCCUGGUACCGUCUAGGGCGGCCUGCCGUGUUGGCCCAGCCUUUCUUCUGAACUGUGUCCCCAGGCUCAAGAGACCGCAGGGGAGCAAAGCCAGGUGCCUAAAGUCCAGUACACUCUUGUCGCACCUGCCUGGUAACUUGAGGGUUCGCCCGAGCGUGUGAGCCAGAAAGACAGCCGAGGCACGGGGACGCGGGUACGCGAGGACUGACGUGUGCCGGGACGGGGACAAGCCGGAUGCAGCCGUGACCUUGGACUCUGACGUCUGCAGGACUCAGCCCGCGCGACUGGAUGUUUAAAGCAGGAAUGCUGAAAAGUACUGUGCUUCAGACUUGCAACUGUACUUUAAAGUUGCGGAAUAAAGUAGAAAGUGGUGAUUGGAACUUACUUAGUGCAUCGCAGAGAUUUAUUUCCAUGCUGUGAAAAGUGCUGCCCCCCCCCCCCCCCCAUCUCCUUGGUAGAAACCGGUAUUCUCUUAGAAGGGUUACCUAAGAAAAGGUCAGAACUAAAAUAUAAAAUUGAGCCUAGAUCAUUUUAUAAAAUGUUAAAGAACUAAACAGGUAACGGAUUAAGUUUAUUUUUCAUGAAUAAAACAAUGAGCUUUCAUAUAUCAUGAAAGCUCUGAUAUAUGAAAUUUCUGAUAUGUGAAAUUUCUGAUAUAUGAAAUUUCAACUGGAGGUGUUACUGUCAGACCCCUAGCGUCCAGUGUGAACUUCUAAGUUAGCUUAUUGGAAAAGGUAGCUCGUUCACAAAAUAUUGAAACUACUCCAAGUAUAUUUAAAAAAAUUUUUUUUUAAUGUUUAUUCAUUUUUGAGAGACGGAGACAGAGCAUGAGCGGGGAAGGGGCAGAGAGAGAGGGAGACACAGAAUCCGAAGCAGGUUCCGGGCUCCGAGCUGUCAGUGCAGAACCCAAGGCGGGGCUCGAACUCACAGACGGCAAGAUCAUGACCUUGAGCCGAAGUCAGACGCUCGACCGACUGAGCCACCCAGGCAGGGGUCCUUCCAAGUAUAUUUUUUAUCUGCUCAGCAAUAUGAUUUUACCCUGGAGGCUUUUUUUUCUCUUUUCCUUUGCUUUUGUUAUUUAACCUUUUGUCUUAAAAAAGAAGUCACAGAUACUAGCAUUAAACAGCGAAAGGGUACAUGAGGAAUAAAAUAGGAAUCUGUUACGAGCACUUGUCCUUGAGAUAACUUUCAUGAACUUGAGAUUUAUACAUACACUGCUGUCCGCUGCUGAGCCAAGUGGGGAGAACGUGUCUUGUUCCUACCUUUGUGCUUCAUUUUUAAAAAGAGUGAGCUAAGCAACAUGCUGGUCAGGUCAAGGUCUGCUUGUAUCACCGAUGCCACCUCGUGCUCCCCUCAGCCAGGCCAGAGACCCAAAGAAAGUCGUUAAAAUCUUCAGGCUUUGCCGUGUUUGAAGUUAGUCUCGAUCAAAGGCACUAGGACUUGGGUUUUUAACAGGAACUUUUUAAAAAAUAGAAGCUGUUGAGGGAGACUUGUGCACGUGCACGUUGAGCUUCUCAAAUACAGUGCCGGGACCCCAAAAUGCAGGUGUGCUGCUGCUACGUACAGAUUUACUUGCCUUUUGAAAUCUGCUACACCAACGGCGUAUUAGUUUCAUUCUUUGAAGCUGGGAUCAGAAGAAAAGUUUUCUUGUGUCCCCGUGAAGUCCGUGCAUUAUUAUUAUUUCAGAUCCAGGUGUCGUCAGACCAGCUUGAGGGGCUUUGCUGCAGAGACAAGGCGUGAGUGCCAGGACCUCCUGGUUCUGUUUUCUCCCCUCUGCUUCGUCCUCCCUUGCUGUCUUGAGAAGGACACAUGCUUGUCACGGAGAAUAAUAAGCUCUGUAAAUGCCACCUCCCCCAAGAGAGAAUGCUGAGAGAGCUUGUGAAAUUUAGUCUUGGACAAUGUCAAAAAUGCGAGGAACUUAAGAUCGUAAUAGCAAAGGCUCAGCAUCUUUUUCUUUUUUUUUUUUUUUUUUUAAGCAAUCUCUACACCCAGCGUGGGGCUCGAACUCAUGACCUCUAGAUCAAGAGUCGCACGCACCUCAAGACCGAGCGUUGUCCAUGUCCUCCUGGCUUCGUAGGAUCUGAGCCCACCUGGCCACUGUCUCGGAGCCCCGGUCACCAAAUGUCAGUGCCCGCGGUAGCCAUCGUUGCAAAUAUAGCCAGAGAUUAGGAAAAGCAGUUACUCUCAAAAGUUAGUCCUCUCUGACCCAACUGAAAAGUACGUUUUAGCUUUAAGCAAAAUGAGGGGUUGUUGUACAGAGCUGCGACACAUUUCCACUUGUUUCUGUGGGGGGUUCUGAGCUUGAUCCUUGGUGCUGGGUUGGACUCCUUGCCAGGCCGGCAGGGUGUGAAUGCUGUUACUCAGACAUUCCACCGGCCCAGGAAGGACAGAGCCCCUGCUCGGCCUCGUAUCCCACAGGGGUGGCGACGGGGAGGGGCUCUGUGACGGCUGUGUAUGGGAAUGUGGCUUGGGGAUAUGGUGGGGGGUACUGAGGAAUUCCUGGUCGUGACAAGCUAUCUGGGGAGGUGAGGACUGUUCAGGGACCGAACAAGGCAGACGCCUAACUCAAGAGCGAAGGAAAUCACCCCUGGUUUCAUUUCCCCAGUUCCCGAAUUUUUUCUUUUUCUUUUCAUUCUCCUCUGACAGCUGUUUGCAAAUCUGAAUACUGGGUAUUACUAAUGACUUCGUGAGGGUACUUCUUUUCUGUUUCCUUUUAAGGCCGAGAUCCUGUUGUGGUAGCCGGUUGUUAACAUAAGUCACAACUCUGGUACAGUAAAUAAAGUGUGUCCCUUACUCCGUUGUGGCUGCUUUGCAAUCAAAGUGACCGACUGCCUGUCUCUGGUGUUUCUUUGCAGAUACGGUAUUUGAACCCAGGCUUGUCACAUGUUUGUCCUGGUAAUUUUCCUUAUACCAUUAGCUCGUGACUUUUGUUGUCAAGGAAUAGAAAUGCUUAUAUCCGCUUUAAGUAUUUUCCCCACCACAUUUUUGUCAAAAGUUUUGUGGCCUGAGAGCCUGGGACAGGUUUAGAGGGUGGUGGGUCUCGCUUCUGUAAAGAGGCUUCAGGUUAAGGCCGCUGCGAGGUUCCUCUGUCCCCCAGUCACCGCACUCCGAGCCUCGCGUGGAUGCCUCCGUCACGGCAUGCACGUGGCGGCUUGAGGUGGGCAUCGAGACACCUGCCUUGUGGCGCCCGCACCUCCUCAGCCCCAGGGCCUCGCUCUUACAGCCCAUACGCAGGAGGUCCGUUCUGGGUGACAGCUCAGAUGGGUCCCCCUUCAGGGACAGUAAUGGCCACUAGAGCCUGCUUCCGCUCCACCUGUGAGGUUUGCAACGAAGGAUGGCUUGUUCUUCGGGACCCUCGUGGUGGAGCCCCCCAGCCGCGACGGGUUACGUUUCAGUGUUUUUGGGGUGGCUGGCGAUUGCCGAGCUUAGGGACAUGCGGUAUUUGCUGUGUUAAGAUACCCUCUGCCUUCCGCUGGCCCUGGUUUCUGAUGUAUCCCAGUUACAGAUGCGUUCUUCCAGCCAGACCUCUGUUUGGAGUCUGACAACACAGCAUUUUAAGAGAAGCCUGAGUAAAAUAUUCCGGUGUAUCGCAUAUCUUGCAUUCUGACACGAAUAAAUAUCCUUGCUUUUUCACUUGUUAUCACCUCGUUUCUCAAAUCUAGGGCCAUCUCACAUCUCUGUUUCACAAUUACUACGUUCUGAGGCCAGACGUGGUAGGAGUUUCACGAUUUGGGACUCUUUGAACUUCUAAAUAACUAAUGAGCGUGUUUUCCACAUAGAAAACUACUCCCACUACAUUCGUGAAAUACCAAACGCUAACGAUGUCUUCCUUCUUAGGGUUUGGGUAGCGUAAGAGUCUUUUCUUGCCAAAAAUAACAUUAGCACAUAUUACAAAAAGUGUAAAUAAAUAGGACUAGAAUGUUUGCUUACUGUCUUCUGUGGAACUUCAUUUUACAUCAGAGACAGCGAUGUGUCAUCACGUCACUUCAUCGAAGCCUGGAGCAGUGGUGACAGGUGUUUGUAUGCAGGUGACACGUGUAUUUUCCCACAAAGUCUGACUUUUGGAAAAUUAACUUGCGUGUAUUUUAUUUCAUGACAUAAGGAAAGUACGUGUAACUUUCUCCAUAAAUAUCAGAGGUCUGACUUCGAGAAGAUUUCAGCUUAUUAGUCAUAAUCCCGCUCUUAGCAUAUGCACGGCGCAUCCGUUUAGAUGCGUUUAAGGUUUGGUACCAGUGCCCCAGUCUUACUCUGAUGAGGUUCAGAGUGGGGGUCUUCGUUCUAGGAGCCCAUCUCGUAACGGGAGCAUCUCCUGUAAAAUAAAAUCUCUUAUUGUGAAAUCCUGUGUUGCAAAUCAGAAACAUUUGCUCUCCAGAGCCCAGGGCCGCAUUACGCUUUCCUUUAAAUCAUCACGUGGGACGAGACUGUAUUCUUACAUGAUCUACAGCCUAGUUAUUGUGUCACGGCUGAAAUGUUCCAGCUUCUUUAGAUAGAAAACUAGCACAUCUGGGCCUCCUGUCCUGCUCUGACAUAACGCAUUCUCCCUGCUCUGAGCGGUCGAGGGCUCUCCUGCGGCUCGCGACCAGACAGAAUGUUUGCCAGGGUUCCCACCCGAAGCCCGUAACAGACUAACCUCCUGGACUUGGGUUUUACAUUGAAGAAGGCGCUGUAACUUUUGGUUAGGUUAAGGAAGGCUCAAAUUUUUGUCUAUAUUGAGUAUUGUGUUGUCAGAUUUUCUUUUCUUUUCUUUCUUUUUUUUUUUUUUUUUUUGUCCACAGGAAAAUAGGAGGCUACCUUUUCUCUGCAAGUUGCUAAUCUCUGUGUGUUUUGCUUUAAAAUAGCUUCUGGGGCGCCUGGGUGGCUCAUCGGUUAAGCAUCCGACUCUUGAUUUCCGCUCAGGUCAUGAUCUCACGGUUUGUGAGUUCGAGUCCCGUGUUGGGCUCUGUGUGGAGCCUGCUUAGUAUUCUCUCUCUCUCUCUCUUUCUGCGCCCCCUCCCCCCAUCUCUCAAAAUGAAUAAACGAACUUAAAAAUACAGCUUCUGAUCUUCAGUAAAAUUUUUAGAAGUGUUUAGAUUAAUAAGUAAAUUUUAUUCCUGAUGACCAAAUUGCUUUCUGGAUUAUUGGUAAAGUGGAUAUAGUUUACUAGUUUUUAAUCAAAUCAAACAAAGGAUGUAAUGAAUAAAAUCUAAGAUUUCCCAGAUCCACUCCUUUCCAGGACUCUAUUACUAUGCUAGCAUAAGGUGGCAGUUAGGCAGAAGGUCUGUUGUCUAUUAAAUUUAAUGGCUCACCGUGAGAGAAAACUUUUAUUUAUGUUCGUUGUUUAAGAAUAUUUGUGCCAGUGCCAAGGAAAAGCCUACUACCCUCAGAAGCCAAACAAAAAUAAACUUUUAAAGAACCUCCGAAGAUAAGCUUGCGUGCGUAUCGUUACUGGAGUGACCUCUGCUGGUUUGGAUAAAAGUGUGAAAAGCCAGUCCUGAUACUUCCCGUUGUUCAGGAGUUUACUACCCAGAAUUGACAAGCGGACAGUAGGUCCACACACACAGUUCUACUUAAAAUGUGCUGGGUGUUGGCCGUGGUUUCUUUCCCACGACCACAGAGGAAGUGGGCCUUGGGGCCCGUGGAAAUCAGCAACAAAGUAGGAUGUGUUUACUGAAACCACAUUUAUUCAACUUAAUAAAUAGUGAUGUAACAAAGUAAUGAUGCGACAGUGACAAAUUGUAAAACACCAGUUUUUUUCCAACAGAUAUUUGUCAGGUGCUUGCUAGGUACUGGACCUUCCUGAGGGGCAUAAAAAUGAUGAUAAUAGAGUCUGUGGGGUCAAGUGUAGGUUAAGGGGGUAAAAGAGGUGCAGAAACGACUGAGAUAAGAACCUAACACGAGCUAAGUGCUGUGAGAGACUUGGCGGAGGAGGCCGGGGCUUCUGGCCUGGGUAAUCCAGGAAGGCUCCGUGGAGGCGGAGUCACGUGAUGUGAUGUCGUCAUGUGAUGUCGAGAAUAGGUGGGACGAGGCCAUCGGAAAGCUGGGCAGAGGCUGCUGCGGGGAAGGAAGGGUGGUCACUGAGACGCAAGGGCGCGUGCGGGGCCGCGGACGAGGCGAUGGAGCUGAGACGGCGCAGCCGGAGAGGAAGGUGCGGCUGCGGCCCCAGGACAGGUGACCGAGGGUGGACGGCGUGGCGGGCUUCCGGGGAGAUGCGGGGCACUUUGGGGCUCACGUGACUGAGAGGGUAAACACACGGGAAACGAGACGUCGCUUGGGGUUGAGACAUGAUUGUACAGCAGGCCCCGCCCCUGCGCCUCGCUCUCUGCGGUUUCAGUUACCCGCGCUCAGUCGCAGGCGAUGCUCCUACUGACGGGCGGCCGGAGGGUCACACGGCCUGGCCCCUGUCCCCGGGCACCUGGUGCCUGUCCCCUGGCACGUGGCCCAUGGCACCUGUCCCUGCGUGGGCGUGUCCCCUGGAGCCUGGCCCCUGUCCUCAGGCACCUGUCCCCCUCACCCAUCCGUACAGGGAGGAGGGAGGCGGGACCGCGAGGCNNNNNNNNNNNNNNNNNNNNNNNNNNNNNNNNNNNNNNNNNNNNNNNNNNNNNNNNNNNNNNNNNNNNNNNNNNNNNNNNNNNNNNNNNNNNNNNNNNNNNNNNNNNNNNNNNNNNNNNNNNNNNNNNNNNNNNNNNNNNNNNNNNNNNNNNNNNNNNNNNNNNNNNNNNNNNNNNNNNNNNNNNNNNNNNNNNNNNNNNNNNNNNNNNNNNNNNNNNNNNNNNNNNNNNNNNNNNNNNNNNNNNNNNNNNNNNNNNNNNNNNNNNNNNNNNNNNNNNNNNNNNNNNNNNNNNNNNNNNNNNNNNNNNNNNNNNNNNNNNNNNNNNNNNNNNNNNNNNNNNNNNNNNNNNNNNNNNNNNNNNNNNNNNNNNNNNNNNNNNNNNNNNNNNNNNGCAGACGUCCCGCCAAGGAGGGGGCAGACGUCCCGCCAAGGAGGGCGCAGACGUCCCGCCAAGGAGGGGGCAGACGUCCCGCCAAGGAGGGGGCAGACGUCCCGCCAAGGAGGGCGCAGACGUCCCGCCAAGGAGGGCGCAGACGUCCCGCCAAGGAGGGCGCAGACGUCCCGCCAAGGAGGGGCAGGGAUGGGUUUCUCGGGGUAAUUUAUGGGAUCAACAACUCUAGAACCUUUGUUUGCGUUUCUUGCAGCCACGACCUCAAUGAGGUGGGAUUGGCCGCUUUAAUAAACUAAAUCGAGGUCCUGUUCAGAUGAUCCAGGAAUUUAAAAUACCUUUAUUUUCUUUUUAAUUCUAUAUUUCUUUUUUGGAGAUUUUUCGGUACUACAGUGUUCGGCCUGCCUAUGACAUGAAGCCCACUGGCCUGUGAUUUCGAGAUGAGUGUUUUAACAUGUUUUCUUGAGUUAAUGCUUCUCUCCCUGUUUCUCCCCAAGAUGGGUUGUUUUCUGUGUAAAUUUAGAAGAGAUGAGCAUAGAAGUUACCUUCCUACCUUGAGGAGCUCAUACGCUGUCUUAUUUUUUUCCCGCGUUUACAAUGAUUUUAUUUUUGAAGUGUCGUUGACAUACAGUAUGAGUUUCACAGGUACAACGCAGUGACAGUCGCCCAGUGUCUGUGCUGUGGUGGCUCAGCACCUGGGUCUCAGACCAGCAGCGUGGACACCCCUUGGGGUAGGUUCUCAGGCUCCAGCCCCCAGCUCAGACCAGACCCACGGUGGGGAAGCAGCGGCCGCCCUCUCGCCAGUCUUCCUGGCUCUGACACAGGCGACUUUGAGGACUGCUGGUCUCAUGGCCACGACUUCCUACUUCCCCUGAAAUUCCUUUUAUUGAGAUAAAAUCCAUAUUCCAUAAAAUUCACCAUUUCAAGUGUACGAGUCAGCAGUUUGUGGAGUACGGGAAAGGCCGUGCGCCAUCACCUCUCUUGAACCCCAGGACGUGUUUAUCACCAAGAAGAAACUCUGCCCGGUGGUCGUCGCCCCGGCCACUCGCGCACUUUCUGUCCCUGUAGAUCGAGAGCCCGGGANNNNNNNNNNNNNNNNNNNNNNNNNNNNNNNNNNNNNNNNNNNNNNNNNNNNNNNNNNNNNNNNNNNNNNNNNNNNNNNNNNNNNNNNNNNNNNNNNNNNNNNNNNNNNNNNNNNNNNNNNNNNNNNNNNNNNNNNNNNNNNNNNNNNNNNNNNNNNNNNNNNNNNNNNNNNNNNNNNNNNNNNNNNNNNNNNNNNNNNNNNNNNNNNNNNNNNNNNNNNNNNNNNNNNNNNNNNNNNNNNNNNNNNNNNNNNNNNNNNNNNNNNNNNNNNNNNNNNNNNNNNNNNNNNNNNNNNNNNNNNNNNNNNNNNNNNNNNNNNNNNNNNNNNNNNNNNNNNNNNNNNNNNNNNNNNNNNNNNNNNNNNNNNNNNNNNNNNNNNNNNNNNNNNNNNNNNNNNNNNNNNNNNNNNNNNNNNNNNNNNNNNNNNNNNNNNNNNNNNNNNNNNNNNNNNNNNNNNNNNNNNNNNNNNNNNNNNNNNNNNNNNNNNNNNNNNNNNNNNNNNNNNNNNNNNNNNNNNNNNNNNNNNNNNNNNNNNNNNNNNNNNNNNNNNNNNNNNNNNNNNNNNNNNNNNNNNNNNNNNNNNNNNNNNNNNNNNNNNNNNNNNNNNNNNNNNNNNNNNNNNNNNNNNNNNNNNNNNNNNNNNNNNNNNNNNNNNNNNNNNNNNNNNNNNNNNNNNNNNNNNNNNNNNNNNNNNNNNNNNNNNNNNNNNNNNNNNNNNNNNNNNNNNNNNNNNNNNNNNNNNNNNNNNNNNNNNNNNNNNNNNNNNNNNNNNNNNNNNNNNNNNNNNNNNNNNNNNNNNNNNNNNNNNNNNNNNNNNNNNNNNNNNNNNNNNNNNNNNNNNNNNNNNNNNNNNNNNNNNNNNNNNNNNNNNNNNNNNNNNNNNNNNNNNNNNNNNNNNNNNNNNNNNNNNNNNNNNNNNNNNNNNNNNNNNNNNNNNNNNNNNNNNNNNNNNNNNNNNNNNNNNNNNNNNNNNNNNNNNNNNNNNNNNNNNNNNNNNNNNNNNNNNNNNNNNNNNNNNNNNNNNNNNNNNNNNNNNNNNNNNNNNNNNNNNNNNNNNNNNNNNNNNNNNNNNNNNNNNNNNNNNNNNNNNNNNNNNNNNNNNNNNNNNNNNNNNNNNNNNNNNNNNNNNNNNNNNNNNNNNNNNNNNNNNNNNNNNNNNNNNNNNNNNNNNNNNNNNNNNNNNNNNNNNNNNNNNNNNNNNNNNNNNNNNNNNNNNNNNNNNNNNNNNNNNNNNNNNNNNNNNNNNNNNNNNNNNNNNNNNNNNNNNNNNNNNNNNNNNNNNNNNNNNNNNNNNNNNNNNNNNNNNNNNNNNNNNNNNNNNNNNNNNNNNNNNNNNNNNNNNNNNNNNNNNNNNNNNNNNNNNNNNNNNNNNNNNNNNNNNNNNNNNNNNNNNNNNNNNNNNNNNNNNNNNNNNNNNNNNNNNNNNNNNNNNNNNNNNNNNNNNNNNNNNNNNNNNNNNNNNNNNNNNNNNNNNNNNNNNNNNNNNNNNNNNNNNNNNNNNNNNNNNNNNNNNNNUCCUUCCUCCUCCCUUCCUUCCCCCUCCUUUCCUUCCUCCCUCCCUCCCUUCCCUCCUCCCUUCUUUCCCAUUAAGCCAUCUUAAUGGAUGCGAAAUGGUGUGUCAUGCUUUUAUUUCACACUUCCAUAAUUAUUAGUGAUGUGGAGCAACUUCCCAUGUGCAUGUUAACCACUCAUACGUUUUCUUUGGAAAAUGCCUAUUCCAAAAUUGCGACUACUUCUAGAUUAUAUUAUUUGCCUUUUUAUUGUUGUUACUAAGUUUUUCUACAUUGUGGUUACUAGCCUCUCAGAUACGUGAUUUGCACGUAUUUUCCCCUCCUCUGUGGGUUGUCUUUUCAUUUUCUUGAUAAUGUUCUUUGAGGCAUUAAAGUUUCAUCAUUUUAAUGAAGUCCAAUUUUAUCUUUUUUUCUUUGAUUACUUGUGCUUUUGGUGUUAAUUUCUUUAAUUUUGAAAGUGCCGUAUUUAUAUAAUUAAUCACUACAGCCUGUUGAGAGCGUCGUUUACACAUUUUUAAUUGGAGAAGUCUGAAGAAGAGUUGGAGUUCACGUUUCAGUAGGGUUAUCACUUGUUUGCCAGUGGAUGUAAAGUAUUUGUUUGCAGAUACCAGAUAUUUAAAAGGUUUUUACAUUGUGGUUGUGGAAUUUAAAAUAAUGGCAUCGUCAGGGCCACAAAUUUAUAAAAAGUAGUGUCCGAUUCAUUUAACAAACUGCUGUUUUGUUUAGGAAAAUUGAAGGGAAACACACCACUGCUUGAAACAUGACUUUCUCUAUUUAUUAAAGAAGAUUCUGCCUCUUUUAAAAACCACGGACUUUCCGCCCUAAAAGCUGGGUCUCAAGAACUAUUUGUGAAAGAACGCAAGAAUCCCAGAACUUGGAAAUAAACACUGUUGGUGUUUAUUUGUGUUAGUUUAGAUGAAGUAGCCGGCCCUCGGAGUCAGAAAACUGAAUCUGUAGCAGCUGAGGUCAGCCUCAGCAAGCAAAUAGUAUAGCUAGCAUGGCUUUAAUCCACUAAGUAACGUUCAGUCGGAAAGAUCAAAGGAAGUUACAACCAAAAACAGCCCUUGUUAACAGUUUCCCGGUAGAAGCAGGAAAAGGCUAGAAAUCACACGUCACCUCAUAUCCUGGCCCGCUGACCCCGUGCUCCAGCCGUCAGCAGUGCUGGGACCCUGCCCCUAGGGGCCGAGGACGAGAAAACUCUCCCGCCCUGGCCCUGUAGGAAGCCAGGGCUGCAAGUGCACCCCUGACACAGCGCCGCCCCGGGUCCAGAGCCCAGAGCCGGGUUCAGAGCCGGGUUCAGAGCCGGCUGCUGCGCUCACCCGCCCGCGACCACGCUCAGCCGGGAACGUUUCUUCUUUCCGUGAAGGUAAUGCAUUUGCUCCUGCUUCCGUUCCUGGGAAUUUGUUGUUUUGAGAGUUUAUUUAAAAACUGAACUUUUGGUCUGUGCUUCUAGGAUUGGAUUAAAACUUCGGCUCAUAGGUUUGUUUUUCAGUGUAAACCCUGAAUGGCACGUUAAGGCAUUAAAAUCUUAGGAGGUUUAUUUGAACUGGAGUCUAGCGCUGUAAGGUAAGGUUAGCCGUUUCUUGGGUUUAUUAAAAUGUGCUUUCUUUAGUAAGUGUGGGGGGAGGGAGCCUCGGACUUAAAGUAGUUUGUGUGCUUUCAUACUUUGGGAGUCUUCGUAGGCUCCGUCUAAAGGAGAGAAUUUUGAAAAUACGUGCUUCUCUCAUUAUUAGCUGGUAUGAAAAUAGAACCCUGGGAAUUACCUGAAUCACUUUUGUGAAUUGAGUAGUGUAAAAAGACGGUAAUGUUUUAGCAUCUUCCAGCCUAUAAAAAUAGAAGUUUGGUGAACAUACCUACUUGGGAUCGAAGCUUCCACAGCAAGAUUAAUUCUUAGCAGUGUUCAUCUGAAAUACACAGGCUGGGUACACCUUCAAGUUGUUUUGAGUCGAUUACAUUUUUUUUUUUGCAUUGUAUGCAUUUUAAUUGGGGCAGUGGCCACUACGUCGUAACUGGACUUACUGGUCAAAGUGGGAAUCGUCAUGUGUUGGCCAAAUUUACCUUUUUUUCCUUUUCUGUUGAAUGUAGUUGACCUACAACACUGUGUGUUAGUUUGGCACAUUUAUAUGCUGCGGCCGUGAACACCGUCCUGGUGUUGAGUGCUUCCAUCACAGUACAUACUUACCCUUUCUUUUCAGUGUUGGGUGCUUAGAUCUUUGUGACUCAGCAGGUUCGAGGACUGCGUGCGUCACACGGCAUUAGAUCUCUGGCUGGUGUCUUGCCCCCGGCGGGUUUGUGCCCUGAAUCAACAGCGGCCUUCCCCUUUGCUUAAAAUGAGGGUGGAGAGUUUAUAUGCCACUGGCAGGAAUAUUCAGGCUGUUUUAGUCUGUGACAUAGUUGUAUGUCUGGUGGGAAAGGGUAAAUUUUGAAGAAACUAGGCACAGAAAAGUUUUGUGAAAACUGAGGUAUUUCAUGUAAAUCAUUGACUGUAAACGAGCCUCUCAGUGAUCAUGCAAGAAAGUGGGGUCUCUUUUUACAGUUUGGUAACGUUUCCUCUAACAGGUAUUCUUGUUGAAAGGAAGAGAAUGAAAUACGUCCUUUUUACCCACAAGAGGGGUCUUUUAGGUCAUAGUAUUUAAUUUUUUUUUUAACAUUUAUUUAUUUUUGAGACAGAGACAGAGCAUGAGCAGGGGAGGGGCAGAGAGAGAGGGAGACACAGAAUCCGAAGCAGGUUCCAGGCUCCAAGCUGUCAGCACAGAGCCCGACACGGGGCUCGGACUCACAGACCUUACCAAACAAACACCUUUCUUUCUUCUCCUCCUCCUCCUCCUCCUCCUUCUUCUUCUUUUAGUGUUUAUUUAUUUUUGAGAGAGAGUGUGAGCUGGGGAGGGGCAGAGAGAGGGAGACACAGAAUCCCAAGCAGGCUCCAGGCUCUGAGCUGUCAGCACAGAGCCCGAUGUGGGGCUCAAACUCACAGACCUUACCAAACACCUUUCUUUUUUUGUCUUCUUUCUUCUUUCUUCUUUCUUCUUCUUCUUCUUCUUCUUCUUCUUCUUCUUCUUCUUCUUCUUCUUCUUAGUGUUUAUUUAUUUUUCAGAGAGAGAGAGCAUGAGCAGGGGAGGGGCAGAAAGUGAGGGAGACACAGAAUUCGAAGCAGGUUCCAGGCUCCGAGCGCUCAGCACAGAGCCUGACAUGGGGCUCGAACUCACAGACCUUACCAAACAAACACUCUUUCUUUCUUUCUUUCUUUCUUUCUUUCUUUCUUUCUUUCUCUCUCUCUCUCUCUCUCUCUCUCUCUCUUUCUUUCUUUCUUUCUUUCUUGUUUAUUUAUUUUUGAAGCAGAGAGAGAGAGAGCAUGAGCAGGGAGGGGCAGAAAGCAAGGGAGACACAGAAUCUGAAGCAGCUCCAGGUUCCGAGCCGUCAGCACAGAGCCCGACGCGGGGCUCGAAUUCACAAACCGCGAGAUCAUGACCAGAACCCAAGUCCGACACUUAACCGACUGAACCACCCAGGCUCCCCGUAGCUCAUAGUAUUUAUAAUUAAGAAAGCUGUAGUUCUCUUUGAAGCCUCAGAAGUCACUGACUAUGUAAAUCAUCUCCAGUUGUGGCUGGUGCAUUGACUACUGUCCGUGGCUUUCUGUCUGCUGACACAUUUCUGCUUCUUAAAGUGUUACAGCAAAGAGUCUUUUAUCAUCGUGUCAUUUAUUUUUGAACUUUGUGUCUCUAACAGACUAAAUGCUUUUGUUGCUACUCUUGAAUAUUGGAGUAUUUUAUUAGAUUACACUUUAUCUGUAACUUUUGUUUUAGCGUACAAACAUAGGCAGGGUAUUUUUGUGUAUUUUCUGUGGUAGCUGACAUCUUAGAUGUGAAUUACAGGAUCGUGAGCAUGAAGUUUGCACAGAUGGUGAAAAAUGCUUGUGUCUGACGUGACUGACACACAGCGCAGCUUAGGGAACACUUGUUACCUUCGCCUCUCCCGGAAGAGGCUGUGUGUCACAGCACUGAUGUUGCGAGUGUUUUAACCUGAUCCCACGUCCAGACUUGAUGCUGAGCCGACCAACCCCUGUGGGCGACCGCGUGCAGCCGCGUGCCAGGGCCUUGCACACCCGUCCUGUGUGUGAGCGUGUUGGCCGGCCCAGGGGUGGGGGUGGGGAGGGGCAGCUCGCCCGUCACCCCGAGUGCGGCCUGCGGCCUUGGCACACAGGCUCUGUGAAUGCUGCCUGUUGUUCAAGAUGGAAAGGCCCGAUCACACCCCAGCUGGGAAAUAAACGUGGGCGUCGAGGGCGGGACGGACGAGCUGCCUGGCCUGCCGGCCGUCUUGGGAAAAACACAGAACAAAGCAUCUGAAGCAGGACUUAGAGAUGCAGGACUCGGAAGAGGGGCGCCUUACUUCUGUCCUUUGUUGUUCUAAUCCCCAGCAAGCAGGCUCAGUCCAGGUGCACCUAUGCAGACUCCCGAGAAAAACGGUCACGGUGAACACAGGAGGCGCUUAAUACAUGCUUGCUAAAUAAGGACGACGUUCGCCUGUUCAACUGGAAGACACAAUUUGAUGACCUCUGCGGGCAGACAAGGGUCCCGCACCGCCGGUCGGUGUGGUUUCAGGUCGUCUGCUACAUGUGGGUGGGCAGGUAGGGGUCACGAGCAUCCGCAGUGACGGUGGGAGCAGAGACAGAAAGGGUUUAUGAGACUCGCACCCAGGCUGUCACCAAGACUGAACCUGCGGGUCCAGUGUAAGGAAGAAGAAAGUGCUUGUGAAGUUGAUGUUUUCCUAAGCUCGAGGUAGAUCUCAGGGCCCUUUAAGCAAAAGGGUGUCUUCAGUUGUGUUUGUGCAGAUACGCGGAGGGGUUGCUGCGUAGACUGACGGGUACCCUGGAGACGCUGUUUGCUGGACAAUGAGGCAGAGCUGUUUGGGGGGCGGCUUGGGAAGUUAGAUCUGCUGCUUCUCAAACUUCACAAAACAGCGGGGCUGGAGCCCGCUCUCAGACCCUUGGGUGUGUGGGAUUUGUGGGGAAGGCGCGGGUCAGGGUAAGAGCUCCGUGAAAAAAACAUACACGCCACCUUCAAAACCAAACAAGCUCGAGUCCUUGAUGGUGAUCGAGCUCGGUUUUUGACGUUACGGAAGACAUUUCACAUCCCCUCACAUUCUUUCGCCUCCCGGGAUGUGGGAGUAGAAUUCUCUUGGUUUGAUUUAUCUCAGAGACGUGUUUCCCCUGGAGGCUGGUUGCCGAGUUUUGAGUUUCUGAGACGUGUGAGGUGUUUAAACACUCCUGGUGUCUUCAGGCUUCCUUGUGAUGUGCUGGGCACAUCUGGAAGGCUCGGGGACAGACUCCUGUUCUGCCUGGGAAGAGCCAGGGGCACAGACAGGUUGCUCCGGUGUGAGGUUGCCCGUUUUGCGAUCUUACCUGAGGCAGUGGUUUCAGAGGAAAUCUUACGGCCUGAACACGGCCCUGUCUCAUGGGGAGGGUCCUGCUUGUCACCAGAGCGUUGUGGAAUUCUCACUGGGCCGGAGUGAGGGGAGAUGCGGGCCCGGGGUCUGUGGGUGUCUGAGCCACAGAUUGGAGCAUUAAAGGGCUUAACAUGCAAUCAGAAAUCUUUUCCUUUCUGUCUUUCUUUCUUUCUUCCUUCCUUCCUUCCUUUCUUUCUUUCUUUCUUUCUGGCACAGAACUUCAGAGAACAUGCUCUUUUAAUACAGGGGUUUGGGACCUCAUUUCAAAGAUUGACAAGGGGUCAGGGGACAUAAUUUUUCUUUUGGGUUAAAUAAACUCAUUAGUCAGAUUGGCUGGAUCCUGACCUCAGUCACGGGAUCCGGAAGUAACUGUGAUGCCUGGUUCCACUUUCUCACCUGGAGGCAUGUGAACGCUGCCCAUGUGACUGUCUCACCGAGGCUCUCUCCCUACCGCACUGUUGCCCCCACGCUUAUAACUUCAAAAAUACCCUUUUCAUCGUUACAGAGAGAAAUAAAGACCAUCAGAACGCUCCGAAGCUCGUCCCAUGUGAAGGACCCGUUCUGCAUGCUGUUUGCGAUGCGGCAACAUUUUGCUUAAGAAAUACUUAAGCAGUAUUUUCUGAAAGAUGGAUCCCUUUAGUGGUGGUCGCCUGCUGUUAUAACUUGAUGGGCAUCAGUUGUACAAAUUCUCAAUCUGUGGGUCUCAGUCCUAGCCACACACUGGGAUCAUCUGAGGAGCUUUUAAAAAACGCUGAUGACCGCAGUCCAUUACAACAUGAAUUAAAUCAGAGAACCUUUGGGCCAGGGCCCUGGGUCUGAAGGGUUUUAUAUUACUGAAAUGGUUCUAAUGUACAGAAGAGGUGGAGACCAUUGGAAUAGACUCGUAACUUCGUGAACAUUUGUUGUAUUUAUUACAGUCGCUUCACGAUUUGUAGCUUAGUCUAGGUGAACUGAAUGUCGUGGCUGGCUCCUGGGUUAUGAUGGCCGCUUAUUGGAGGGCUUUCCAGAAUUUUUUUGAAAGACGAUUGACUGAUACUAAUAAUUAUGGAAAACCCCUCUGGGUUUAUUUUCCAUGUUCUUAGUUACACCAGUGGGUUCAUCUGACAUUGAAACUCAAAGAUACAAGAAGCCUUUCUUUCUUCAGGCCGUAAGUGCUUGUGGGGCCGGCGCUGUAUGGGGAGUGUGGGGAGACGUGGCGGGUGUUGUGUGGGCUGAUAAUUUUUGUGGAUGAAUGUGGAAGACAGAUGUCUGAAGAGUGUCCUAAUAACUUCAGCACAGCAGUAGUGUUCUUGGCAUACAGAUUUAGGAACAUAAGUGUUCAUGGUGAUAAGGUGUUCUUAGCUCUCACGUAUCCCAGACUAUAAAGAGAAGCUUCAUUUUACGCUUCUCCUCCCAGGUAGGUCUGUUACCAAAGGCACACUCCACACAGAACAAAGGAGCACAGUGAGAUUAGAAAGACUGUCACCUGCCCACCUGUGCGGGGCUCGCAUCUGACAACAGGACUGCUUUCCACAUUCGGGGUUUUCUGAUUUGCUGGGGCACUGUUAAGAUCUUCCUUGAGUUAUUUAACUUUUAUACUCUUUGUUGUAAAUCUGGGAGGGAAAAUUAUGAGGCCGUUUUUUCCCCCCGUAUCGUUAAGCUGUUUGUAAAUACCGUGAACGGCUUCUGUAAAACUGGAACACUUAACAUUUACGGUUCGUUGGUGUCUUUAUCAGUGUCGAUUGUGUGUAUUGAAAGAGGUCAUAUAAAAAAGAUUUCAUUUUCAGAGGUGGUGUUUGUUAACAUAAGUCAAAACCACCUUCUUCAUAAUAUACAUUUAACAGACCAACAGUUGAGCUUUCGUGGUAAAAGAAUAGUGAUCUGCGACUCUCAGAUUUGCCGGGACUCAGUCUGUUGGCUUCCUCAUGGUGUGUGGAGGGCAGGGCACGCAGACAGGUGCCCAGAUGUUUGCCCCGGAUUGUCCGGGACAUGACUGCUAAUGUAUUGCCGUUUAUGAGGAAGGGGAAUGAUAGCAAUACCGAGAAUUCUUUGUAACUCGUGAAGUCCCCACAGGGGAGUAAGUACAGACACUGCUAAGCCGUCUUAUUGAAGGAGAGUUUAUCGGUAGAAAGUUCAUGAACUCAAACAAAAAUAAGACAGUUUAAUUUGUCUCAGAAGAAGAGAAGAUCGUAUUCCCUUAUGUAAGACCAUUCUUUUCAGUUCCUUAACACUGGUCCUUUGAUUAAAGAUACAGAUUUUGCUGUCAGGUCACAAUUCUGUUUUCAUCGUCCAAACCCUCCAUGUCAACAAAGAUUGGCCCCUGGCUGGCUUCUCAGGUUUGCAUAACGUGAUGCACGAGUGGAAGGCACUUCUGAAUUCAGUGGAAGGGGCCUCUGACGCUCUUGGAUGCUGAACUGUACCUUUCAAAACCGUCUUGGGAAAUAGUGAAUUCAGAGGCUGGUUUUCACGCAGACCUUCACACUGGAUUUUGUACCAGCAGCCUCUGGCGGUCCCGGAGCAGCUCGUUGAACUUGGCGCUGGCCCGGAGGCAUCUUGAGGUAGCGGGAGAGCCUCACUUUCAAAGGCAGCCUGGUCUGAGGCUGGAUCCCAGUCGUGUGAUUUACGUGAGUUAGUACUUCAGUACUUUGGCCCUCAGUUUUCUCUGUGAUAUCUGCUCAGGUAUCGUGAGGAAAGUGCUUGACACAGUGAGAUGAGGAAACCAGCUUUAACAAUAGCCCUUUGGGGGGACAUAUCCCUGGAGACAAAACCUGGCCGACACCCUUCCAAACGGACCCGCUGCAGACGAGCUCUGCAGUCGUUCCUCGUCAGUGACUGUUUGCUCCCUGGCCACGGCUCUAAGGGUUGAGGGGUCGACUUGCUGCCCCUGCUCAGGGACGAGGCCAUCAUUUGGGGGAAGCAUCGAGCAGCGUGAGAGGAACCGUUUCGUGUGAACGCAAAUUUGAUGAGUAACGGAUACAAGUGCUCCCCAGACUGGAUGCCUAAGGCCUGGUGUGCAGAGGGGCCCCCGGCGUGUCUGUCGCCCAUCUGCUAACCCUGCCAGCACGUGAGAGAAGAAGAUCGUCUCCCGCAUUGAACUGGGCCCAGGACUUCAAUCCACAUUCAGGAGUCGCACCAGAACGGUUAAAAGCUGAUUGGCUAUUUGUGUGCACGUAACGGUUUACGGGUUGUGAGACAAGCCAUGCUUGGUCACCAGCUUGAGCCUCUCGUGUUAACUGUGUCGCUUUCCUCCGCCUUAGUCGGAACGGCAGGCCUUCCUUUCUCCGUCUCUGCUGUCGUUCCCCCGCUUGCUGGCUCCGUGCUGCUUUAAUUGUGCGUAUGCUGCCCCAGCCGCGGCCUGGCUCUCCGGCAGCCUCCGCGCCUGGUUUGCCGCACGCANNNNNNNNNNNNNNNNNNNNNNNNNNNNNNNNNNNNNNNNNNNNNNNNNNNNNNNNNNNNNNNNNNNNNNNNNNNNNNNNNNNNNNNNNNNNNNNNNNNNNNNNNNNNNNNNNNNNNNNNNNNNNNNNNNNNNNNNNNNNNNNNNNNNNNNNNNNNNNNNNNNNNNNNNNNNNNNNNNNNNNNNNNNNNNNNNNNNNNNNNNNNNNNNNNNNNNNNNNNNNNNNNNNNNNNNNNNNNNNNNNNNNNNNNNNNNNNNNNNNNNNNNNNNNNNNNNNNNNNNNNNNNNNNNNNNNNNNNNNNNNNNNNNNNNNNNNNNNNNNNNNNNNNNNNNNNNNNNNNNNNNNNNNNNNNNNNNNNNNNNNNNNNNNNNNNNNNNNNNNNNNNNNNNNNNNNNNNNNNNNNNNNNNNNNNNNNNNNNNNNNNNNNNNNNNNNNNNNNNNNNNNNNNNNNNNNNNNNNNNNNNNNNNNNNNNNNNNNNNNNNNNNNNNNNNNNNNNNNNNNNNNNNNNNNNNNNNNNNNNNNNNNNNNNNNNNNNNNNNNNNNNNNNNNNNGCCUGGUUAGUGGCCACGUGGUCCCUGCGGUGAUUGGGGUGGGGUGUGCAGGGUGCCUGGCAUGACGUUCGGAUUCUAGCUUGCAGCUUUGGGACCACGGAGCACACCCCCGGGUGCGAGUGGCUGCUGCGAGGUUUUCACAAUGGCCCUUCCCGUGCGUUUGUGCUCCGGUGGCCACCUGAUAGCUCGAUGGCAUCCUUUAUGGCCGUGACGUUUAAUCUGUUGGCAUCACUGUGAUUACACAGUAGUAUAUCCACUGAGCUGCUGUUUUGUCUUUUAACGUGGUCAUUUAUACCUACUAUAAAAAUACGUAAACCAUGUAUCGUAUUUAGUUACAUUAAUGAUACAUGUCGUGUGAUUGUGUGAUUGUGUCUUACGUUACUUAAAGGUGUACGUUUCCUGAGUCCCAGACCAGGUUAAGGAGGUAAUUGUGUGAUCCCUGUAAUCACAUAAACUCCGAUGCCUCUCCUCCCUGCGUUGAAACACAGACUGAAGAAGGGUCUGCCUGGGGCACCACGCUCUUGGUUCCUAGGUGGCUUUGGCCCAACAAGUGUGUAUGUUUCCAGAAAUGGGGGAGGUAUGAUGAGAUACGUUGAAACCUUUCUCUCAAUACUUUGUACUCACCUGUUCUUACUCCUUAGCCUCGUUUUCAUUUCUUCAUCCAGUUAUUCAAUGCAUUGUGCAGGGUAUUAUCAUGAGACAGCAGGUACGCAUCAGAAGGUAAACAAUUGAAAAUGCCUGGGCGGCUCAGCCGGUGGCACACCCGACUCUUGGUUUCGGCUCAGGUCGUGCGUGAUCCCAGGGUUCUGGGACCCAGCCCCGCCUCGAGCCCCGUGUUGGGCUCUGCGCUCAGCAUGGAGCCUGCUUGGGGCUCUCUCUCCCUCUCCUUCUGCCCCUCCCCUGCUCGCGUGCACUACCUCCCUCUAGGUAAAAAAGUAAAAUGAGAUCAAAUGGGUAAAAUGCAUCCAGUGUAUCGAUGUUUAGUUGUCUUUUAAGGUAAAAUAACUUUGGGGCGCCUGGGUGGCGCAGUCGGUUAAGCGUCCGACUUCAGCCAGGUCACGAUCUCGCGGUCCGUGAGUUCGAGCCCCGCGUCGGGCUCUGGGCUGAUGGCUCAGAGCCUGGAGCCUGUUUCCGAUUCUGUGUCUCCCUCUCUCUCUGCCCCUCCCCCGUUCAUGCUCUGUCUCUUUCUGUCUCAAAAAAAAUAAAUAAAUGUUGAAAAAAAAAUUUAAGGUAAAAUAACUUUGCUUCUGUUUUUACAUUUUAAUGAUAACUACCUUUUGUUCAUUAUUAGUGACUGUGCUAGAGACUUUAUAUGCUGUUUUAUUAGGAUUUUACCACCAUAAAGAAGACAGGCUGACAGUAAAAGUUGUACACGGUACAGAAAGUGAGAUGUGAAGUCUUCUCCACCCUUUCAGAAUUCGCAGUCCAGCUCUCCAGCGGGAAGACCUUUUCUUAGGUCCUUCUGGAAACUAUCUGUGUAUCCUAAUCAUAUGUGUAUCCCCCCCCCCUUUUUUAACGAAAUGGGUAGAGUCAUACGUAUAGGCUGUUCUGUGGGUAGGCUUUAUUUAUGUGUCAAGAUGUACUUUGGACUUCUUUCCAUCGUAUACCCUGAUCUAACUCGUUCUUUCUUAAUCGUGCAGAAUGCCCAAGGUAUAGACACGACAGAAUCUGAGUCUGUUACUGAGGAUAUUUUAGAGUGUUACCAGUUUUCCUGGCAGACGGUGGUGCGGUCUGUGACAACCUUACCUGUACGUCUGUCUUUACACAUUGUUCAAGUGUAUCCAAAAGAGGACUUCCUACUACUGUUGUGGGUCAGAGGGUGAGGGUGUUUAAAAUUCUCUUAGCGUUUCAAAUUUAACUCUAAGAACCAAGGCUUAGAGACUGUAAGAGUGUAAAUCAUUUGACCCAGGUUCUCCAGGGUAGAAACUGGUAGGGUCAGCUUUCAAACUUAGAUCCACUCACACCGUUUCUUCUAAGCUACAUAGAUGUCUUCAGCUGUUGUUUUAAAGCAUAAUUUUGGCUUUAAAGCCAGGAAGCGUUAUUCCUUAUCUUUUUAUAUUCUUAACGCUCAAUCCAGCAAUUAUGAUAAUUCUUCCAUUAUAAAUACACAGCCCUUUAUGGUUUUGUGUAUUGAUUUUAUAUCCUGCAACUAUACCGAAUUCAUUUAUUCUAACUUACUAUUUUUUUUUUUUUUUUGGUAGAAUCUUUCAGUUUCCUAUAUAUGGCAUGUCACCUGUACAUAGUGACAGUUUUACUUCCGUUCUGAUUUGGACGCCUUUCUUUCUUUUUCUUGCCUAACUGCUGUGGCCGGGACUUCCAAGACUGUGUUAGAAGGGGUGACAUUAGACCCCCCCCCUCCUUUUGUUCCUGAUAAAGGAAAAGCUUUCAGCCUUUCACCACGGAGUGUGGUGUUGGCUGUGGGCUUGUCGUAUGUGCCUUCUAUGUUGAGAUGUGUUCCCUCUGUACCUGCUUUCUUGAGAGUUUUUAUCCAGGUGGAUGUUGGAUUUUGUCAAAAGCCUUUUCUACACCUGCUGGGAUGACUGUAUGAUUCUUACCCUUCAGCGGGUGGUGGUGGUGGGUCAUGUUGUCUGACUUGUGAGUGUUGGACCCUCUUGUAUCCCUGGAAUAAAUCCCACUUGAUCACGACGUGUGAUCCUUUUAACGUGUUGUCGAAUUCAGUCUGCUAAUAUUUUACUGAGGAUUUUUGCAUCCACGUUCGUCAGGGACGUUGGCCUGUAGUUCUCUUUCCUUGCGGUGCCUGGUCUGGUUUUGCUGUCGGGAGAACACUGGCCUCGUAAGACGGCUGUGGACGUGUCCUUCCUCCUCUAGCCCUUAAUGAUUUUCAAAACAUUUUUAUUUGCUCGUUGUGGUCCUAGGACAGACAUGGGCAUUGGUUGUUAUCCUGAUUAAUACAUGUGAAGACCCAAGGCUCAAAGAAAAGAGAAAUUUAAAUUUAAAAAGUAAUCAGAAGACAGUCCUUGGCCAAAGACCGCGUGGCCCCCCAAGUGCCAGCGCACGCAAGACAACGAUGCUGGUAGACAAGUGAACCGAGGGCUUGGGACUGGUGGCUUUGAAUGUAUUGAAACUGGCGUGUUAUGUUCAUGAACAACAGGAAAAUACACUGAAGCUUCUGGCCGUGCGGCCCCAUCGCACCCCACGCCAGUGCCUCAGGCUUCCUCUUGGCUGGGUCCGCGUGCCGUGGCCCCGAGGAGAAUGGGCCGUGACCGCGGGGUGGUUGUUCACAGGCGCCCACCGUAUUUGACCCCAAACUGGCUUUAAACUUCACCGGAAGUACUGCUUCAUGCUUUUAUGAUCGCGUGUACAUUUGUCACCAUAGUGUCAUCUUACCAUGUUGGCUCUUCCUCUGUCCCAUCAGCUUUCCUGUUAGCUCUCUUGGUCUUCGGCUCAGACCAAGUUUUUUUCUCAUCUGUCUCAGUGUUUUUUUGUUUAAAAAAAAUUUUUUUUCAACGUUUAUUUAUUUUUGGGACAGAGAGAGACAGAGCAUGAACAGGGGAGGGGCAGAGAGAAAGGGAGACACAGAAUCUGAAACAGGCUCCAGGCUCUGAGCCAUCCGCCCAGAGCCUGACGCGGGGCUCGAACUCACGGACCGCGAGAUCGUGACCUGGCUGAAGUCGGACGCUUAACCGACUGUGCCACCCAGGCGCCCCACAUCUGUCUCAGUGUUAAAGAAAGAUCUUUCCCUCUGUGGACAUAGGUUCAUGCUUUGACUUAAGAUCAAAACUUUGCUGUCUUCCCGACCACCUGAAUUCCUAUACGAAUGCAUCUACCAAACUUAAUUCAUAGACAUUUCUUAGAAUAAUUUCUUUUCUGUUUUUGCUCAUAAUUAUUUUUUACUUGAAAUUCACAACUUAUUUAUAAGGUCAAUUUGAUUGUUCCUGUUUUAUGAUUAAAGAGACUGAAUCAUAGAACGUUCACAUGACUUACUUCAAAUACAAGCCAGUCAGAGUUCAAAUUAUUCUUUAUUUCCACCAUCAGAAGACGUCUCCAAGUUAAGGAACAGGUUAUGUUCCAAAACUUCAUUUGUAAGUCGGGUAUUUGGCACUGGACUGCAUUUUACCAAAGUGGGGGACGUGUUCCAAGGGCGAUGAGGCCCCCGCUGCCCUUCAGAGAUCUCUUUAGCUCUUAUGUAAGGAGCACAUGAAGCAUUUGCAGCAAAAAUAAGAGAAAAUGAUCAUUGUGAUUCUGGUCACAAAGUUCUCCGUCUUGGGAGAAGCAUCUGAUUAGAAGAUGGGGAAACAGGUGGAAUCGGAGAGUCCGCGGGGGCGUCAGGCCACAGGGAGGGCUGUCACAGGCCGUGACGUUCUGUCUGAAGCCCAGGUUCUUGUUGAACCGAGGAUUUGGGUUGUUGUUAGAUAGUUGAUGUGGCAUGACUUCCCCCACCAGCUGUGAUUAUUACCAUCUGUGGGAUUGAUGGAAAAAUAGACUCUGAGGAUAGUAACACACCUGAUGGAAAAAAACAACCCAAAAAACCAGAGAAGGUGUCCCCUUUGAUCCCCUGGCUGGAGGGGAGGGAGGUCUUGGGUCCCCAGGAGCGGGGGCUGCUGUGCUGGGUCCUGUAGAGAACGUGAGCGUCCUGGGUGGAGGGUGAGCGGCCGUGACUGCGUGUGGAGUUUGUCCCAAGAGUGUCCAGUGCCGGGAGCACGGAUCUCACACGGCCAGGCCGCUGUGCGCUCCGGCAGACCCACAAGCAUCGGAGGGUUCAGUUGGCUUUGAAAAAAGUCUAGCGCCCCUUCGACGUCCUCUGAUGUAGGUCUUACUGAUUCUGGAAUAUCUGCAUCAGCUUUUUUGUUGUUAUAGCAAAAGGGGGGAUACGUUCUUCAGCAAAAGGAAGCUGAGGUGACAGAACCUCCCUGUGGUGGCCUCGGGGUGAGACCCCGCCUCCAGGUGGCCUUGGGGUUUGACCCCGCCUCCAGGUGGCCUUGGGGUGAGGCCCUGUGAUCAUGAAUUGAGCCAAAAGCUUAACCAGCUGAGCCUCCCGGGCACCCUGACAUAAGGUGUUCUUAGGAUUAUUCAAAUUAUUCUAACUUGCACCACUUGCUGCCCUCAGGGUGGCCCUUCAUUUUGUCCGUGACACCUGCAUCCUCGCACCGAUGCCUGGUGGAGGGUUCAGGGGCGAUGUGGGUGCCCCUCCCUCCCCUCCUGCACGGUUCUGACUGCUCCCCCAUACUUCCCUUGGGGACGGGGAUGGUACUGGGACGGGACGGCAAUGGGGACGGGGACUGGACCGGGAUGGGGAUGGGACAGGGACGGGAUGGGGACAGUGACUGGACGGGGACUGGGUGGGAUGGGGACUGGAUGGGGACGGGGACAGGACUGGGGGAGCAGCGGGUCUAAAAACGGAAGUAGGAGGUGCAGGCAGGACACACGGAGCAUCCCGGUCCCCACGCAGCUGCCACCGCGUUGCCCCCACGCUCUCCACCCUGUAGAUAGCCUCCCGCCCGGCCGUCACUGGACAUUGUCGUGUCGUUUCUGUCGUAGGGCGGAGAAGCUGGAGCAUGGCCGUGAGCAGCGGGAACCGCGAUGUCAUGCUCCUGAGCAGUGGUGGCCCCGGCGCCCUCACGACCUGCAACGGGGACCUCGCCGCCCACCAGCUCUCCGCAGAAGUGCC